RNAcentral lists this long non-coding RNA (97376 nucleotides) under Vitis vinifera (wine grape). RNAcentral's name for it is "long non-coding RNA (VVIN_LNC002848)". The stretch from base 31327 to 31688 matches the Rfam family "Bacterial large subunit ribosomal RNA", at positions 2103 to 2453 of the family's 2925-position model. Lineage: Eukaryota; Viridiplantae; Streptophyta; Magnoliopsida; Vitales; Vitaceae. The record is from RNAcentral.
AGUGUUCCACCCAUCCACCACGUCAUCCAUCUGGUAGGAGAUGUCCUUGAGCCUUUCUAACCAAACUUUUACAAGUUCUUCGCUGAACUGUCUCUUCUCUGCGUCUGCAAGAACAGCUCUGAUGCUCUGGAGUGUGCUGUUUAGGUUGUCCACCUCGCUUCCGACACCCACCACCAGAGUAACUUGUUGUUCCAAGACUGAAGCCAAUCGCUCCAGCACGAUAGAAACAAGAGCAUCCGCCAUAAGGGUUGAUGAAUAAGGUGGGGUUGAUGAAUCAAAGUAAUGGACAGAUACAACUAAGAUCGAUGGAGAGAAAGGAUGUGGAGCUUUAGCGAGCUUAAUUAUGUUCCCUUUAAUAGAAUGGAAGAGAGGUAAGAACAGAUUACUUUAGUAAUUAGUUCAAAGUCUCCAUUCACCUGCAUGCUUGAUAAAUUUAACAAAAUAAUUCAUAUUUCUUAUUAAAUAUGUACAAUUCAUUUUUCACAAGGAGCAACUUAUUAGUGCAACAAUUAAAGCAAAACACAGUCCAUCAAAUUAAUAGGAAAUGCUACCAAUUUAAAAAGAGUAAUCCACCACCCUAAUAAUAAUUCAUACACUAUCACAUGUCACAUGUCAAGAAAUAAAAAAUAAAAAAUAGAUUAAAAUUUGAUAAAUUAUUUUUAUUUUCUAGUUCAAACUCAUUUUACUUAUUUGAAUAAAAAAAAUUAAAAAUUUAUAAUAAAAUCAUAUUUAAAAUUUUAUUCUUUUAAACUCUUUAUUCCCUAUUUAAACAACUAAUAGAUAUUUAUUGAUAUAUAUAUAUAUAUAUAUAUAUAUAUAUAUAUAUAUAUAUAUAUAUAUAUAUAUAUAAAAGACUUCAAAUUACCUUUGGAAAUGUCCAAAAUCCAAAUUAGUUGUUUCACCGAUGAAUUCUAUGCCCCCAAUCUUAAAUGGAACAUAUAUAUAUAUUGUUUCACCGAUGAAUUCUAUGCCCUAGAUCUUGAAUGGAACAUAUAUAUAUAUAUAUAUGAUGAAUUCUAUGUCAUCAUCAUAUUUUAAUGAUAAAUUCGGAUCAUCACAUGUCAUCUGAAUAUAAUAAAAAGUGUCCAACGUCCCACUAGCCUCAAUAAUACAUCAUAUUUUAACGAUAAAUUCAGAUCAUCAUAUAUCAUCUAAAUAUAAUAAAACGUGUCCAACCCAUGCCAAUUUUGUCAUCUGAAUACAAUCCACCACCAAGUGUCAAUGCCGCCUCAUCUUUUGUCAUCCUGUAUUUGCAUACUUUGGAAAAAGAAAAAAUAGCUAAACAAGAUGAUUACAUAUAUAAAUGAUAGAACAAUCAAACCCAAUAGCUAAACAAGAUGAUUACAUAUAUAAAGAAAAAAAGUUUUUCUUCAAUUCCUUUUUUCUAUGGUGAAGUAAAAAAUAAAAAAUAAAUUGAAUCUCUAAAACUUUAGUAAACUACACCCUUAAUGCAUUGUCAUUCCAUGAUUUUGUAUUUUAGUUUUUAUAUAUAUAUUUUAAUAUUAUCUGUUAGAUGAGAUUACUAAAACUUUUUUAUAUUUAAAUAUUGCUUCUCGGUUGGACUAAUCCAAUUUCAGACCACUUCUGCUUUGAAACAUACGCCCCCUUCCCCUCUUGUGCCGGAGAGAGCAUAUUUUAUUUGAAAACUAUAAAGAAUUCAUUUAAUUCACAUCAUUUUACCUCCCUUGAAUACAUUAAAAUAUGUCAACCGACGAGUAUAAAUGCACCUUUAUCAUUUAUAUACAUCUUCCUUUCCUUUUAAUCUCAUCUUCAUGCAUGUGUGGUAAAAUAUUUUUGGCUUUCAAGAUGAGCUGUGAAACUAUAUAUUAAGUUGGAUUAAUUAUUACAAAUUGCCAUUACUUAUAUUAGAUUAUAAAAUUUGGUCACAGUAGAGGGUAGUUGGAUGUUAAACUAUAAAUUAAGUUAUUCCAAAUUGCAAUUAAUAUUAUAGAUUAUUACAUUUGGUUGAUGUUUGCUAAUGAUAAUUAAGUUUGUCUUUUACCAUCUAGGUGUAGAGUAGUUGGUUGUGCUACCUUAAAAUAAGUAUGAUUAAAUUAUAUUAAAAUAUAUAACUAAUUGUUUUAGCUUAUAUAUAAUUUUAAUAUUUAGUUAAACUUGUUUCAUUGAGAAAAAUGUGUGAUUCUAAUAGAAAUAGAUACAAAUCUCCAUUUUUUUACUUACCCUCUAAUGUACUUUAGUUCAUUAGUCAAUUUUCUAUUCUUUUAUCAUUUCUUGUAAAUUUUUUGAAACUUGUCGUGAAAUUUAAUAAAAAAUAUAUAUAAUAUUUAUAACAGGAGAAAGACUUCUAUAACUAAUAUAGCUUUCUUAAGAGGAUUUAUAAUUUUUUUUUUCCAAAAUGUAGUGAAAUAAUUUUCUAAUUUCUACUUUCUUUUCAUAAUUAUGUGAGACAUGAAUGUUAAGGUAGCAAAAUUUUAAAACGGUUGGUUAAAUUCAUUAAUUCAUUAUUGUUCUUCCUAUUUCAAGCUUAAUUUGAAAAGAGUUAAAGAUGCCCAUCACCUAAUUAAAGUAAUUUUAUCUUAUUGAAGACAAUUGUGAUAGAGACAAUCUAAUGUGCCAAGUGAAGAGUUUGAUAAUUUUGUUGUGUCAAUGGAAGGUUCACUAUAAAAAAAAUGAAAAAAAAAAAUAUAAAAACAAAGAAAUCCAUAUGUAAAGAUACAUGAGGUUUUAAAAUUGUUCAAUCAAUCAUGUUUAUCUCCACAUAUAAGAGAUAACAUUUCAUUAUACAAUAGAUUACAAAUGAUAGAAAUAGAUGCAACUAUUGGGUCUCGAAACAUGCCACUUUUUCUCAUCAUUGUAUCUCCACCUUGAAUUACGAGCCCUUUCACUUCACUAGGUAUGUCUCGUUCUUCCUUACAUCUACAUUUUAAUGAGUCUUUUUGCGCUAUGAGCAUCUCUCGCUCUUCCUCACAUCUCUAUUUAACACGUACAACCCUCAUAAUCUCAUUAAACAUUUUUUCUUCAUGACUUGUAAUAUUUGUAAAGAUAUUCCUACUAGUUUUCCUUAUUCUAUUAAGAAAUCUAAUUACAAUUAUAUAUAAACUUAAGAAAUAUUUUAUAUAAUGUUUCUUUUACAAAAAGAAAUAUAUUCAAAAUAGGAAUUUAAAUUAACAUGUUUGGUUAAAUCAUUCAUUUAUUCAUUAUUGUUCUUUCUAUUUCAAGUUUUAGAAAGCUUUAAAGAUGGUCAACACCUAAUUAAAGUAAUUUUAUCUUAUUGAAGAAAUUUGUGAUAGAAACAAUUUGAUGUGUCAAGGGAAAAGUUUGAUAAUUUUGUUGUGUCAAUAGAAGCUUUAGUAUAAAUAAAUAGAAGAAAAUAAAAAUAAAGCAAUCCACGUAUAAAGGUACAUGAGGUUUCAAAGUUAUUCGACCAAUCAUGCCUACCUCCAUAUAUGAGAAAGAACAUUCCACUAUACAAUAGAUUAUAGAGGACAAAAAUAGAUGCAACUAUUGGGUUUCGAAACAUGCCACUUUUCCUUACUCUUUGUAUCUUCACCUUGAACAACAAGCCUUUUUGCUCCACUAAGAGUGUCUCACUCUUCAUCCCAUCUACAUCUUGGUGAGUCCUCUUACUCCAUGGGCAUCUCUUGCUCUUUCUCACAUCUUUAUUUGGCACGUGUAGCUCUCACAAGCUCAUCUCUCUAUCAUAACUUUUUCUUUCAUGACCUAUAAUAUUUAUAGAGAUAUAUUCCUACUAACUUUCCUUAUUAUAUAAGAAAUCUAAUUACAAUCACAUAUAAACUUAAGAAAUAUUUUAUAUAAUAUUCCUUUUACAAAAAGAAAUAUAUUCCAAAUAGGAAUUUAAAUUAAUAUGUUUAGUUAAAUCAUUCAAUUUACCAAAUGCCCUCUUAUUACAUUGAAAUGAUUGUUUAGAACUAUGAAAUAGAAAAAUAUAAAUAAAUAAAUAAAUAAAUAAAAUAAAAUGAGAGGAGAGUGUAAAUUACCCUUCAAUUGUUGUAAUUAGGGAUGCAAUGGAAAAAAAAUAAUAAAGCUAGAUUUAAGUAGCAUGAUAGUAUUUUGCUUUUGGAGCCAACAUUUAUCUUUGACUUUAGGGGUAUCAGAUACCUUGUGCCAAUCUUCUCCAAUGUCCUCGUCAUAGCAUUGUUGUAGAAUCUUAGAAUAUGAGAUGACUAAUUCCUAUAGUGGUUUCUGUUGAAACCACUUUACAAAAGAGACACACAGAGGAGGAUAGAAAAUAAUUUUAUUAAUAUGGUGAUAUUUUUAAACUUCACCUGAUACAAGCCUUUUAUAGGCAAAACCAUCAACAGAAAUAGAAAUACUAAAAAAUAGGAAUAGAAAGAUAACUAGUCACUCUAAACGUGCUGCAACGACCUCCCUAAGACUCGAACAAUUCCUAAUUUAUUGAAAAACUAAACAGAGGCAUAUUUUUGACACAAAAACAAACUUGACUUGUUCAAUACAUCCUCUCAGCCACAUGCUGAUGUUGAUAACUUUAACACUCUCCCUCAACAUCAGCUUCCAAAAUCUUUACCAUACCGAGCUGAUGACAAAAGCUUUCAAACUUGCUACCACUCAAACCUUUUGUGAAUAAGUCUGCAACUUGGUCUUCUGACUUAAUCUGCUUCAGCUCAACCUCUUCUUCUAGGACCUUUUCCCUGAUAAAAUGAUAAUGCACUUCCACAUGUUUUGUUCUUGCAUGAAAGACUAGAUUCUCCGCCAAACGAACUACCGACUGGUUAUCACAGUACAAUGGAACUGCAUAGUCCACUAGUUGAUGUAGAUCAUUCAUCAGCCGUAUAAGUCACGUACUUUCUUGAGCUGCCAUUGUUGCUGCUCGGUACUCUGCCUCCGUUGUUGACAGAGAUACUGUCAGUUGUCUCUUGCUACACCAAGAAAUUGCUCCUGAUCCAAGCAUAAACACAUACCCGGUAGUUGAUCUGCGGGUGUCGUGAUCUCCUGCAUAAUCAGCAUCACAGUAGCCAACUAGCUUGCAAUCUUCAACUUUCUUGUACAACAGACCAUAAUCAAUUGUACCCUUCACAUAUCUCAAAAUUCGUCGAACUGCUUCCAAAUGAGGUUUCUUUGGAUUUUGCAUGUAUUGACUCAUCACACCAACUGCAUAAGAGAUAUCGGGUCUAGUUAAAGUUAAGUAAAGCAAACUACCCACCAAUUGUCGAUACAUUGUUGCAUCUUUCAAGUCUUUGCCUUCGUGUUCACACAUCUUGGCAUUUGGUUCCAUUGGUGUUGAGAUCGGCUUACAUUCGAGCAUCUCGAACUUUUUCAACAAAUCUUUGGCAUAUUUUUUUUUACAGAGAAAUAUCCCUUUGUGUGUACGAUCCACCUCUAGCCCAAGAAAGUGCUUAAGUUGUCCAAGUUCUUUCAUCUCGAAACGAACUGACAAGUUCUCCUUUGUUCGGCAAAUUUCUUCAAUAGCAUCUCCAGUGAUGAUUAGAUCAUCUACGUAUACAAGUACGAUAACUAACUUUCCUCCAUUAGCUUUGACAAACAAGCUAGAAUCUGCAGGUGUUUGAAUACCCACUUUGAGUUAGAAAUUCAGCAAUCUUACCAUACCAUGCUCUGGGUGCUUGUUUCAAUCCGUAGAGUGUCUUCCGCAGCUUACAUACAUAUUCAGGAUGACCUUGACUCUGAAAGCCCAUCGGCUGAUUCAUAUAGAUCUCCCGAUCCAACUCUUCAUGCAAGAAUGCAUUCUUCACAUCCAUCUGCCACAAGUCCCAAUCUUUGUUAGCUGCAAGUGCAAGUAAGACUUGUACAGUUGUAAUUUUUGCAACUGGACUAAACGUUUCAUCAUAGUCUAGUCUAUAUUGUUGAGAGAAUCCUCGAGCUACCAAACGAGCCUUGUUUUUUCUAUUGAUCCAUCUAUGCGACGUUUUAUCUUAUAAACCCAUUUGUAGGAAAUAGGCUCUACAUCUCUUGGCUUUGGCACGAGCUCCCAAGUCUGAUUUCAUUUUAAUGCUGCAAUUUCCUCUUUCAUAGCUUUACUCCAGUCUGGAUUCUGAAAUGCUUUUGCAAAUGUCUCUGGUUCUUUUGCGUUUGCAUUUUCUACUAUGGCAACAUUGGCAUAUUUGGGAUUUGGCUUCUUGGUUCUUGCUGAUCUUCUAAGUGGAAUUGGUGCUUCUGUUUCACUAGGCUCACCUUCUUUGCUUGGUUGUCCAUGCACACCAGUUUGCCAAGGACUUUGAGUUUCGUCAUCUCCGAUAUCACCAUCGGCUGCAUUUUCAGCUUCACCCAAGCUUAGUUGGAUUCUAGCAGAUUGCAACUCAUCCUUAAAAACAUCUGAAUCUGGUAAUAUUUCCUUUUCUGAGGACCACCAUGAAGAUGAUUCAUCAAACACCACAUUCCGGGAUGUGUAACACUUUCCAGUUGUAGGAUCGCAGCAUCUCCAUCAUUUUCGUUGACUAUCGUAUCCUACUAAGACACACCUAACAGUCUUCUUGUCCAUCUUGCUGCGUAAAUGAUUAGGUACAUGAUUACUACUCAAAAAGUGCUAUUUCAUAGCUUGUAAUGAACUCUUUUAAACACUUUUGAGUAGUAGUUAUCACCUUUUAACCCAAUUAACAUAUUAAGGACCCUUGCAAUCAAUUAUAAUCAAAUUGUGUAAGUUUUGGUGUUUUUCGUUAGUAAUUUGAUCACCAAAGCAAUCCAAGAUUGAGGAGAGUUCUUUGGAAUCCAUGGCAAAGCAAUGAAAGUUGUCCGGAUAGGAUAUGCUAUCAUCCGGACAGGGCGUCCGGGCACACCAUCGAAGGGCGGCGGAACGUGGGUCUUUUUCAUCAGGAAAACAUAUCCGGAUAGGGGAGCGCGCCGCCAUUACAUCCGGCUGCCGCCACUUUCCACCCGGAUGUAUCACAUCCAGAAUUCUGCUGUCGCCGCCAUUCCAUCCGGAUAUUUUGCAUCCGGCUCCUGGAAAUGAGAGGCGUUUCAACUUCCCCGGUUGGACAUAUCCGGAUCCUCUGACAACGUAGCCGGAGAGUUUCGCAGCCAUUUUGCACAGUGUCGCGGUGUUCUCCUGAAGCUUCCAGAUAUGUGCGACCGACAAUUGGGAUAUUUUGAGAUAUUUUGUUUUAGAUAUUUGUUGUCUAAAUCCCCAAACUCUCCUUGUAACCCACCAAUUAUAGGAUUCCUUAGUUAUUAAGUUUGGAAAAAGGAUGAAUAACCUUGUUUAUAUUAUUAUUGUAAUUUUCAUAUAAAUAUCUCUUGGGAGCCUGUUCUCAGGAGAAGACGAAUCUUUUGUAUAGUUUUCAAAGGAAGAAAAAUACAGAGCUUUGCUCUACUUUACCUUCUCAUUUUGAUUGUAUUUUCUUACUAGCCAAACAAGCUCUGAGGAUGUUUCCUCAGAGAAUGAGUGGCUAGACUUUUAGUUCCUUGGAGUUAAGGUUGCAGGGAAAGGUUUCAAGUGCAAGAAUUAGUAGCUUUGUGGUUUCAGCCAUUAAUGAAGAGAAAGUGUGAUCCUUUAAUGAUUUCUAUGUUUUUAGUUAACUUAAAACGCCUUCAAUUCACUUGAGCCAACACUUGGUAAGGCAAGUGAUCUCCGUCCAUGGAGAUGCACUAGUUUACCUCUUGCGAGCUUUUGGGAAGUGACUUGAAGGUAGGAUUUUCUAGAAUUGCCAACACUUGGUAAGCUUUUGGACUCUAAGGAGACAUCCAUUAGUUAUCUCUUGUGAGCUUUUGACGGGUAAUCCAAGGUUAAAUAUCACCUUGAAUGGCAAGUGCUAGGUGAGAGGUACGAGCCAUUGCAAGUUGCAUCAGUGAGAGGGAAUUAGAGCUUAAAUCCAUUUAAAGGAUACAUCUGUACAACACCGAUUAGAGAAUUGACUAUAUGUUAAUUCUCUAAUGCGAGGAAAUGAACCAAAUGACCGGAGCUCUGUUUUUGCAUGAGCAACCUCCCCUGUGAACCUAAACCUCCAAGGAAUGUUUUCUUCAUAAGUAAAUUCCAUUACUUCCUUUGUCGUUAGUUUAAACCUAAACCUUUUUCAAUCAAAGUUUGUGUUUUAUUUCUUAAGCUAACCUUGAAAUAGAAAGGCACCAAUUCAUCUUUGAAUUGGUAUCAUUUAUGAAUUGAAAACCCUUCCCAGUGAACGAUCCUAGAGCCAUUAUACUAUAGUAGCUUUGUCUUUGCUACCCUAGUACAUGGUGUAAUAGGUUAUAAAUUUUGUUGAUUACUCCCUCAAUCAAGGAGCACCAGCUGGACAUGAAUCAGCUUAGACACCAAUUGGGCACGAAUCAGUACAAAGACAUAGCAAACACAUCUGAAAACUUGAAAAUAACUAACUGUAGGCUUUAUGUUCCACAAUUUUUCAAAGGGUGAUGAAAAAUUUAACCUUUGUUGAGGAAGCCUAUUGAUCACGAAAGCUACAGUCUUCAUUGCUUCUGCCCAAAACCGUCCUGGAACAUUCUUUGCAUGAAGCAUACUUCUAUAGAUUUCUGCUAGGUGCCUGUUCUUUCUUUCUGCUACGCCGUUUUGCUACGGAGUGUUGGCACAUGUGAACUGAUGGCGUACUCGGCAUUCUCGGAGAAAGUAAAAAAACUCAUUUGAGGUAUACUCUCCCCCAUUGUCAAUACGCAGACAACGGAUUCUUUUAUCAACCUCUGCUUCCGUCAUUUCCUUGAAUUCUUUAAACUUUGAGAAAGUUUCAGAUUUUUCUUUCAUAAAGUACACCCACACGUACCUGGAAAUAUCAUCAAUAAAGGUCACCAUGUAUUUCAUCCCACUAAGAGAGGCUUGCUUAACAGGUCCAAACACAUCAGAGUGAAUUAGCUCUAAUGGCCCCUUUGCUUUCCAUUUUGACUCUUCAUACGGUAACUGAUGCGCUUUGCCGUACUGACAUCCUGCGCAAAUUGUAUAUUUUCUCACUUCAAGUUGUGGAAGUCCCUUCAACAUUGACUUUUUCAUCAUCACAAUUAGUUUGGAAUAACUAACAUGACUGUAGACCCUCAAUUUUGUCCAUUUAGCACACGUCUUUAAACUCGUUUUCAGUGCUCCACAGUAGCUCCUUGAUGGCCCAUUACUACUCGUACAAUUUACCUUUUUCUAAGUCACCUCGGAGAUUUUGGUUGAGGGAUUAUCUGACCCCUUAUUGUGACCUUUGGCAGCCCUAAUUUAGACUUAGUCGUUCAUUUUUAGGAUAGUUCUUAGGCAUGUUUAGGCCAUUUAGACAAUGUCCCAAUCACUUUAGGACACUUAGUUCAUUAGGCACCCAUGUAGGGCCGUUUAAACACUUCAUCGGAUUUAACUUUUAUAUAUAUAUAUAUAGAUAACUUUUAUUAUUGUUAUUAUUAUUAUUAUUAUUAUUAUUAUUAUUAUUAUUAUUAUUAUUAUUGCAUGCAUUCGAUAAUUAUAUAUAUUUUGGUUAUUCAUUUUCAUUUUUACUCUUUAUUUGUUUAUUAUUAUCAUUGUCAUUAUUAUUAUUAUUACUAUUUUUAUUUUUUAUUUUUUAUUUAUUUUUAUUCUUAUUUUAUUUAUUUACUUACUUAAUAGAAAAUUGCUUAAAUUGUUUAGACCUCAAAUGUGCAUAGGACCUCUUAUCGAAUAAUGGAAUUAUAUAACCUAGCUAGUCUCUCCUAGUUCUCUUUCUUUCAUUUGAAAUCAUAUUUCAUUAUAUUACUAAUGUCAUUAGUUUCAUAUAUUUUCUUUUACUUUUUAAUAUUAUUCUAUUCUAUUUUGCAUGAGGAGAGGAAUUGCAUAUUCCGGAAUAGGUGGCUCGUGUGAAAGCAAAAGAUGAAGCCAAUGAAGCUACCAUGGGAGGGGAAGGUACUAGAGAAUUCAAAUUCUAAAUGACUUGUACGUGGAGAAGCAAGGAAUAGCAUGCGUGUCGCACCACAAAGUGACAGCUGGAUAUUCCUCAUAGGGAUAUGGGGAUUUCAGGAUGCCUUUACGGAAGGUACAUGAAAGAGGACAAGACGAGAUCACCUUUUGAGAUGAGGGACUCUCAAGAGUUCUAUUGGGGGCUGCGUCUCAUUGCACUCUCCUGAAAAGUAGGGAAAGCUUGAAACCGAUUUCAGAUGCACAAAGCUUAACCAAACCCGUAGAGGGAACAAGUAGUGCUCCGAUCCAACCAUACGAUUCUACCCCUCAUCUCCCGUCUAUGGUGGAUCUGUUUCUUCAAGGAUGUUCAGAGGUCCUGAAAAAUGGCGGUCCCUGUGUUGGGAACCCUCCAACGUUCCGGACUGGAUUAGGAAAGUCAGUUACAGUAAAACAAUUUUCAAUAGCAAAAACGUUAUCUACUCUUGGUGGUAUUGAUUUCGGUGCUGGAAGCCAAGAUCAUGAUAGAGAUGGUGGAUGUGGUUUUUUUGAAUCCUCUUUUCUAGGCUGGUUCAGAAGAAAUGGUCGGUAUUUCUACUACUAGUCCGGUCAGAGCCAAGACAUUGUUGGGGUUAGAAGAAAAUACGGUCAUCAUUCUUGUCAAGAACACAUCACAAGGCAGAGUGUAAUGGAUGGCUUAGAUGGUGAACGAGAUUCUUCGUUUGGAGAUAUAAGAAGAUUUGAGCAGUAUAAAAGAGAGGACUCCAAACCAGUUCCAAGUUCUCUUGAUACUAGUACUUCUCGGAGAACAGAAUCAACAAAUGAGGUUGUUCCCAACCUCAAGCAGACAGAAAUAUAUAAUCUUGCACCAAAUUCGCCACCAGUCAGGUUUCAUAUUGCAGAUGCAGAUCAUUGAGGGGUCAAGGGAGGAUUUUCAGGUGAACGGCGUGUUUUCCGUCAAUAAAAUUGGAGUUUCUCCUCCGGAAAGGAUGUCAACAGCCAGCGUCAUCAACAGUUUGUUUUCUGGCGAAGAUUUGAGCACGAUCAUGGUGCUGCCAGUGAGGAAAGACGCCAUGGUCACAUCACCCAAGCAAGGUUGAACUCCGGCAGCCAUCACCGAGAAUGAAUGGAGAUUUAUGCUGGAAAAUACCACGACCCACCGCCACGCGUUCGCCAUGGGAAAAGAAGAGAAAUCUUGAUUUGUCGAUCUUACAAAGCUGCCGGAAUAUUCUUUGUCUUUUCUUUUCGGUGAAGUUUGCAUUACGAUGUGAAUGUUCCAGCGCGUGAUGGUGUAGGAUAAGGUUCCAGCCUGAUCAAUCCGAUUAAAUUAACGGCAGAUGAUGCAGUCAUUAAGAUCUGGACACUUGCCAAACGGGGUACAGGGCAACAUCUUUAAAAGAGUCUCCAAGGUGAACAAAACGUAAGCACUUUCCAUAUGUCCAAAGGCAUUAAAAAAAGAAACAAAAUAUUCCAUACAAAGAUAGGUGCUGCCAUAUAAAUAAGGGUCAGAGAGAACACGCAAGGGACUUUUCUUUUUUUGGUGGAGAGAUCAAGACAUAAAGCAGAUUUCUUCCAGAGAGGACGGAGACAGAUUUUUUUUAGAGAGAUCCAUAGCAGAGGAGAUAUUAUUUUGCUGAAACAAAAGAAGGAUUUUUGGCAGGAGAAGGAGAAAGGAGAGAAGAGAUAUUAUUUUUCUGGGAACAAAGAGAGGUCUGAAGGAAGAGGAAGGAGGCAGCCACCACACAUUCACCAUUGAGCACUAGCAGCCGCACCACCAUAGAGGAAUUCUAGAGAAGGUAAGUUAGAAUUUCUAAGGAUUUUAGUUUUAAUUUUUUAUUGGAUUGAAAGUUAGAGUUUUUAUGUAUUAAUUUUGAUUUUUUUUUUAAUCGGAUGAAAAAGUUAGAAUGUAGUUAGUUUGAUUUUGAUUCAUUGUCUUGGUUUCAAAAGUUAGGUUUUAUUUAGUUUAAUUUUAAUUCAUUAUGUUUGUCUCGAAAAUUUAGAAUUUUUGUUUGAUUCAAUUUUUUAUUCAUUGAACUAGAUUGAAAGGUUAAAAUUUUAUUUAAUUUAUUUUUUAUUCCUUGCGUUAUUUUUGAAAUGUUUGAAUUUUGUUUAAUCUAGUUUUGAUUUUUUUAUAUUAGAUUGAAAAGUAAAUUUUUGUUUGCUUAGUUUUGAUUCAUUACUUUGGUUUAAAAGGUGAGAAUUUUUUGUUUUAUUUUAAUUUUGAUUCAUUAUAUUACAUUGAAAAAUUAGAAUCUUUGUGUAGUUUGGAUUUGAUUCCUUGCUUAGUUCGAAAAGUUAGAAUUUUGCUUAGAUCGGUUUUAAUAGAUUUAAUUUUAAAAGUCAGUUUUUUUUAUGAGUCAGCUUUUUAUUUAGUUCAAGUGUUUUAUAAUUUUUAGUCUAUCAUUCUAAUUGAUCCUAUGUAAUAAAGUUUAUGUUUUUAAGUUUAUUUUGAUCAUGUUUUGGUUCAUCUUAUUUAGUUUAGAUAUUUUAGAAUUUUAGCUCAUUAGUCUAUUUGAUCCCAUCUAAUUAAAUUUAUGUUUUUUUAAAAAAAAAAUUGUAAAUCAUUUUUCUGAUUCAUCCUUUUUAGGAUUUAAGUUGAUUAGUUUAAGAAAUAUUUGGUUAAUUCUUGGUUGAUCCACUUUUAGUUUGUAUGUUUUCCAAAGUUUUAGAUAACUAAUUUAAUUAACCCUAAGUCGUAUUAUUCAUGUUUUGAGUAUACUAAUCUUCAUUCUUGGUUUAUCAAUAUUUAGUUCAUGCUUUUUUUUUUCUAAUAGGUUAAUUAGUUUAACUAAUCUUAUGUUAUUUUGCUCACGUUCUAAAAUUGAUGAUUCUAGUUUUUGAUUAGUUAAUAUGUUUUAGAAUUCUAUGUGCUUGUGUUACUAUAUUCACAUUAUUAUAAUUACAUGUUUAGGUGUUUGGUUGAUUUUAAAUUAGUUCUAGAUUGUUUAUCUCAAUUUAUGUGUUUGAUUGAUCCUUAUAAAUUCCCGAUUAAUAUUUCAUUAGUUUUAUUUGAUCUAAAGUCGUUUGGUUUGUUGCUUUGGUGAAUAUUUAUUAAAUUUGAUUUUUAGAGGCCAUUGGAAAAUCAUGAAGAUUGGCCUCUACCAUCACCAUUAUCAUUUUUGUUAAUUACUAAAAAAAAUUUUACUUUGAGGUUUCAUUUUUGUUUUGUUUGGUGUUUUAUUUCUUAUAUUUUAUUUUUUCCCAAAUUAAUCCCUUUUAUUUUAAAAUAAAAUACUUUUAUCAAAAAAUCAUUUUAAAAAAUCUAUUUCAAAAACUCAUUUAGAGUCCUCAGGAUCAAAAUCUUUUUUUUUUAUUUUAAAAAAAUAAUAUGCAACCAUAUUUUGUUCGGUUUGCAUCUUCUCGGUUUUCAACAAAAAUUUUGGUUUUGAACAAAGACACGAAUCAAAGCUUGUGGUCCCACAUAAAUGGGAUAAUUCUGAGCUAAAUUCGUGUAUAUCAAUUGGGGAAUUGGUGAAACCCCUACAUAAGAAAAUCUUUUCAAAAAUUAUUUUUGUUGCCAUUUUUGUCACUUUUUGAAAUUAUAUCUAUCUUUUUUUUAGAAAUUGUAUACAAGAUGAGUGUGAUAAUUAUUAUUUUCAUAUAUUUUGACAAUUUCUGCUAUGAUAAUUAGAUAACGAGCAUGCUAGGACUUCUUAUUUUAUUGUUUGUUAUCUAACCUCUCAUGUUUUGUGGAAGCGCAUUAGGAGUUAAAUAUGCUAUCCAGGUACGUUCCCUAAUACCCACUUUCUAAACCCUAUGAAUAUGUAUGCCCAUGCUUGCUAUCCUCUUUAAUUGCCUUGAUACACAUUUGAUGAUUGUUUGAUUAUCUUUGAUAAAACAAAUGUUGUGUGAUGUAUCUCCAAACUAAUCUCUUAUGUUUUAUGAUAGCGCUUGGGAAGCCGUCCAGGUACGCAUUUUUAACUCUCCUUAAUUGUGAUUUGAUUUUGUUUGAUAUGUUAUGUUCUUUUUGGAAUCACCUAGCCUACUUAAGUAUCUGAAAUCAACCAUUUAAUUGCCACGCUUCCCUUAACUUAGUCAAUAAAGACCUCUUUAGGGCUUAGAGGGGUGCUACCUCCUAGAGGUACCUUCCCAAUAAGUAACCUGAUCCCCGGACUUGGACUCGGGUUUUUCAAAGACACGCUUUUCCAAAAAUUAUGGAGUCAUUUUUUAGGGUUUUAUUUCUUGUUUUAUUUUCCCUUUUAAAAAAAAAUAAAAUAAGUGGCGACUCCAACUUUUUUUCCAAAAAUCAAAUUUUCACAAAAAUAAUAAAAAGCGAGUCUCGCCGAUCGAGUGGGGACGCACGUGAAAAAUGCGGGUCCACAAUGACUUAAUCGCAUAUGCCAUAAAUCGGUUGUCUCGUUCUUUUUGGUCUUGUCUACAUAUGCGGUUUCUGCAGACAUCACAUAGACUGACUCUAGUCUCCGUCCCUUUAUCACCGACUCUUCCAUAAUCUCAAGGUCACGAUAAACUUUCACAUCUUGAGGACCAAAUAGAACAAAUGGCCUGAAGACGUUAAUUGUGCUACCGAGAGAAGAUUUUUCUUCAUACCUGGGACGUGAUAGACAUUUUGAAGCGACACAUCAUUAGUAUUAUAUUGGGAAGAGACUAUCGUAUUACCAAUGUGAGCUAUUGGUAGUUUUGAGUUGUUCACUGUGACUACCAUAUGUCUUCCCUUGUACUCCGACAAAUCCUGCAGCUUUUCUUUAUCACCCGUCAUAUGAUUUGAGCAGCCUGAGUCAAUGAUCCAAUCCUUCUCAUAAUCAAUUUUUUCAGACGUUGUUGCUAUAAAAGCUGAUUCUCCUAUUGCAGCAAAAAAUACCUGAGCGUCCCACUCAUCUUCGCUUUUGGAAGUAGCAGCAUUACUUUCCACAAGCCCUUUUUUCGACCAACAAUCUUUUGCCAUGUGACACUUCUUUCUGCAAUUGUAGCACUUCCCUUCAAAUUUUUUCCUGGUGCCAAGAUUCUUCAAAUCUUCCUCAACACGAGCGUUCCUUUCACCUUGACUACUUUUUGCCUUGUCCUCAUUCUUUUUAGUUCUUCUGACGGUGUGCUGCUUGGAAUUCCACCUGCCUUUGUGGGCAUAAAGCGCUUCCUCUUCACCCUUGAGUGAAACUCCUCCCAUUUGUUUAGCCAAGGCUUCUUGACCAGCAAGCAAAUUCUCAAACUCAACAAGUGAUGGUUGAUUUUUCCAUCCCUGUACAGCAGCAACAAAACCUCUGAAUUCUGGUCUCAAACCAUGGAUGAUUAUUCUAUUCAUCUUGGUUUCACUGAUUGGGGCUUCUAGAUCCAACUCGGAAAUUUCCCGGCAUAACGUCUUCACCUUGUGAAAGUACUAAGCGAUCGUCAAGUCACGUUGUGCUACCGACAACAACUCGCUCUCUAGAAGUUGGAGCCUUGUGUCAUUCUUCUUUGAGAACAGCUUGGUGAACGUAUUCCAAGCUUCGUAAGGGGUUUCGGCAUCUCGAAUGUGCUCUAGCACAUCUUCUUCGAUCGUUGUCUUCAAAGCAAACAUCGCUUUGCCCGCUUUUAUCUUCCAUUUCCACAGUAUACCAUUCGCAUCCUCAGUCUUCGGUUGAGUAAUUUCGCUUCCGUUCACAACCUCCCAUAAGUCUUGGCCUUGCAUGUACGACAUCAUGCAUGUUGACCAAGUAUUGUAAUUUUGGUUGUUGACCUUUUUUAUUCCGCCAAUGACUUGAAGAUCACCCAUUUCAAUCUCUCUUUUCCUCACGUGUUUGACUCUCAAACACUCUCUGAAAUCCCUCUUCAACCUAGCUCUGAUACCAAAUGUUGAAACCACUUUAUAAAAGAGACACACAGAGGAGGAAAGAAAAUAAUUUUAUUAAUAUGGUGAUAUUUUUAAACUUCACCUGAUACAAGCCUUUUAUAGGCAAAACCAUCAACAGAAAUAGAAAUACUAAAAAAAUAGGAAUAGAAAGAUAACCAAUCACUCUAAACGUGCUGCAACGACCUCCCUAAGACUCGGACAAUUCCUAAUUUAUUGAAAAACUAAACAGAGGCAUAUUUUUGACACAAAAACAAACUUGACUUGUUCAAUACAUCCUCUCAGUCACAUGUUAAUGUUGAUAACUUUAACAGUUUCUUAAUUAGGAGCAUAUAGUCCGUCGAUCCCUUCAACUUUUGUUAAUAAUAGAUUUCCAAGUAACUGAGACAUGGCAUUACAAACUUCUCUUCUUAGUCUUCUUCUUUUGUUGAAAAGUUAAACUUGAUUUAAAACUUUAUAAAUAUUAUAAUUAUAUUUAGUCUCUAAAGUUUAAGAAAGAAUAUUUUAUUUUGAAUGAUUAUUUUAGUUUCUAUUUUUGAGUUACAAAUCUUAGAAGGUUUCUAUAUUUUAUUAUUAGGAGUUUCUAUUUUAUUGAGUGUGAAUAUGUAUAAAUAAGGUUAUAUAAUAUUUAAACAAAAGAGAGAGUGGUGGAAUACAACAAAUUUUAUCUUCUUUAUAAUUGUUUAUGUUUCUCUAUCAACCCUAUUAUUUAAAAAAAAUGGUAUUAAAGCCAUACGAAAAAAUGAAAAGUGGGAUAUAUGUGUUUCAAAUCCCUUAACUCAACAAAAACAAUUACAACAAUUGGAAUAUCAAGAUAAACGCUUUGCUUGGUUUACAAGAUGCAUGGGGGUUUGUAGAGAAAGACUACAAAGAGCCACAAGAUGAAACCACUCUAUCCUUAAAUCAAAGGGAUUUUUCAAAAUAAAUGAUGAAGAGAGACAAGAAAGCUUUCAUCAUUAUCUAUCAAGCAAUGGAUAAAGGCUCUUUUGAGAAGAUUUCAAGUGCAAUCACCUCCAAGGAAGUCUAAGAGAUAUUACAAGAUGCAUACAAGGAAGUUGAUAAGGUAUGAAAAGUUUGUCUUCAAACUCUUAGAAGAGAAUUCGAAGGUUUAAAUAUAAAAUAAUUAGAAGCAAUCUCCAAUUAUUUUUCUAAAGUAUUGACUACUAUGAAUUUAUUAAAAAGAAAUGGUGAGAGUUUAAAUAAUACUCGUGCAAUUACAAAAAGAUACUUCAACUAGAUUUGAAGUUUGAUUAUAUUGUUGUGGUUGUUGAAGAAUCUAAAGAUUUAGAUUCUAUGACCAUUGAUCAACUUAUUAGAUCGUUGCAAGCCUAUGAAGAGAUAUUAAAAAGGAAUAAUCAAGAAAAAUUAGAACAAGUUCUUCAGAAAAACUUUCAUUAAAAGACAUUGAAGAAAAUUUUAAUGAAAGGAGUCAAAAUAAUUGUGGGCAUGAUCAUGGAUGUGACUAAGGCAAUAGAGGAAGAGGUAGUUUCAAUUCAUCAAAAAGGAAAAAAAACCCAAACUCAUAUUCCUCAAGAGAUCAUGGAAGAUGACACAACUCGAGGCAAAGUAAAAGAGGAAUGUGAGUAUUUAGCUAGAUUGGCAAUUCUGGACAAAAUUCCUAAGUGUCUCAUAAUUCAGUUUUUUUCCACAUCCUUCUUUGCAUUACUUGCCUAAUGAAGAUCAAGUUGUUAUAUUUUCUAAGAGACCAAGGUAUGUGGUUGAGGUUGGAGUUUGAGGAAAUUGAAUCAACCAUGUUUUUUUUUCUUGAAAUAUUUAUUAUUUUUUUAGGAGUUAGGGAGGCUUAUGAAGCAUUUUUUCUUUUUCUUUUUACUAAGUGUUUAAUUAUCUUGUUCUAGGAUCAAUCCAGCUUUAGGUUAAAUCAAUCUUGGUUGCACUUUCUCGAUAUUAUUUCAUCUAUUAGAUUAAGGGUUUCUUUCAACUUUAAAAACUAAAAAAAAAAAAAAUAGCUUCUAAAAAUAGAGAGAAAAAUGUAAGGUUGCCCCUUAUACUCUCUUGUCUUACUAAAUUGAUGGUGUUUUAUUGUCGAGAAAAUCUCAUUUUGUUCCUGAUUUUCAGGUAGUUUUCCAACAAGUUUUCUUGGGAAAAAAAAUGGUUUGAUUCUUUCUUUCAUUCAUCUCUCAAUUUUUAAUCUAUUUGGGUUUGAGUGAAAACCCAUUUUCUUCUUGAUUGAGCUUCAAGAAGAGGCCGAGAUCAAGCUCUGUGGAUGCUAAGUAUGUCUUGAAAGAUGAAGGUAUGCAACUUAAGUGAGAUGCUGAUCAAGUAGUCUGUGAAGGAUUAAAGGAUUUGACCUAGCUAAAUCCUUGUACACAUUGCUUGUUCUUUAUAAUGGAAUUUUUUAUCGAUGGCAUAGUUUUUUAUCUCUUCAUAGAUUUUCCACAUAAAUUCUAGUGUCACCGUCUCUCUUUUUCUCAUUUUACUCCUUGAUUUAUUUUCAGUUUUAGUUUUCAUUUAUACUUGGGUAUAUAAGUUGAAUGGAAGAACAAUGGGUUGAAAUAAGUGUAAUUUUCUAUAGAUAUCCUAUAUAUAUUAUGAACCGUGUUAUUGAGAGUUGGUAGAUAUUGAUUAUAUUGAUUAUUUUCUAUAUAUAUUGAUUAUUUUGAUAUAGAUAUUUGGUAGAAAUUGACAUUUGUGUUAUUGAGAAAUUAUUGUUAUGAACUGUGUUGGGGAGUAUUGAAGCAUGCACAUGUGACUUGCAUUUGAAAAUUGUUGGAAGAGUGUUGUUUGUCACAAGAUGCUUCAAAUGACCCUUCCCAUAGGCUUAUGUAGAGCCCAGGAAGAAAGACAUUUGCGCCAUAGAGAUGGUGGAGGACUUUAAAAAGGAUAUCAAGAGGCAGUUCUACCUUGAUGAUGUGGCUUACCUAGCUAGGAAAAAUAUGAGGCGUCUCAAGCACAUAGGCUCGAUAUGCGACUAUGUUAAGGAAUUUUCUUCGCUCAUGCUUGAGAUUCCUAACAUGACUGAGGAGGAGGAGUUGAUAUUCAGCUUCAUGGAUAACCUACAAUGGUGGGUUGAGUAGGAAUUAAGGCACUAAGGCGUUCAAGACUUAGCCACUGCUAUGGCAGUAGCAGAGUCUUUAACAGAUUAAAAGAGGGAAUACUCCUCCAAGGUUAAGUCUUUAGAGGAUAACCACGCCACGGGUGGAGGAGAUGAGGUUUCAAGGGACCAUAAUGCUCCUAGAAUGGGAUUAGGCAAGAUGCCUAUCAUCCAGGAAGGAAAGGGUAAGGCGAAAAGGAAGGAGUUUACGCCUAAAAUAAAAUGCUUCCUGUGUGACGGUCCAUAUUGGGCACGGGAUUGUCCAAAGAGGAAGGCACUCAGUGCCAUGAUUGAGGAGAGGGAACAGAAAGAUGAAGCACAUAUGAGCUCGAUGUAACUACUAGGUGCCCUCCAAGUCAACCCAAAGCCUAGUACGCCUAAGACAUCCUUACUAUCAGGGGUGCAAGUAAAUGAGGUAAAAGGGGAACAAGCUGAGGUAACCCACUCACACAUGGACAAGGUCACCAAAGGAAAGGUGAACUCGAUGGGCAAGAUAUAGCAGCACUCCAAACAUCGAAAGUGCAGGGGGUCUGCAUCCAUCCGAGGCCUCAAGGGAAAAGGAGGUGGAAAAUAUCCUGGUUGAACUGGUUACCAGUAGACAAGGGGUCCCUCCUGUGAUAGAGUAUCUAGUCCGAUGGAAAUGACUACCUAAAAGACAGGUAAGCUAGGAACAUGUGGAUGCCUUGAGAAGGUUUUGGAGACACAUCGAGAGGUUUUAAGAAAAGGCAACGACGGGGACGUUGACAGCAUAGGUGGAGGAGAGUGUCACAAGAUGCUUCAAAUAACCCUCCCCAUAGGCUUAUGUAGAGACCAAGAAGCUUCUGGAGACUUCUACACUUAGACAUUGGAGAGAAGAGUGUGGAAGGUUCUAGAGAUGCCUAGAGAAGUCCACACAUCUCUACACUAUGGUGGAAGGCAUGAGAGGAGUCCAAGGCUUUCUAGAGAAUUCUAGAGAUCUCUUGUAUAUUCUUGUACAUAGGCUUGUACAUAGAAUGGUAUAGGGUGUUCUAGAAUAUUCUUGAUUUGUAAGGAACCCUCCAAGGUUCCAAAGAGUUCCAUUGGUGUCCUCAUUUGGCCAAGGCACCACCCAAAAACCACCAAAAUCACUUCCUAGCCAAGCAAGUGAGUUCCCAAAGCACUUGUAAAGCUUCCUUUGAGAAAUAAAAGCUUCCAUUCUUUAAGAGUUUCCUAGUACAAGUCGUGAGCAUCUUAGCCUAACAAGUUAAGCAUUGGGAGUAAGGCUGACUUAGCAAGAUCAAGUGUCUUGACUUGUCUAAGUGCUGCACGAGCUUAGGAAAAAACUAAGUCCAUGACAUGUUGCAUUCAUACUUGCAUGUGACUUUUAAUAUUUGUUGAAAUGUACUUAAAGAGAAGAAAAAUUGUGAGAAAUUUUAUGAUUAGAUAAUGUGUUAGGGAUCCUUUUGAAUUGAUUUAAAAAACACCUAUUCACCCCACCCCCUACCCCCUCUAGGUGUAGUUUAUCAUUGAGAUUCACUUUUAGGGAAGGUAUGAUAAAUCCUAAAUUUAAUGUUAAAAUUGCAACAAAUAUGGUCAUUAUACUUAUGAAUGUAGAACUUCCAUUAACAAUUUGGAAGGAUAAACCAACUAUGUUGAAAAGAAAGAUCAAGAAGAACAUAGAAUAUUGUUAGCAUAUAAAAAAGAAAGUAAAGAGAAAAACAUAUGGUAUCUUGACACUAGAGCAAGCAAUCACAUGUAUGGCUUCAAAAACAUGUUUGUUCAUAUAGUGGUCAUGUUACUUUUGGAGAUGCAUCCAAAAUUCUAGUCAAAGGGAAAGGUAAAAUCCUAAUUCUUUUAAAAAAUGGAAAUAAUCAAUUUAUCUCAAAUGUUUUACUAUGUGCCCAACAUGAAAUAAUAUAUUAAGUUUGAGUCAACUCUUAGAAAAAAUCUAUGAUAUUCAUAUGAAAAAUUAAGGUCUCUGAAUAAAAGAUCAAUAUGUCAAUUUAAUUGAUAAUAUGCCUAUGAUAAGAAAUAGAAUGUUGUUGUUAAACAUUCAAAAUGUUGUAAAAUGUCUAAAAUCUUACAUAAAUGAUUCCUCUUGGAUUUGACACUUAAGAUUUGAACAUCUUAAUUUUGGAGGAUUGAAAUUAUUGAACAAGGAAAAUAUAGUGAGAGAAUUGUUUUCUAUAGAUCAUUAAGAUCAAUUAUGUGAAUGAUGCCUACUUGGAAAACAUUUCGAAAUAAUUUUCCAAAAGAAACAAUUACAAGAGCAAAGAAGUCUCUAGAGUUUAUUCAUGUGGAUGUAUGUAGUGUUAGGAUUAAAACACUCUAAUCUUAUUUUCUGAAAGCAAUAAUAAACUCAUGCAAAAAAUAAAGCAUAAAAACGCACGAAAUUUAUAGUGGUUCACUCUUAAUUUGAGAGUUACAUCCACUUGUAGCUGCUGUAGAUUUUCAUUAUGAUGAAAAGAGAGUACAAGAGAAUCCUAAAACACUUCACCAUCUAGGUUUUUCUCUCUACGUUUUUCUAUUUCUUUCAACACCCUAAAAGAAAUAAAACUCUCUCUAGGUUGGCUACCCUAAACAUAAUAUAAAUAAGAUAACCAAAUGAAACAUGUAAAAUCCCUAAAAUACCAUUACUAUUGGGAUAAUAAUUAGGCUCCACACGUCUUAACAAUCUCCCGCUUGGAGAUUAAUCCAUCAUCAACUAUCUUCACCUAUAGUGGCUACGACUUCUCUAUCUCAGCUAAGAAGUCCAAUUGAAAUUGUGCACAACUCUAGUUUCUCAAUCAUUGUGGUCUUUGUCAACAUAUCAACUGGAUUUCAAUUCCCCUAAAUCUUCUCGAGUGUUAAAAUUGUAUCUUCCAAAGCUGAUCUUAUGAAGUGAUACUAAACCUGUAUGUGUUUUGUCCUAACAUGAUAAAUAGGAUUCUUUGCUAGAUGGAUGGCACUCUGAUUGUCACAAUGUAACACAUUUCGCUUAUACUUGUGACCCAAUUCUUCCAAGGAAGACUACAACCACAUUAGGUCUUUGCUAGCCUCUGCCAUUGCAACAUACUCUGCCUUAAUAGUAGAAAGUGCAACUAUCUUCUACAACUUUGAUACCCAACUGACUGUAGUACCACCUAGAGUAUAAUCAUAUCCUAUAGUACUUUUUCUGCUAUCUAUAUCACCAGCCAUAUCAAUAUCUACAUACCCCUACAAACCUAAAUCUAACUUCCUAAAACACAAAGUCGACUCUAUAGUGCCUCUCAAAUACCUGAGAAUCCACUUCACCCCUUUCUAGUGUUAUUUUCCCGAAUUACUCAUAUAUAUACUCACAACUCCCACUGCAUGUGCUAUAUCCAAUCCAGUACAAACCAUAGCAUACAUAAGACCACUAAUACAUAAGACACUUUUGCCAUGUAAACCCGUUCUUGUUCAAUUGAGGGCGGCUGAUCUUUAAAUAGUCGGAAGUGACUAGCUAAAGGGGUACUCACAAGCUUCACUCCAACUAUAUUGAAUAUGCUAAGGAUCAAACCUUCUUCACAUACUCUUCCUGUGAUAGUUUCAAGACCUCUUUAUCCCUAGUAAUCCUCAUUCUAAGGAUUUAUUUUGCAGCACAUAAAUCCUUCGUUGCAAACUCAUCCUAUAACUUCUUUUUUGUUUGUCAAUCUCAUGUAUGCUAGCCCCAAAAUCCACAUAUCAUCAACAUAUAACAAUAAAAUAGUAUGAGAGCCAUGAAACCUCUUGAUAUGGCAACAAUGAUCUACUUGACACCUCAAAAAACCAUUAUUGCUCAUGAAGUUGUUGAACUUCUUAUACCAUUGUCUUGGAGCCUUUUUCAAGUCAUAUAGGCUCUUUUGUAGCUUACACGCCAUUUUAUUUUUUCCCUAAACCUGAAACCCUUAUAGCUUAUGCAUGUAAAUUUCUUAUUCUAAAUCACCAUGAAGAAAUGUCAUUUUUACAUCCAUCUACUAUAAGUGCAGAUCUUUUUUUAUCAUUAACCCAAGUACUGUUCUGAUAAUGGUUAGUUUGACCAUUAGAGAGAAAAUCUCUGUAUAAUCAAUGCCUUCCUUUUGCUGAAAGUCUUUUACUACAAGUCUUGCUUUGUAUCUCUUGCUACCAUCAUGUUCUUCCUUUAUUCGAUAUACCCAUUUAUUUUGCAAAUCUUUUUUCCCUUUUAGUAGUUCUGCCAAUAGCCAUGUUUGAUUAGACAUCAACGAAUCCAUGAAGUUGGCUACUCUAAACCAAAUCACAUGUGUAAAAUCCCUAAAAUUCCACAACUUAAAAUACUCUUACUAUUAGGAUAAUGAUUAGGCUCCACACAUCUUAACAUAUAGUCCAAUUCAUCCAAACUCUUUUGGUAAAAAUAAAUAUUUUUUGCUUUUCAUUGAUGAUUUUAGUAGAAAAGGUUGAGUGUAUUUUUUGAAGGAAAAAUCUAAAGUAUUUAGUGCUUUUAAGAAAUUUAAAGCAUUUGUUAAAGAGGAAAGUAACCACAAUAUAUAAGAAAUGAGAUUCAAUAGAAGACGUGAAUUCACAUCAAAAGAAUUUGAAAAAUAUUAUGAAAAUUAUGGGAUUCAUUCGCCUUUAACAACUCCAUAUUCUCCACACAAAAAUGGUGUAGUUAAAAGAAAAAAUAGAGUUAUUCUUGACAUGACUCAAACAUGUUGAAAAGUAAGAAGAUGGCUAAAGAAUUUUGGGCCGAAGCAGUUGAUUGUUGAUUUAUUUGUAAAAUCACUCUCCUAAUUGAAGUGUAUUGAAUAAAACAUCACAAGAAUCUUAGAAUGGAAUAAAGCCAUGUAUUUUCACAUUUGAGAGUAUUUGGAAGCAUUAUAUAUACUCAUAUGCCAAAUCAAAAGUAAUCAAAGUUAGAUGACAAAAGUGGAAUAUAUAUUUUCAUCAAUCAUGACUCAAGCUCCAAAUGGUACAAUUAUAGAAUCCAAAAAAUGGAAAAGCUCAUUAUUAAUAUAGGUGUCAAGUUUAAUGAAGAAACAUGAGAUUGGAAUGUUGAAAGGUAACUAUGAUACUUCUCCCCUUUAUGAAGAAGGAGAACAAACAAGAGAAAGUUUGCAAGAGAUUGUUACUCCACUUUCAUCACUACCCCCAUCAACUUAUGAAGUUCCCACAACAUCAUCCUCUUUUGAAAGCUCAAGUGAAAAGGACACCCUGUCUUAGAAGUCUACAAGAGAUCUAUGAAGUAACAGAAAAUCAAAAUGAUCUAACCCUCUUUUUUUUUUUUGCACAUUAUGAACAAAUAAGUUUUGAAGAAGCAAUUCAAGACCAAAGAUGAAAAUAUACCAUGGAAGAGGAAAUAAAAGUAAUAAGGAAGAAUGACAUAUGGAAAUUCAAAUCCCUUGUAAAAGAGAAAAACGCAGUUGAAGUAAAAUGAGUGUUAAAGAAGAAUGAAAAAGGGGAGGUAGAGGGAUACAAAACAAGAUUGGUGGCUAAGGGUUACAAGCAACAACAAAGCAUCCACUAUGUGAAUAACAAAUUGCAAUUGAUUUAUAAAAAAAUCUAGUUUUCCAUGAUCAAACCAAGCACAUCGAUUUAAUAUAUCAUUUUAUUAGAUAGUGCAUUGUGAAUAAGGAAAUGCAAUUAAAUUUUUGCAAAAUCUCAAGAUCAAAUUGUGGAUAUUUUUAUCAAGCCUCUUAAGUUUGAAAAUUUUAGAAAGUUGAGGAUGCUACUUGGAGUCACAAGUCAAGUUUAAGGGAGCAUGUUGGAAAAUUAAACUUGAUUUAGAAACUUUCUAAUUAUUAGAAUUAGAUUUAGUCUCUAAAAAUCAAGGGAGAAUAUUUUAUUUUGAGUUAUUAUUUUAGUUUCUAUUUUUGAAUUAUCAAACUCCGAAUGCUUCUAUAUUUUAUUGUUAGGAGUUUCUAUAUAAUUAAUUGAGUAUGUAUAAAUAAAAGAUUAUGUGAUAACUAAAAAAAAAAAGGAGAGUGGUGGAAUAUAAUAAAUAUUUAAUUCUUCCCAAUUUUAUAUUCUUUGUAAUUGUUUGUGUUUCUCCAUCAACCCUAUUACUCCAAUAUCUUUUACUUCCACUUCUCCAACACUUUUAUAUGAUGAAAACUGAGUCUCUUCAACUUUGUGAAUAAAAUUGUUGACAAUGAUUUCAAAAAACUUACCACCCGUCAAGAGGUAAUUGCCCCAAUGAAGACAUACACAAACAAUUGUCACAAUUCUUAAGUAUAAGAUUUUUCAAUUGCAUUAAUGAUGACCUCGUUAUCCAACUAGGCUACUUUGUGUCAUCACAAUUCAAUUUAUUUUUUAGAGAUUUCAACUUUGGAUGUGUGGUAGAGAAGGAUGAAAAUAUAGCUUUUGGCAAAUAUAUCGGUAACUUAAUUUUAUGGAUAUAUUAGGAUAUAUCGAUAAAUAUUUAAAUACAAAAUAUCAGUGAAAUGAAAAUUAAUCAAAACUUAUAAAAUUAUCUAAAAAAAGAUUGAAACAAAUGAUAAAAUAAGUAAUAAUAUAUAUAUUGAAAUUACUUUAAUUAGAGAAAUUUGAUAUAUAUAUAUAUAUAUAUAAUAAAUUUGUAACAUUAGUCAAUAACAUGCUAAUUUAAAAACAUAUUAAUAUUAAAAUGAUAAUGUGUUUAAUUUGAACAUAUUGUAGGAUAAAAAAGAAAUAAUGAUAUUUAUAUAAGUAUUUUUAAUUUAAAAAUAUUAAUAUUUUAUUUAUAAAUUUAUAUUUGUUUUAUAUUUAAUUAAUUUACAAAAUAUAUAAUAAGAUAAUUAAAUUUUAAUUAUUUAUAAUAAAUUUUUUUAACUAAUUUAUAAUAUAUAUUUAUAAUUUAUAAAAAAUGUUAUAAUAUAUAAAAGAUAUGAUGUUAUGGAUAUAUAUAUAUAUAUAUAUAUAUAUAUAUAUAUAUAUAUAUAUAUAUAUAUAUAACACUAUGUGCACAUCUAACACAAAUCUACAGAUGAUUCAAUAGGGUAGGCAACCCACGGCAAAUUCAAGCACUCGGGUUUGGGCCUUGCUCUUUUGUGUCCUAUGUUCAUUUAAAGUGUACAUAAAGGCAAUCCCACAUCUUAGUUUGAGAGAAAGCAAAGCCUUAUUUCAUGAUGGUGCCUCCAUCGAUCCACUAUCAAAGUUAGCAAAGUGGGCUUGGGCGUGGGCUUUUCUAGCUGACUGGAUUAAGAUUGACUCUUGAUCCACCAACAAAAAUAUCCAGAGCUUCAGCCACACCCUUUCUACCCUUCAAAUCAAACUUCGGAGGUGUAUCUUAUUCUACAUUUCUACCUUCUCUCUCUUUUUCUUCUUUUUCUAAUUUUUCCUUUCCUCUCUCUUAUUUUAUUCACUUAAAAUUUAAGAACUAAACCCUUAAUUUUGGAACUCAUACAAUUGGUUAUUGAUAAUAUUUUUAGUGAAAUAUAUUUUUUUAAUUCUUAUUUUUAACUACAAAUUUAAUUCUUUAAUAAAAAAAAAUUAUUUUGUCAAAUAACUAAUAUAAAAAAAUAAAUUUUAAUAAAUACACUAUGUACAUAAAUGAUGUGGGAUGUGUCAUACUCCAACAUAUGCAUGAGCCUAAUAGUCAAACAUUGCUAUGAUACUGUAUAGGUAAUAUCAAGGUCUGAAGAGGAGUCCUGCCAACAAUCAUCCCACCCCAAAUAUGCUGCGGGUUUCUUUCUUCAACAAAAAGGAAGUGAAGCCCAACUUUUUUAAUCAAUGGAAUAAGAAAGAGACGACCUCUCAAAUCAUCGGUAAGGGAAGAAUUUUGUUUUAUCAAAACAUUCUAAGCAGAAUCAAGUAGAAAAUCCAGAUCUUCUAUCUUUCCUGUAGGCAUGAAAAUAAAACUGGAAUGAGACCUUUCUUCUGAUUCUGUUCAGAUGCAGUUUUUAAAUGCACCCGAAGGGGCUUUUAGGCGUGUAAUCAUAAUUUAAGUUAGAAUUUUUUAAGCUUAUGAAUUGCAAUAUAUAUUGAGUAUAUUGCUUACGCAUUUUUUUUUGUUGAAUUGAGGGCAAGGGAGAAUUUAAAAUGAAUUUAGUGCUCAAUUCUCAUUCAAUAAUUUGUACGUGCUAUUAGGUGUAGUACCAAAUCUAGAUGAGUUAUUACUUCAUACACCACCCAUGCUUUCCCCCACACACAAACUACUCACUCUUUUAAGUUGUAUAAAUUUUAAUUUAUUUUGGCUACACAUACACACCCCAAAAAAAAAAAAGCAGAACCCUCUUGGUCUCCCCAAUUUGUAUAAUUGAUUUUUUUUUUAAUUUGAUGAGUAUUCAUCCUGCUUUUGGGAUUGGCUAUCUAGAUACAUUCAAGGUCGUGGAAAGAGCAGUAAACCCCCUACUAAGAAUCAUUAACUUUGUUGAUAGGAAUCAUUAAAUCCAUUAUAUAUAUAAAGACAACCAAAUAAUGAUAUUUGAUUAUUUCUUCAACCUUACAACAUGAUGUUUCUUAUGAAUUCUUUUUAUCAUUCAUAGAGAUUUAUCAUAUAUAAACAGAAAACAUCUCUUAUCUCAUUCACUUCUCGAUAGAUUCUAAAACAAAUUGUUGCCUUGUGAUGUAUAUGUUGUUGAUAAGAAACCCCCCUUAUCUCUCUCUCUCAUCUUCAUUCAAAUUAAGCAAAGACACCACCUGCUGUUCUGAAAAUGCCACCACCUGCGGUGACAUUGGAGGCAUUCAAUUCCAAGUUCAAGUCCAAGUCCAAGUUUAAUGAAUCAUAUUCUAUGUUUGCUAAACAUUUGAUAUAUUCUCUACUUUCAUUUAUUUAUUUAUUGAUAUCUAGAUUAUACUCACACGAUGCCUCCAAAAAUGGUAGUUUGUAUUGUAGUUGAGUCUUUAUCAAUCCUAGAGAAGAUGCACUUAAGAGGGUAUUUGGGCAGAAAGGCUCUCCACUCGCAUGCAUAGGAGCCUUUUGCAGUUCUAUUAGGUCAAUUAUAAAAUCUAGGCCAAAAUAGGUCUGGAGCUAAAAAUCAAAUGGUGAGUUGUGAAGGAAUUCUUUGGCAAGCCUGUGCAUAACACAUUCCAUGUGUUAGAAGUAGGUUGGCUAAUAUAAAUUACAACAAAAUUUUUUGGCAUGCCCAAUGAGACCUCUAAGUCUACUCAUGCUUUGAGACCCCAAACAAAGAAUAAUGGGUUGCAAGAAAAUAAAGAUGAUCGAUGCAAAAAUCAACACCUUCAUAUGGAUCUCUACUGCAAUGAGAUCCAUGAUGUGAAAUUAUCGUGAUGAGAACCUUAGAAAUAAUGCGUUGGAAUUUUAUUUUAUUUUUCUCCUUUGCACAAGUCUUUCUUAAGAAGUCACUUAGAAGCAACAAAACAAAAAGGAUUGUUAGUUGAUCAUAGCACGUAGAAUAGAUUCUAUUAUAUAAUUGAAGUUGUAUACUAAUUUCUAUUGAACGAAAUCUUUGAAUUCUGUGGUGAAUAUUUGAUGGUUAAAUGAAUAGAAAAUGUACCUACAUAACUUCUUGAAAAUUUUUUUGGUGAAACUAUGAAAAUAUGUUCAUAGAAACAUUGUUUUAAAAUAGAUGAUUAGUUAUCAAAUUUUUGAAAUAUAAGGAUUCAGAUAUGAUGGAAUAUGAAUUCCUUGUUGUGAUAUGUUACUUAUUCUUGUGGCAACAUGAAUUAAAGUUGUUUCUAACUCUAAAUUGCAAUAUGAGCAAUAUGGAAGUUGAAAGGGCCCUCACAACUUGAAAAUAUGUAAGGUUAAGAGGAACUCAUGCAUAUAUAUCACCAGGAACUUUAUCUCCUAUCGCAUGCGAGAUAUCACAAUCACUCCUCAAUGCAAACACAAACAUCCUCGUUGUGUCCCGCAAUCCUUGGGAUUGUGGGGCCAAAUAGACAAACGUCCUUCACCAGGUCAAACAAAUUCCCACACUAGGGUUGGAGAUUGACUUUGAUACGAUUUAUUACUACCUGUACCCAACCACCCCCACACCGAGGUUGAAGAUUGACUUUGAUACCAUUUAUAACUACUUAUACCCAAUUGUAUAGAUAUUGUUUGUUUUGAAUAUAAAGAGGUUCUCACGACUUUAAAAUGCGUCUACAAGAUUAAGAGGAGUUCAUGCAUAUAUAAUGUAAGAAACUUUUUUCCUUAUCCAAUAUGGAACAUCACAACAUUGGUAUUUAAUAUAUUAUGAAAUUGGAAGAAAGGGCACCAUGAAGGCUGGCCCUAUAAAUGGAUUAAUAAGAGGGGCAAUGAACCCUUAAAAGAAAGGGAAAGUAUCCUAGAUGAAAUAUCCAAAACAUAUUCUGAAAGAUUUCCGUUAGGAUUAUUGGGGGCAUAGACAUAUAGCAUUGGAUGGAAGUUCUUAAAAACAAAAAAUGAUAUAGGUAUCUAAUGAUGUGCUAGUAUGAAUGAAAUGUGCAACUUAGAAUGAUCAUCUUACUAGUGAUGUUUUAAUGAAUUGAAUUUCUAUGUAUUAACUGUGUAUAUUUACUAAUUAUCUCGCUUAAAUUUUAUGUUAAAAUUCUUGUCUUUCGAGUUGUUUAGUUCACUCUUUAAAUUAUUUUUUGAUUCAAUAAAAGGCACCUAGAGCUAAUAAAUUACUUGGGUUACUAAUUGGUGGAAUACUAGGCAAUCUGAAACUUUUUUGAAUGAUAUUCAAAAGAUUUGUUUAAAAUUUAUAAUGAAUAAUGAUAAGUCGUCUCUUGAAUCGCCAAAUAUUCUAGGUUCAAUUUGAAAAGUAUUCUAUUAGGGUAACUAUGUUAUGCUAGUGACGAUAUCGAUCGUGACCUUGAUAUGGAGUUAGAGCUGCUAACUAUGAUGAAUGCACUAACUAUGGAUAUGAUGUCGGAAAUAGACCGAUUUUAUAUCACCCUUGAAUUCGAAUUAGCAAAAGCAAUGUCUCCUUGCAUAAUAUGGAUUCCAAACAUUCAUGAUCUAGAUGUGAAUGAGUCGAAUUACUUAUCCCUCAAUCUAUUAGUGAACUAUCUCUCCAGGGAUUGUGAAAGAUGUUCCACUAGAAAUAUUCUUGUUAUUGCUUCGACUCAUAUUCCCCAAAAAGUGGAUCCCGCUCUAAUAGCUCCGAAUAAAUUAAAUACAUGCAUUAAGAUUUCCAAGGUUUAGCCAAGGCUUAGCUCAAGACCCCACUACUUGUCGUAUUUGGUUUGGUAUUGCUACCGCACAUGACUUUGAAAGUCAUGAUGAUAUUACUGAGGAACGUCUUUAUCAAAAUAUUUUUGCUUCUCAUUUUGGGCAAUUAGCAAUCAUUUUUCUGUGGACUUCUGAAAAUUUGUUUCAUGUAACUUGGCAAGGAAAUUUUGAAUCAUGGGUACAAGACCCUUUACAUGUAAGACCUAUUGCUCAUGCAAUUUGGGACCCUCAUUUCGGUCAAUCGGCUGUGGAAGCUUUUACUCGAGGGGGUGCUCCUGGACCAGUGAAUAUCGCUUAUUCUGGUGUUUAUCAGUGGUGGUAUACAAUCGGAUUACGCACUAAUGAAGAUCUUUAUACUGGAGCUCUUUUUCUAUUAUUUCUUUCUGCUAUAUCUUUAAUAGCGGGUUGGUUACACCUACAACCGAAAUGGAAACCGAGCGUUUCGUGGUUCAAAAAUGUCGAAUCUCGUCUCAAUCGUCAUUUGUCAGGACUCUUCGGAGUAAGUUCAUUGGCUUGGACAGGACAUUUAGUCCAUGUCGCUAUUCCUGGAUCCAGGGGGGAGUACGUUCAAUGGAAUAAUUUCUUAGAUGUAUUACCGCACCCUCAAGGGUUAGGCCCACUUUUUACAGGUCAGUGGAAUUUUUAUGCUCCAAACCUAAUUCAAGUAGUCAUUUAUUUGGUACCUCUCAAGGAGCAGGAACUGCCAUUCUAACCCUUCUCAGGGGAUUCCAUCCACAAACGCAAAGUUUAUGGCUGACUGAUAUUGCUCAUCAUUAUUUAGCUAUUGCAUUUAUUUUUCUCGUUGCUGGUCAUAUGUAUAGAACUAACUUUGGGAUUAGGCACAGUAUGAAAGAUCUUUUAGAAGCGCAUAUUCCUCCGAGAGGACGAUUGGGGCGUGGACAUAAGGGUCUUUAUGACACAAUCAAUAAUUCGAUUCAUUUUCAAUUAGGCCUUGCUCUAGCCUCUUUAGGGGUUAUUACUUCCUUGGUAGCUCAACACAUGUAUUCUUUACCGGCUUAUGUGUUCAUAAUUGGAAAAAUGAGCACCGUGGAAAUACAUGCCACUCAGCCAAAGAAAGAUGAUGGAGAGUUGCCCGAAAUGGGCACUAAAUACUUUUCGAGGGAUCUCCUCCAAAUCAUUGGUAUGGCUAUCGAAAUCGUGAGCAUCAACAUGUAGGUUCCAGAUCGGUGGUAUCAGGGCCCUUAGCUAUUGUUCUUGAGAAAUGACCAGGUCUGGCCCAUUCCUCGAAAGAAGUUUUUAUGGGAUCCAAAUCUAACAAAAUUUUAACUUUUGUUUCCGGCGAACAAAUAAUCAUUGAGUCCUCCUCUUUCCGGACAACACAUACAAAGAGACCCGCCAACAGUCAAGAAAUUAGUGAACCUAUGAGAGAUAUUUAUAAUUAGUUUCUUUCUCUUCUCUUAUAUCUCCCAUCUAUCUAUUUUCUUUAGUUAUUCACUAAAGCAAUUAUGAUUUGGAAGUCGAUUCGGGCAAGUGUUCUGAUCUAUUAUGACAUAGCUUUGAGGCGCUUACUGGACCUGUUUAAUAUUAUAAAACCUUUUUCGGUCUUUGAAUUUGAACGCAAAAACGAUUUUUUUGUGCAACCUAGUGUAUUCAUAUUUCAAUUAGAAGUUCUUAGAUAGAUCUAUAUUAUGUGAUUAGUUGGUAUUCAAAAUAGACAAUUCAAGUAGGUAAGUCGGAAAUGCCACUCGAACCCAGAGCUAGCUGGUUUUCCCUGAAAUGCGUUGAGUCCGCUUAUCUCCAACUCGUGAACUUAGCCGAUACAAAGUUAUAUGAUAGAAACUCUUCUUUGGUGUUAAGGUAAUAGCUAUGAAUAGUCAUUAGGCAAGAUUGGUUGGAUUAGCCCAUUUUUCUGUAGGUUAUAUAUUCACCUAUGCGGCUUGAAUUCUAACCUUGUGUCAAGACCUACGAGCCAAGGGACCGUCUCAGGUAGACAAUUUCUAUGGGGCGUAGGCCUCCCAAAAGGUAACGGAGGCUUGCAAAGGUUUUCUCGGGCCUGACGGAGAUUGGCCCUCGAGUGCAAAGGUAGAAGGGAGCUUGACUGCAAGACCCACCUGUCGAGCAGGGACAAAAGUUGGCCUUAGUGAUCCGACGGAAAUACUAGAUCCCCACUUACACAAGCAAAUUGUUGAUAAAACUCCAAAAUGGCACUUUCUUUUGACCCAAUCUGCUUGUGGAACCUCAAUAUCCACGGGCUUAUUAGCUAAAUGACAAUUGGCACAUACAAUACGUCCAGUCGCUUCUCGUGGAUCUUCAUAACCCUGUUGUGCAAAAAUGGGGGGAUUUCACCUGCCCCAUGCUAUUUGCCGAUUUAUUCAAUGCUGGAAUCAGGCUCGUGGGAUCGGGACCCUUUAUCCCGGCCAUUAAUUGUUAGGAAAUCUCAAAUCAGACCAUUUGUCCUUACUUCCAUAAAGGAAGCAUGGGUCUUUUUUAUAGGAAAACUUUUUUUUUUCUUGGUACCAAUUCAAUGCUAAACAAGUCCGAACUAAUUGAAUACUUGUAUAGCGACGACCCUUCCACUCGGCACCAUCAGAUCACUUAGAGAUCACAUGCAAUUGUGAAUGCAACAACACUCCCUAAUAAAAAUAAAAUGCAAUUCACAUGCACAUGUUCCAACACUCCCCUAACAAAAAAAAAAAAAAAAAAAAACUUAAAAACAGUUUCUAAUUAAUAACAAGAGCAAGAUAUCUCAAUAUCCCUAUGAUCAAUAAUCAGAAACAGCAUAAAUGACAACUUAUGCUAGUUUACCUUAACAUUCCCAAAACAUAAAUAUCCAAAUUAUUAAAGAUAGUUAAAAUUGAAACUGAAAUGAAAAGGAGAAUUAGAGACAAUGAGACAACACCAAAAUUUACUUGGAAAACCUCCUAAGAGGUCAAAAACCACGAACCUACAACCAAUAAAAAAUUCUACUAUGAUGAUCAAUCAAGGUGUACAAGGAUUUACCUAGCUCAAGAUCUCCAAUCCCUCACGCACUACUUGACAAGCGCCUUCACACCUCUCCACCAUGCCUUCAUCUUCAGGAACAUAUUUGGAGUCAUUUCCAAACUUGAUCUCGGCCUUCUCCUUGAAGCUCCAUCAAGAAGAAAUUGAGUUUUCACCCAAACCCAAAAGAAUGAGAGAUGAGUGUUCAAGGAAUCAACUCAUUUCAUUUUAGAAAUCCAUUUAAGAAAAUUUUCUUAAAAAACUUAGAUGAAAUUUUCUUGGAAAGCAAACAACCUCAAAAGGAAAAGGAAAGGAAAAACUCUCUUACGACUAUUGCUCUCUUAGUUUCCAAAAAUGGGAGAAAUUUGUAUUUAAAAGGGGAAAGAAUGGUUGAAAACUGAUCUAAAAAAGAAGUUAUUUUGAUCGAUUUGCCCCUGCACUUGGAUCUAUCCAGAAACAAGGGAACAAAAACCUUUUAGCAAAAAAUAUUUCUCCCAGCUUCCCUAAUACUUUUAAAAAUAAUUCAAGGCUACCAACAUGUUGAAAAACAAGGUUGAUUCACAUUCCUUCAACACUAACUCAACUACUUAUCUCGGCCUCUUAGCAAAUUCAAAAUCUUAAUCUUCAUAGGUCAAGUAACCCAACAACGGAUUUAAAAAACCAUAGUUAGUAGACACUUAGGUAUUUUGUCUAGAAUUACCAACCUAACUAUAACACUCACAACUUUUAAAAAUUUUAAAAAUCAUUUAUAGUAUUGAAAAAUCACUUGUGCUUUAUAGAAAAAUAUUUGAUAGGUGAUUCGCCUAAAAACACUUUCAGAAGCACUUUGAGUAAAAACACUAUCAUACGCACCCUUAAUUUCAUGGAUAAUUAAAAACGAAGCAUAAGCAGUAUAAUCCAAUAAGAGAAAUAUUUAAAUAAAAUUAAUCAACUCGAAAGUGUAUUGUUCCAAUUUAAUAAAGAACUGUAAAUUUAUUAGCGGUGGCCAUAAUUCCCAUGAUGCAAGAAAACUGAAAACUAAUUAUAACUUAUAGCCUAACAAUUUUUUAAACCUAUCUUCGUAUCAUUCAUUGAAAAUGCCUAUUUUAAAUACUAUUUUUCUGUUUUAGAAACUGCAAACAUGUAAUAACUAAAACAAAUAAAACGAACAUGAUCGUGUUUUCAUAUAAAAAAUAAAAAAUUAUUAAAAUAUUCUUAAAUAAAAUUCACAAUAUUUAUUUUGGCAAGGCCUUAUUAGAUCUUAUUUUUAUUAAUUUCUAGAACCCUAUCCGUAAACUUGUCACAGAUAAACCCAUUUCACCCUUUUCCAAACAACUCUGAACAAAUUAAUGUAAUUGUGCCCAAUCCAAUAUUCAAACAUAUAUAUACAUAAUAGUUUGUUUCAUAAUCAAAACCUGAUAACAGGCAAUGAGUUCAUUACAAAGAAACUAUGGAGUAGUACAAGGAAAAAUAUCUGUAUAUAAUUAAUCAGCUUUGGACCACUUGCCAGAGUUUGGAUAUCCUGGUACACAUGCAUCGUUAUUUCACAUGGAUACAACACGCAACCUACGGGAAUCAUAGUAGAAUUCUUCAUCUCCAGCUAGCACUGCAUCAAUUAUCAAAACCAUGCAUUUAGGGAUCAUAUCCCAUUGUAGUUAUGGAAGCAAGAACAUUAAUAAUUAAUUGUUUUAAAAAAAAUCAUAAAAGUAAACAGAAUAUUGUAUGUUCUGUGUACUAUUUAAGAAGCAAUUCAAUUACCUCUCUGGAUGUGAGAUAUUUUGGACCAAUCCUCCCCUGUUUCCUCAUGGUAACGAUCUUGCAGAGUAGGAGAGCCGCUGAUAUUCAGUUCCUGUAGUGAAGCUAUCUGGAGAAGGCGCUCGGGCAGGCUUUCCAGCCUGGGGCAGUUAUAUGUGGUCAAGGAGUGGAGAUAUGGCAUUACUGACCUCCGUUCUUCUACUUCUCCUUUUACUUCCCACUUUUCCCACUCAAACAUAUGUUUAAAACUGAGGUGCUUCAGCUUUGGGAAUGCAGUUGUUGAUCCCAAAAACUCACCACCCACGUAUUUCAGUCUCUUCAUAUGCUCUAUUAUCAGGCUUUCAAGGAGAGGUAGUUCCCCCAAUGGAGGCAAACAUGUAACCUGUGCGCAAUACACAAUUUCAAGCUUUUUCAAUUGGGCCAACGAUGAGGCCGCUAUCCAACUGGGGAACUCGGUGGCAGCACGGUAAUAACUUAUUUUUAAAGACUUCAAGUUUUGAUGAGGCUGUAGAGCUUCAACCACACCUUUUGAAGCAGCUGAGGCAAGCCACCCAAAACGGCUUAGUUCCAAAUGAUGGAGGUGUUUCUUAUUCUUCAAUUCUGCUUCGCCAGCCUCCUCUGCAUCUUUCACAUUAGCUAUCCCACUUAUCACAAGACCUCCCCUGAGGCUGUUUGAGUUUUUCAGUUCUCCUAUUUUGCAUACGCCAAUUAUACGAAACCCAGUUAAUGUCCGAAGUGAGGUCAAUCUCCCGAUUCCUUUUGGCAACUCCGAUACUUCACUGCCGUACAAUUCAAGAUGUCUCAGGUUAAUUAGUUUUCGCAUCCCCUGAGGUAGUUUUUCAAGGAGGCUACAUCCAAAAACAUCUAAAGUUUGCAAAUUAUAUAGAUCACAAAUUGUUUCGGGCAAUUCCGUCAACCACUUAUUAUUUGAUAGAUUAAGGUACCUCAGAUGUAUCGAUUUCCCCAAGUUCCUCAGCAGUUCCCCCAAAAAAACACUCCCACUCAAGUCUAAUGCCCUAAGGCAUACCAAAUGUUUGAAUAAAUUAGGUGGGGGUUGAGGAGUGAAGGAAUUGACCAGAUGUGCAGCAAGCAAUGUGUGCAGAUAUUUCAAAUUAUGGAUAGUGCUAGGAAAUCCAACCCUUCCUGCGCUAAUUAAGGUUGCAUGACGAGCCUUUUGGAAGGAGGAAGCCAUCCUCACUUCCUUUUCAUCAUCAAUCUCCAGAAUGAAGCAUUCAUUCUUGGUCAAAUAUUGGGCAAGAUCAUGUACUGUAUCAUGCAUCUUGCACGAUAUUAUGUUGCCCUCAUCAUCUCUACGAAAAUCUUGGAAAAGUGACCGUGACACCAAGUCUUCAAAGUAGUCUCCACCUGUUUUCUCCAUCUCUAUACUUUCUCUAGAAUUGAGAUAGCUAUUUGCCAUCCACAACUUGAUCAAUCUAUCUUUACUAAUGAUUUGAUCUUUUGGGAAGACAGCACAAUAUGAGAAGCAGCGUUUAACAGCAGGGUAUAAAUCAUAAUAACUCAACAAUAAAGGAGGGGAAAGAUGUUUCUCAAUCACAUCAAGUUGCCAUAUUUCAUUAUUCAAAAUACUCUCCCAAUCUUCUUUAUUAUCUUUUAAGCGCAUGAGACUCCCUAAAACCUUUGCAGCAAGAGGCAAGCCCCUACACUCGUCUGCUAUUUUCCUGCCAAUGUUUUCUAGUUCUUCAACUUUUUCUCUACUCCUUCCGUAAAAGGCUAUGUUACUGAACAAUGACCGACAUUGCUCCUUGGACAAUUCUCCCAAGGGGACCUUGUACGUGGUUCCCAUCAUUGUAGAAACGUUUUCGUUUCGUGUGGUCACCAAAAUUCUACUUCCCGGUGCCCCACCCUUGAGAGAACUCUCUACUUGUUCCCACAAUUCAUAGUUUUCAGUCCAAACAUCAUCUAGCACGAGUAGGAACUUCUUAUCGGCAAUAAGUGUGCAAAUUUUUUGUUGUACAGCUUCCAGAUCAUGGAAACCAGAAGACUCUUUCUGGAGGGCUUCAAGAAUAGCCCUAGAAAUCCUCAUUGGGUCAAAAGGAUCAGACACACAGACCCACAUCCUUUCAUGGAAAUAGGACUUCACCUUUUCGUGGUUGUAUGCUAAUUGAGCAAGAGUUGUUUUGCCGAUCCCUCCCAUCCCAACUAUGGAGACGAUGUAGAGGGAGGAGCUUUCUUGGCAACUCCCACCCAACAGCUUGCCUAUUAUAAUGUUUAUAUCUGCAUCCCGACCGCAGAACUGGCUAACAUCAAUUACAGAACUGGUUAUACGUCUACGUGGUUGCUGGAUGGUACUACUUGACACAAAAUUGAACUGAUUUCUCUCAUUUGCAAUGGCAUUUAGUUGUUUUUUUAUGUCCUUAAUCUGAAGAGCAAUAUCAUGGCGCAAAGAAACUUGUUUGAAGCAAACACAAGGGGAGGGAAGGCAGGAACUUAUCUUGGGCUUAGGGAUGCCAGGGUUUUCAGCUGCAAUCUGUAAUUUGAGAAGAGCAGUGUUCCACCCAUCCACCACGUCAUCCAUCUGGUAGGAGAUGUCCUUUAGCCUUUCUAACCAAACUUUUACAAGUUCUUAUGUGAACUGUCUCUUCUCUGCAUCUCCAAGAACAGCUCUGAUGCUCUGGAGUGUGCUUUUUAGGUUGUCCACCUCGCUUUUGACACCCACCACCAGUGUAACUUGUUGACGAAUCUGUUGUUCCAAGACUGAAGCCAAUCGCUCCAGCACGAUAGAAACAAGAGCAUCCGCCAUAAGGGUUGAUGAAUUAGGUAGGGUUGAUGAAUCAAAGAAAAUGGACAGAUACAACUUAGAUCAAUGGAGAGAAAGGAUGUGGAGCUUUGGCGAGCUUAAUUAUGUUCCCUUAAAUAGAAUGGAAUAGAGGUAUGAAUGGAUUACUUAAAAAUGGCAUUUCUGUAUGACAAGAUAUGCUGAUCUUCUUCAUCACUUCUUCCCUUUCUUUUCCUUCUCAAGAGAAACCUCCAAAUCCAAUGCCCAAAUCUGCAUGGAAAAGCAUUUCUUGCCUCUUUGGAAUGGCAUUGCCUGUUACACAAGUAUUGGACAAAGGCAAAGCAUCUUACUGGAUAGAUUUUAUAUUGCAAUCUUGCACUGCACUUUGUCCAAAACAUUUCUCCACUUUAAUUCAGGUACGAAUCCACUUUCAAUUCUAUUCUAGAAAAGGCUAAGCUGAUUUCUAGUGUUUAUAUAUAUAUAUAUAUAUAUAUCCUUACAAAUAAUAAGUCUCUUAGAAAAUUUUAAACAUCACUAUAAAGAAUUUAUAAGAAUUUAUUUGGUCACAAUCACAAAAACUAUUAUCACAAAUAUAAUUAAAAAAAUUACCCUAAUAUUGUUGUUAUUUAAUUAUUUGUACUAACUCUGACAUUACAUUUGUUUUAAAAAUCGGAUAAGACCAAUCAAUCAAAUCAUUGACCAAACCUCAGUCCUAUUCAGUUCAAUUAAUUGGAUCAGAAUGGGGUCAAAAUGGCAUUGAACCAGAGUGAAACUGGCAGUACAACUGCUAAACUGGUGAGUCGGCUUAGUAGUUCAGUUUAACCUUUUGGCAUGUUUGUCCAAGCCAUUGGAUCUUUGUUUACAGACCCAAUGUCCUAUUAAAUCUUAUUUUUUUAUCCCUAAUCCAUAAGCCCAUCAAAUAGAUGGACCAUAGGAGAAACUCUUCCCAAUUCGUUAAGCAAGUUGACUCAUGUAUGGUUGAAUUGGCAUAUUCACAGGGUGAUAAAGGUAGCUGGAGUCACUAGAGCCGCAUAGACAACUGGCCAAGGGCAUGGCUGCCCAUGAAGGUGGUUGGAGGAAGCCAUGCUAGCUGAUGGAGGAAUAGGAGAGUGGGUAUAGCUGAGAUAGAGGGUGGUUUUUCCAGAGGACGGGCGGUGAACGGAAGGAGGGGGAAGAACUUGAAGAAAGAGAGCCGUGAGAGAAGACAUGGGUGGUUUUGGUAGGGUUUCAGAGAUAUUUUGAGAGGAGAGAGAUAGCAAGAGGAAAGGGUUUUGGCUGGUUUUUCUUUGUGAAAGGAGCCCGGUAGUCGCCAGAGCAGGACGGGUACUUUCAGGUAUCACCAUCUAUAGUUUUUUUUCUUUCUUUCCAUAUAUUCCCUCAUAUUUCAUAUUUCUCUUGUUUUCCUCUCUCUGAGUUCAACUCUGCUUGUUGAGCUGCUGUGUUUUGAUGAUUAUCAGUUUAAUCUUCGAAGAGCUUGCUGUAUUUUAAUGUUUCACUCUAGCAAGCAUCUUCCAUUUCAACCCACUGAUUGUUAGAUUCAUGGAUGAGAUAGUAAAAUGGGUUUAGGAUAUUUGUUAAAUGUUCCAUGCUCUGUUUCCCUUCUAUCUCUUUGCUUCUUCAUUUUCGCCAUGAAAGAAAUCGUCAGGCUUUAAGAUUGAAAAUCUAGAGAGAUCCUAGAUCUGACUGAUACUAUCCAAGGCAUUUAGAAAGCUUGAAGGAGCGACAGUCGCGAGCUUCAUCUCCGGCGAUGCCCACUGAAGAUGCAGAGAGAGAAUGUCAUGCAAAACAUGUACAAGUUCCUUUGAAAAUCACUCGUGCAUGGCGUCGACUCAUAGGAUAUUCUCAUGGAGACGUAACCCGCUUCCAUGCCUAGAUUGUUCUCGCGCGCCACCUUGAUCAGAUCGGAAAUGGGCAUGCAUUCGUUCUCAGUUGUUACUCCCUCGUGCUCACUCGUAGGAAUGGCAACGGGGCGGGUUCGGGACGGGUCGCCCCCAUCCCAACUCCGCCCCGUUUAUUUAAAACAAAUCCCAUCCCCGUCCCAUUUAAAAACUUAAACAGGGCGAGGCGAGGCGGGGCGGGUACAAUAAAUUCCUAUACCCGCCCCGCCCGCCCCGUUUAACUUUUUUUUUUUUGAAUUCACCAUUGAAACCGGCGAGACAAGGCUUACUGCCGCAGUGCCGCCGCGAUAAGAUCUCCGUGGGUAAAGCCAACCACCACCCCUCCUUCGCGUACUGCCGCAGUACCGCCGCGAUCAGAUCUCUGUGGGUAACGUUGCCACCCCUUCUUCGCAUACUGUCGCAGUGUCGCCGCGAUCAGAUCUCCGUGGGUAACGCCAGUCGCCGCUCCUCCUUCGCGUACUGUCAUAGUGCCGCCGCGAUCAGAUCUCCGUGGGUAACGCCAGCCGCCGCCCCUCCUUCGCGUACUGCCGCAGUGCCGCCGCGAUCAGAUCUCCGAUUGUUGAAUCUGACGACAUCACAACCUGGACUGGCCAGCUUCCCCUUUCGGUUCUUCUCUUCGUGUCCUCUCCGGUGAGUCUUGGAAGUGGAGAAGAAGCUCUUUGGUUUCCGGCGACAGGAAGUUGCCAUACCCAGAACGGUGGAAGAGUUCAAGGGCAAAAGUGUGAUGGAGGAUCGGGGCGAGGCGGGGUGGGGCAAUACCCGCCCUCGCCCCGAACCCGCUCCCGCCCCGAACCCGCUCCGAGUUUUUUAAACCAUUCCCAAACCCGUCCCAAACCCGUUUAAUAAAAUUUAACCCCGUCCCAUUAGGGGCAGGGCGGGUACCUGAAAAAACCUGCCCCAUUGCCAUCCCUACUCACUCGCCACCUUUCUUUUCUUCACAAAACCACCACCUGCCAGUACCCAUUUCCCUCUUUAACCACCGCAUCCAUUUCAUGCCUGUAUGCACCUAAACCACGCGUGCAUGGUCACCCCACCUCAUUCCUUCCUCAAUUCUUACAUAACCGUCACCAUACCCACCAUGCUCACAUUUCCACUCAUUCCUCUCAUGCAUCCACUUGUCUCCCCCAAGUUUCUCCAUCCCAUUUUUACUACAUGCAGCUAGUAUCUUGGCCAUGCAUGCACGCGUUGCGCCCCCUCCCCCCCACCCACCAUGCUCAUCUCUCCACCCUCCUUGACCACUCGGUCCACCACCCAAGCCUCCCAUUCCCAUCCCUCUCCCAUUGUUUUCUCUAUUUUUUCUAUCAAACAAUCCAAGCCCAUUUCCCUUGGAUUGAAAGAGAUAUGUUUGUUUCUUCAUCUUUGGUGUUGAUCUUUUUCCUUUUGUUGUAACUUUUUGUUUUUGAGGAAGGGAGAGAAUGAAAGAGUUUUGGUCGUCUCUUGCGUCUUUUCUGGGGGUGUUGGCCUUCUGCCAGAGCAUCCUCCGCGUCGUGUUCCCGCCGGAGCUCCGGUUUGCAGUGCUAAAGCUUUUCAAACGCCUCUUUAACUGCUCCUCCUACUGCUACUUUGAUAUCACUGAAAUCGAUGGCAUCAACACCAAUGAGCUUUACAACGCUGUCCAGUUCUACCCGAGCUAGUCCGCCUCCAUCACCGGCAACAGGUUGAGCCUCACCUGGGCCUUGAAUUCCUCGCCCACCACCUUCAGCCUCUCCAAUAACGACUCCCUGGUGGACACCUUCAACGGGGUCUCCGUCCUCUGGGAGCACGUCGUGACGCAGCAGCAAUCACAUACCUUCUCGCGGUAGCAGCUCCACCGUCUCGGCGCCGCCCUCGAAAUUGCCACCCCUUCCCUCUCCACUAUGUCGCUGAUGGUGGAGGCCUCGUCUGAGGGUGAUGUCUAGGUGGAGAGGUGGGUUGUGAUGGAGUUUGGAGCCUUGGGCUUGCCUAUGGUGACAGGGAUGGUUUCGAGUUGGAGCCCAGGCCCAAAGUUGCUGAUGAAGGGCCUCAUUGCUCCUCAAACCAAUCACUCUCAUGACCCAUGUCCAUUUCAGGACAGCCCAUUUGGCUGCUUCAAUUCUAAAUAAUUUCUUUUAAACCUCUAAUCUUCGUAAUUUAUCAAUUUAUUCAUUCACUUUUAUUUUUGUCUUAUUUUAUUUUUACCUAUUUUGUUAACUCAACUUAAACACAACUAAAAGACAAAUCAUUAAGAUUGAAUAUCGUUUUUGAAACUUAAAAAUAAUUUAUAUUUCAUCUUCAUUUCUUUAGAUAUGUCUAACCAUCAUAUAUGAAAAUUUUUAUAUAAUUAGAUUAUGUCGGUCUCAAUGAAUUUUCUACAUUCUAAACUUUAAAUCCUAUUUUCAAAACUUAGGUCCUUAAGCGAUUCUUCAAAAAUCCAAUGUCCUAAUUUAAUUUUCAAUCUCAAGAUUUCCACUAUUCAAUUUCAUUCGUUUAAAUAUUAUGUUUGUUAAUCAUUAUUAUUAUUUCGUAUGUAUUUAUUUAUCCUCUUCUAAAAAUCUCAUUCAUUAAAGUCCAAUCCUUCAAAAAUCCAACGUCCUAAUUUAAUUUUCGACCCUAAAAAUUCCACUAUUCUUUUUUAUUUGUUUAAACAUUAUCUUCAUUAAUUAGCAUUAUUAUCCCAUAUUUAUUUAUGUAUUUAAAGUCCAAUCCUUCAAAAGUCCAACAUCCAAAUUUAAUUUUCAAUCUUAAAAUUUCCACUAUUCAAUUUCACUCGUUAAAAUAUUAUGUUUGUUAAUUAUUAUUAUUAUUUCGUAUGUAUUUAUUUAUCCUCUUCUAAAAAUCUCAUUCAUUAAAGUCCAAUCCUUCAAAAAUCCAAUGUCCUAAUUUAAUUUUCAAUCUUAAGAAUUCUACUAUUCUUUUUUAUUCGUUUAAAUGUUAUUUUCAUUAAUUAGUAUUAUUAUCCCAUAUUUAUUUAUCUAUUUAAAGUCCAAUCCUUCAAAAAUCCAACGUCCUAAUUUAACUUUCAAUCUCAAAAAAUUUACUAUUCUUUUUUAUUCAUUUAAAUAUUAUUUUUGUUAAUUAGCAUUGUUAUCCCAUAUUUAUUUAUUUAUUUAAAGUCCAAUCUUUCAAAAGUCCAACGUCCAAAUUUAAUUUUCAAUCACAAAAUUUCCACUAUUCAAUUUCACUCGUUAAAAUAUUAUGUUUGUUAAUUAUUAUUAUUAUUUCGUAUGUAUUUAUUUAUCCUCUUCUAAAAAUCUCAUUCAUUAAAGUCCAAUCCUUCAAAAAUCCAAUGUCCUAAUUUAAUUUUCAAUCUUAAGAAUUCUACUAUUCUUUUUUAUUCGUUUAAAUGUUAUUUUCAUUAAUUAGUAUUAUUAUCCCAUAUUUAUUUAUCUAUUUAAAGUCCAAUCCUUCAAAAAUCCAACGUCCUAAUUUAACUUUCAAUCUCAAAAAAUUUACUAUUCUUUUUUAUUCAUUUAAAUAUUAUUUUUGUUAAUUGGCAUUGUUAUCCCAUAUUUAUUUAUUUAUUUAAAGUCCAAUCUUUCAAAAGUCCAACGUCCAAAUUUAAUUUUCAAUCACAAAAUUUCCACUAUUCAAUUUCACUCGUUAAAAUAUUAUGUUUGUUAAUUAUUAUUAUUAUUUCGUAUGUAUUUAUUUAUCCUCUUCUAAAAAUCUCAUUCAUUAAAGUCCAAUCCUUCAAAAAUCCAAUGUCCUAAUUUAAUUUUCAAUCCUGAGAAUUCCACUAUUCUUUUUUUAUUCGUUUAAAUGUUAUUUUCAUUAAUUAGUAUUAUUAUCCCAUAUUUAUUUAUUUAUUUAAAGUCCAAUCCUUCAAAAAUCCAACGUCCUAAUUUAAUUUUCAAUCUCAAAAAUUCCACUAUUCAUUUUUUAUUCGUUUAAAUAUUAUUUUCGUUAAUUAGCAUUAUUAUUCCAUAUUUAUUUAUUUAUUUCAAUCAUAAAAGUUCAAUUCUUCAGAACCCGACUUCCAAAUUUAAUUUCCAAUAUAAAAAAUUCCACUGUUCAUAUCCCGUUGUUUAAUGAUUAUUCUCGUUAUUAAUGUUGCCCCAUCCAUUUAUUUAUUCAGUUAUUCAUAUAUCAAAGAUCUUAUCUCUAAAUAAUUUCUUAAAUUUUCAAUCUCUAAGUUUAAUCUCCAAUCUCUAAGAAUUCCAUCUUUCCCAAUUAUUUACCUGAUCUUUAUUAUUUCACCAUCAGUAUUAUCCUAUUCAUUUACUUAUUCACUCAUCCACUUAUCCACUUAUUUAAAGUCCCCUCUCUAAAUAAUUCUUCAAAUUUCCAAAUCUCUAAAUUCAACUUCCAAUUUCCAAGAUUCCUGUCUUCGUGAUUAUUUAUCCAAUCAUUAUUAUUUUCAUUAUUUUACUCAUUUAUUUAUUCGGUUGUUCGUUCAUUUAAAAUUCCAUUCCUAAGUAAAUCAUCAAAUUUCCAAUCCCUAAGUCCAAUUUCCAAUUUCCGAAACCCCUCACUUCUGCAAUUAUUUACUCAAUCCUUAUUGCUUCAUCAUCAUUAUUCCAUUCAUUUAUUUAUUCACUUAUUCACUUAUUUAAAAUUCCGUCUUUAAAUAGUUCCUCAAAAUUCCGAUUUCCAAAUUUAGUUAUCUGAAAUCCCAAUUCUUUAAUUUCUAAACUUAAUUUUCAGUUUCCAAUGCUCCAAUUCUCGCAUUUAUUCCGUUACUUAUUAUCGUUAUUAUUAUUAUUAUUUUAUUCAUUAUUUCUAAAAAUUCUGCCUUCGAAUGAUUUCCAGGAUUUCCAAUUUUUAUAAUUCAAUUUCCAUAGUUUCUGCUUCUCAAAUAACUUUCAAUUCUGAUUUCUUUCAAAAUCUAAUUUCCAAGGACCUAAUUUUCGUAAUUUAAUUUUUUUAAAAUCCUGAACUCUCAAAUCAUUUUCAAAAUUUCAAUCUCUUUGAAAUUUAAUUUCUAAAAUUCUUAUUCUCAUAUUUAAUUUCUAAAAGUCUGAUCUUCAAAUAAACUCUAAAACUCCAAUUUUCAAGUAAUCUUUGAAACUCCAAUUUUUCAAAUAAAUUUCAAAAAUCCAAUUUUCUCUCAAAUAGUUUUAAUUCCACUCUGGUUUUCAAACAAUCUUCUGCUCCUCUUGAUUUUAAUAAGCAUGAAUGAAUUUUUCAUAAUUCCAGAAUAAUGGAAUCUGUGAUAUUAAUUCAUGCAAAAUAAACGGGUUUUGGUGGGGGCCCUACAUAAGUGAUUUUUAUGAUUGAUUGAUUGAUUGAUUUGAUUAUUGCACAUGAUUGAUUCAUUAUGCUCUAUGACAUGCAUGAGAUUAUUCUUUUAAUUGUGCACUGAUCCCAUUUUUAAGAUAGCGCAUUGCUCGUUCGUGGCCCAAGUACGCAUCCACUCCUAUUCUGGUCAUUCUCUAUUGCAUGUUUUGAUUCCCAUAUGUGCUUAAUCGAUUUGAGUAUCCAUUGAUUUUCCUAUUGAUUGCCACGUUAGCUUCAUUUUAUUAGUAGAGACUCGACUUUAAGGACUUAAAGGGGUGCUACGGCCUUUACCGUACCUUCCCGAUGAGUAACCUGACCCCCGAGCCCGAUAUGAUUUUUCACAGACCACCUUUUCCAAAAUAAGGAGUUACACUAAGGGUUUUCUUUCUUAUUUUGUUUACCCUUUUAAAAAUAAAACAAAAAUAAGUGGCGACUCCAAGUCAUUUUCUAAUAAAUAAAAUCAUUUUUUAAACAAAAAUCGAGCUUACCAUCGAGUGAAAAUGGAUGAGCCGAAAUGUGGGGUCCACAAAAUGGUGAUUCCACUGGGGAUAGAGAGGGCGUAACUUGAAAUUAAGAUGAAGCAAAUGUGGCAUUUGAUGAGUCAAUCAGUGGGUACCUGUCUCUUGAUUACACAUUGAGGGUUCCCGAGUUUUCACUUGGGACGUUGGCAUGUUGAUCAUGUUCGUUGAUGUCUUGAUUGAUGAUCUUGAUAUAGUGUUGCUUUUUGUGCUUCAUUUGCCAUAUUCGUUUGAGAUAUUGACAUGCUGAUUGCCUAUUUUUGUUUCGCUUAGCAUAGUGAUCCUGAUAUUUGCCAUGAUUUUUUUUAUCUCCUUGCAUGUAUGAAUUCAUCGUUGUACAUCAUUUGACUUGACAUGUUGAUUCUCUAGCUUGUAUAUCCUCUUGAUCGUCUUUGAGCAUGAUGUAUAUAUGUAUCACUUUUCAUCCAAUCGUCAUAGCUUGUAUGUGUGCAUGAGUGGAAUAUCCUGCACUCUACUUGACCGCAUGUUGCAUGGCUGCCCUCCCUCUGCAUGAUUGCAUGUCGCUUGUCUAUGUGGGUCGCACUUCUAUCCCCCUAUCUCUAACUUUCUUGGUCUCGAUCAUUCCUUUCAUUCCGGUUCUCACUAUUGUAAGUGUGAGGCCUUCUGCAUGCUUGCUCUCUGACCGAGCCAGAGAUUAGGAGUAGGGUCUAGCGAUGGGCUAUAUCAAUGUACGAGAGCAUUCUAGAGGAGAGCAACACUUUGUUGUCGAUUGGAGUCCGAUCAUUGAAGACUUGUAUAGCCCUGAGCUAGUUCAUGGAUAUUUGUGUGGCUAGUGUGUUUCCUUUCCUGCUUUAGCUUCAUAGGGUUAUUGGAUGCACCCACACUAUUCACUGUGCACUUUAGUUUACCACUAAGUGUUGAGAGUUUGAGAGGUUUCACCAUAGGAAACCCCCUAGGAUGUCGAGGUAGUGCAUGUGUGGAGGUGAUGACCACCUUGCAUGGAAGCACCCCGUCUCUUCAGAGGCAUGCAGAGGGUUGCAUACCGCCGAAGGGUAUGAUCGCUUCUGCUAGGGAUCUUUUAAAGUCCACUCAUAUCCAUUUAGAGCCAUCUUCAUCUCGUAGGUUGAGCCGUAGAUCCUUCGAUUAGGACCCAUCCCCUAUGUCUGAGUGGGGCAGCCCAGCGCUAGUUUGCAUCCCUAGAGUCUUCACGAUGUCGGACAUGGGACGACUUGGCCUAGGAGUUCUUACGACAGUUUUCAUUUAACACUGUCGUAGAUGUAUCGAGGAGAGAGCUCGAGGCUCUGAGACAAAGGACAGAUGAGUUCGUUUCAUCAUUUAUCUCCCGUUGGCGCGGAAAGAUUGCCGAGAUCAUCGAUAGGCCUCCAGAGAGGGAUCAGAUACAGAUGGUUUUGAGGAGCCUACAACCUAGGAUUGCCAGAUACGUGGUCGGGGUACCCUUCACAGAUUUUGGUUCAUUAGUUUCGGCUUUGUACGAUGUCGAGUGUGGACCGAUUCUUCCCCUAGUGAUGUUAAAGGGAAGAAGCCCUUCGGGGGACAGAGGUAAAGGGAUGUGAGUGCCAUUAGUUCUUCCAGUCAGAGGCCUCUUAGACGUCAUCAGGCGGUCCCACGGCUUCCCGAGACUCAUCAUUCUUAUUCACCUCAACAGUAUAGGUCGUGAGCGCCUCGUCCAACUUAUGAUCAGUUCUACGUGCCACAGACUUUGGCUUUGCCUUAUUAUGCCACCCAGGGCAUUGAGAGACCCUCAGUUUCCUACACAGCCACAAGACAGCCAUGCUAUGCUGCUUAGUUCACUGCGAGACCCACAACGCCUUAUCCCCGACCCAGAGCUCAGCAGAGUUCUGCUCCAUUUGCUUUGAGGACACAAAGGCAGUUCUCGCAGUUAGGCAUGCCGUUAAGCCAGGCCCUUUGGAAGCUCACAAAGGCAAGGUUGUUGACUGCUCUCACUCCCAAGUCGCCACCUCAGCCGAUUCCACCACAGUUCAGGAUGGAUUUGCACUGUGCAUACCAUCAGGGGCCUGGACAUGAGACCGAUCAUUGUACAGCUCUCAGACAUGCCGUCCAAGAUUUGAUCGACCAAGGUUUGGUACACUUGGGUCAGCCGAGUGUGACCACAAACCCGUUACUGACCCACACCACACAUGCAGUUCCUCUACCAGCCGAUGAUAUUCAUUUCUUGGACUUUGAUGAGAUCAAUGACCACAUCCACAUGUUGAGUGGGGACGAUUCAGACCCAGAACCCAUCAUGCUAGAUGUGAUUUAUGAGAUGAGUGGGGUGACUCUAGGGCCUCGGAUUCCCGCUCCAUUCCGAUUAGUUCCUAAGGCAGCAUCUAUAUAGGUGACCACUUCUAAGCCUCUGACUUUCACACAUUAUAGCGUUCAGAGGCCAUUCAUCUUGAUCCCGGAUGUUGAGGAGGUUCAGGCUCCGCCUGUUGAUGAUUCUCAGACUCUGGAUGUUCAGUAUAUUCUCUAAGGAGGUAGAGUGAUGCGACAACCACCUCCCGUGGCAGCUAGGCCAGUUGAGGGUACAUCCACUCCCAAGGAGGUCAGAGUAGAGGAUGACGAGAUUUUGAGGCAGUUAUAGAGCACUCAGGCCCGUAUUUCCAUCUGGAGUUUGUUGGCAUCCUCAAGAACUCACUGUGAUGCAUUAAUUCGAGCCCUGAGCCAGAUCAGAUUUGAGAACACCACCACUCCUGAGGGUUUGAUUCACAUGAUGACAGCUGGUCAAGCCACAUGCAUCGUAUUCUCGGAUGACGAUUUGCCACCGGAGGGCUUGGACCACACUCGUCUGCUUUAUAUAUCUGUCGAUUGUUCGGGUCGUCGAGUCCUAUCUAUCCUUCUGGACAAUGGCUCGGGCCUAAACGUCUGUCUGUUGGCCACCGCCAUUGCCCUCAGCUACGCACCAUCUGAUUUCGGUACCUCCACUCAGACCGUUUGCGCGUAUGACAAUACUCGGAGGGAGGUCAUGGGUACACUAGAGAUUGAGCUACUGAUUAGUCCGACCACUUUUGUCGCCGUGUUUUAGGUUUUGAGGAUUCCUACAUCCUUUAACCUGCUUCUAGGUCGACCAUGGAUCCAUAGAGUUGGGGCCAUUCCUUUUUCCCUUCAUCAGAAAGUGAAGUUUAUUCAUGAUGGCUAGGUCGUCGUGGUGCAGUCUGUGAGGGAUAUGUUCAUUUCGGCCGAGCCUGUACUCGAGAUUAGUCACACUGAUGAUGAUAUUUUUCUGACCAGAUUUACCUUUGAUGAGGUGCAGACCGUGGAGAUAGAGGAUCUCUGUCGAAAUUUCGUAGCCAUGUCCUUUAACCAGCAUAGUAGCAUGGUGGUGCUCGACAUGAUGAGGGGUAUGUCUUAUAUUCCCAGCAUGGGGUUAGGGCGACGUCAGCACGGGCCUAGUGAGUUCAUGACCUUCCUUGAUCACGACGAUGACUCAUUUUCUGUUUCCGAUUCAGAUCCCGUUGAUUAGAGAGUUUCGCCUGUUACAGGCGACAUAGAGACAGUUGAUUUCGGCACAGCAGAUCAGCCUAGGGAGUUGAGGAUCAGAUCAGAUUUAUUUACAGAUGAGAGGGAUAGCCUUAUCCAGUUGCUCAGAGUAUACUUGGAUCUUUUCACAUGGUCCUAUGAGGACAUGCCGGGCCUUAAUCCAUCUAUCAUCCAGCAUCGUUUGCCACUUCUGCCCCAUGCUAGACCGGUUAAGCAGAAGUUGAGACGGUUGCAUCCUCGUUGGAGCUUGUAGGUCAAGGAGGAGAUUCAGAAGCAGCUCCGUGUAGGAUUUUUAUCAAUGGUCGAGUACCCGGAGUGGCUGGAAAAUGUCGUCCCUAUUCCCAAAAAGGAUGGCAAGGUGAGAGUCUGUGUUGAUUUUCGAGAUCUCAACAAGGCCAGUCCUAAGGAUGAUUUUCCUCUUCCACACAUUGACAUGCUAGUUGACAGUAUGGCAGGUCAUUUAAUGUUGUCCUUUAUGGACUAAUUUUUCGGGUACAGUCAAAUCUUGAUGGCUCCAGAGGACAUGGAGAAGACGUCCUUCAUUAUGGAGUGGGGUACUUAUUGCUAUAGAGUCAUGCCGUUCGGAUUGAAGAACGCAGAAGCCACCUAUUAGAGAGCAGCGACCAUUCUCUUCCAUGACAUGAUGCAUCGGGAUGUCGAGGUUUAUGUAGACGACAUGAUAGUGAAAUCCCGAGACAGAUCAGAUCACUUAGCAGCUUUGGAGAGGUUCUUUGAGAGGAUCCGACAGUUCAGAUUGAGACUGAACCCCAAAAAGUGCACUUUCAGAGUGACUUUUGGGAAACUCUUAGGGUAUAUGGUCAGUGAGAGAGGCAUAGAGGUAGAUCCGGAUAAGAUCAGAGUCAUCCUUGACAUGCCAGCACUGAGGACAGAGAGAGAGGUUAGAGGCUUCUUGGGUAGACUUCAGUACAUCAGCAGAUUCAUUGCUAGAUUGACAGACAUCUGUGAGCCCAUUUUUCGACUCUUGAGGAAAAGUCAACAUACUGUUUAGGAUGAUCAGUGUCAGCGUGCAUUUGAGAGGAUAAAAGAGUACUUUUUGUCACCUCCAGUCUUGGCGCCUCCUACGUCAGGCCGUCCCUUACUCUUAUAUCUGUCAGUUUUAGAUGUAGCAUUGAGAUGCAUGUUGGCUCAACUUGAUGAUUCGGGCAAGGACCGAUCCAUUUAUUAUCUGAGUAAGAGGAUGCUAGGCUAUGAGACGAGGUAUGUCAUGAUUGAACGCUAUUGUUUGGCAUUGGUUUGGGCCACUCGCCGACUGAGACAUUACAUAACCGAGUAUUCAGUGCAUUUGAUAUCCCGUCUAGAUCCUCUGAGAUAUUUGUUUGACAGGCCCGCCUUAGUUGGUCACCUUAUAAGAUGGUUGGUACUUUUGACUGAGUUUGACAUCCAUUAUGUCACUCAGAAGUCCAUCAGAGGGAGCAUUGUCGUGGAUCACCUAGCAUCAUUACCAGUUUCCAACGGCAGAGCCAUUGAUGAUGACUUUCCAGACGAGGAUGUCGUUGCUGUGACCAAUUUAUCAGGUUGGCGUAUGUUCUUUGACGGUGCAACCAACCAUUCUGGAUACGGGAUAGGUGUCUUGUUGAUAUCCCCUCAUGGCGAUCAUAUUCUUAGAUCUACUCGUUUGGUAUUCUCGGAUCGACAUCCUGCCACGAACAACAUUGUUGAGUAUGAAGAUUGUAUCUUAGGAUUGGAGACAGCCCUAGAGCUCGGGAUUAGACAGAUGGAGGUAUUUGGUGACUCCAAUCUGGUAUUGAGACAGAUUCAGGGCGAGUGGAAGACUAGAGAUGCAAAGCUUAGGCCUUACCACACGUAUUUAGAGCUACUGGUCGGGAGAUUUGAUGAUUUGAGAUACACACAUCUGCCUAGAGCGCAGAACCAGUUUGUUGAUGCCUUAGCUACUAUGGCUUCCAUGAUUGACAUUCCUGCUGAUGCCACUGUUCGCCCAUUGUUAAUCGAGUCGAGAUCUGCUCCUGCGUACUGUUGUCUGAUUGACGAUACGGAGAUAGACAAUGGUCUGCCCUGGUACCAUGACAUAUAUCACUUUAUGAGACUUGGAGCAUAUCCUGAGGCUGCCACGGCCAAGGAUAGGAGAGCACUGAGACAGUUAGCCGCCCGAUUCGUGAUUUGUGGUGAGACGCUAUAUAGACGAUCAGUUGACGGGAUGCUAUUAUUGUGCUUGGACCUAGCCUCUACCGAUCGAGUGAUGAGAGAGGUUCAUGCGGGAGUCUAUGGACUACAUAUGAGAGGACAUAUGUUAGCCCGUAAGAUCAUGAGGACUGGCUAUUUCUAGUUGACCAUGGAGACGGAUUGUUGUCAGUUUGUUCAGAGAUGCCCCGAGUGUCAGAUACACGGAGAUCUCAUUCACGUGCCGCCCUCCGAGUUGCAUGCACUGACUUCACCAUGGCCAUUUUCGGUAUGGGGUAUUGACAUCAUCGGGAAGAUUUCACCGAAAUCUUCUAGUGGUCAUGAGUUCAUCCUGGUCACCAUCGAUUACUUCACCAAGUGGGUGGAGGCUGCUUUGUAUGCGAGAUUGACAUCAUCUAGAGUUGCUAGUUUCAUCUGAUCACACAUUAUCUGUCGCUAUGGAGUCUCUCAUGAGUUGAUUUCGGAUAGAGGGGUACAUUUCAGGGUAGAGGUUGACACCUUAGUGCAGCGAUAUGGCAUCCGACAUCAUAGGUCGUCUGCGUACAGGCCGUAGACGAACGGGGCAGUAGAGGCCGCGAAUAAGAAUAUCAAGAGGAUAUUACGGAGGAUGGUCGAGACUUCUCGGGAUUGGUCAGAGAAGCUCCCAUUUGCAUUGUGGGCUUAUCGGACUUCUUUUCGCACCUCUAUAGGAGCCACACCCUACUCAUUGGUAUACGGCAUGGAGGCGGUGCUACCCGUUGAGAUUGAGAUGGGUUCGUUGAGAGUAGCACUAGAGCAGUAGAUUCCUGAGGCAGAUUGGGCUUAGACUCAAUUUGAUCAGCUCAAUCUCCUAGAUGAGAGGGAUUGAGAGCAGCAGACCAUGUUCGUGCAUAUUAGAGGAAGAUGGCCCGUGCUUUUAAGAAACGGGUUAAGCCCAGGCCAUUAAGGAUAGGUGACUUGGUUUUGAAAGUCAUCAGGGGAUUGAUCAGAGAUCUUAGAAGGAAGUUCAAAACCAAAUGGAGCGGACCUUAUUUCAUUAGGGAGUUGACCCCAGAGGGCACCGCAUGGUUGAUGGAUUUAGAUGGAAACCGAUUCUCAGAGCCGACCAAUGUGGAUCAGCUAAAGAGGUACUAUGUUGAGACCAUGGUCGCAGGAUGGGUGGCCAUCAUUUCGGUUAGCCGUAUACCUUGUUAUUCCUUUUUGAUACAUAGUCCAUUGCUAGCCCAUUGAGCCUCGCAUGCGCAUUAUAGUCUUUCUUUCUUAUCGCCUUGCUCACAUUUUCACACCGGGAUAGGGGCCCUUUAGUAUAUGCAUGCAUUGUUUGGGAGUUUCAUGAGCCUUGGACCUAGGGGCACGUUCUUCUCAUUAUCUUUUUGUGGACCUGCAUUUUUCAUGUGCGUCCCCACUCAAUCUACGAGACUCUCUUUUUAUUUGUGAAAAAUUAAUUUUGGAAAAAGUCGGAGUCGCCACUUAUUUUAUUUUUAUUUUAAGGGGAAAAUAAAACAAGAAAGAAAAACCCUAAAAUGUGACUCCAUAAUUUUUGGAAAAAACAUGUCUUUGAAAAACCCGAGUCUAGGUCCUUGGAUCAGGUUACUUAUUGGGAAGGUACCUCUAGGAGAUAACACCCCUUUAAGCCCUACAAAGGUCUCUACUGAUUACGUUGAAGGAAAUGUGGCAAUCAACUAAUUAAUUAAGGGUACCUAGGUAGGCUAAGGUGAUUUCAAAACGAGCAUGCCAAACAAAGAAAAACCAAUCACGCCCAUAAAGGAAAGUUAGGAUGCGUACCUGGACCACUUCUUAAGCGCUAUCAUAAAACAUCAAUGGUUAGUUUAGAUAAUAUAUCACUUAACAUGCGUUUUAUCAUGAAUGAUCAAACAAUGUAGCAAAUAUCAAGACAUCCCAAGCGUUCUCAGACAUAGGUAUAAUUCAUGAUGACAAUCAUAUUUACAAAAUUUAGAAGGUAGGUGACAGGAGACAUACCUGGAUAGCAUAGAUAACUUGUAACGUGCUUCCACAAAACAUGAGAGGUUAGAUAACAAACAAUAAAAUAAAAAGUCCUAGCAUGCUUGUUAUCUAAUUAGCAUAGAAAAAAAAAUUAUCAUAGUAUACAAAACCAUCAAUUAUCACUAAUAUCUUCUAUAUAAUUUCUAAAAAAUAAAUAGACAUGAGUUCAUCAAAUAGCAAAGGGGUCAACAAAGAUGAGUUUUGAAAAAUUUCCUUUUGUAGGGGUUUCACCAAUUCCCCGAUUGAUAUACACAAAUCUAGCCUGGAAUUAUCCCAUUUAUUUGGGACCACAAGCUUUGAUUCGUGUUUUGUUCAAAACCAAAAUUUUCAUUGAAAAUUGAGAAUGAUGCAAACUAAUCAAAAAAAAAAAAAAUGAUUGCCUAUUAUUUUAAGAAAAUGAGAUUUCAAUUCUAAGGACUCUAAAUGAGUUUUUGAAAUGGGUUUUUUAAAGGGAUCUUUUGAAAAAAGUGUUAUAUAUUAAAAUAAGAGAAAUUAAUUUGAGAACCAUGAAACAUAUGAGAAACAGAAUACCAAGCAAAAAAAAACGGAAACAAAAUCAUGAAAUAAAAUUUUUGGCAACCAAGCAAGCAUAAAUGGUGUGAGUGGAGGCCAAUCUUCAUUAUUUUCUAAUAGCUUCCGAAAAUCAAAGUAAAGAUAAGAUUAUUAUAGCAACUGACCAAAGAUAUUUAGAUCAAGUAAACUAACAUUUUAACAAAUCCAACUUUCAAUUUGACACCAAAAAUUACAUGCUAAUACCUUAAAAAAAAAAAAUUUACUUUCAUUCUAUUAUUAAGAACUAUGGAAAACAAGUGUCUAAAAAAAAUUCUAUCUUUAAAAUGAUCACCAAGAGUAAUAAUAAUAAAAAUAAAUAAAGACUUUAAGAAAAUCUUAAACCAGCAUAGAUAAUCAAGAACUAAUUGUUGGAAUUUCUAAUACGUCUAAACUUAAGAUAAAUUAAUCAAGCGCUUAUAAAUGAGUUUUAAAAUGAAACUAAUAAUACGAGAUUAUCACAAAUUAUCAACUUAGUUUCAAAGAAAUAAUAAACGUCAUCGGGAUCGCCUAAACAACGUCUAAUAAUUUAAAGAACAACAUAUAAUAGCAUAGAUCAUCAAAAAUCAAUAACUUAUUGCUCAAAGACGAAUAUAAAUUAACAUAGAAUUUUAAAAUUAACUAUUAAGGAUUCUAGAAAAAUAAAAAUCAACAUGGAUCGAUAAAAAUUAACAAUUUUAAAAACAACUCAAAUUUACGGAUCAAUCAAGACUGAAGUUUAAAAAUUAAAAACAUGGAUUUAAUCAAAUGGUCCAAUAAGGAUAAUAACCUAUAAUCCUAAAAAUGUAACCUAAAAAAAAAUCAAAACUUGGAAUCCCUACAAUGGUAUUCCAUACAAUUAAAUAAUUCUUAAAUUUAAACUCAAUCAAUUGAAAACAGAAACUUAGAAUCGAGUCGAUAAUAAUUAAUUUAUUUAGUUAAAGUUCUCAAUAAAAAUCAAAACUCAAAACCAACAAAUUAAUCAAUCAAGAAUUCUCAAGUAUGCCAUGUCGUUAUACAACUAGAUGGAUGCCAAAAUUAGAAAUCAUAGAAUUCCAAAGCAAGUCAUUAACUAAAAUAUACAUGAAAUAAUCAAUUUGUAAUAAAAAAAAUUAAUCAUGAACCGCACCUUCAAUACACAAACCAAGGUGCUGUCCUGCUCCUACUGGUGGCGCAGGUUGAUGACUCACUGAUGACACACAAUACACAAAUUAAAGAGAUGAUUGACCUGAGACUGCAACUCUUCAAGUUGCUUUUUCCUGCGCUGGCGCGAAUAUUCUGGCAGAGUCUCUAUUGGGUUGCAGCCGCUUAUGCUUAUUCUCAUCUGCAGCACUCAGUUGGCACCCUUUCUCUAGCCGGUUAUGCUCGCUACCAAGCGACCUGAAUGGUGUGUGGCUGCUGUGAUGCUUGGGGGUAUGUGGCUACGAGUCCUAGCGUGGAAUUGGUGCUGGAAGUGCUGCCCAUGGAGGCUCCAUUUGUGCUUGUGUGGGUUCAUGCGUGCAUGGCAGCUUUAAUGUAUCGCCCACUUAAGGUGGCCUUGUGGGCUACCAUCAAUGGAGGAAAAAAGGUGGCUAUGAGGCGUCAACCCUCCUCAUGCAGUCCGCACAGCCACCUCUUAAUCAAUAUAAAAAAAAUCGCCUCAAGAAUUCCUUCACCAAAACUGUUGAAUCUCCCCCGAAAAACCUCAAAAAGCCUCACCCAAAAAAAACCUCCCUAUGUGGACCUUCCUUCUCCCUCGAAAUGGUGCCUCUCUCCUCUCCCUAGAAUGGUGCGGCUGCACCUUCCUUUUUCUCUUUUUAUGCAAUGCAUGCCUUCCUUUUAGUGCCUGGUCUCAAUAUUGAAUCCCCUUGCUAUUUGUGCCUCUAAUUAGAAAAUCAUAAAAUCUCGCAUUUCUUCCCAUGUAUCUGUCCGUUCAUGGAGAUUGCGUCUCUCCAAAAAUUCCUUUUUGUAUGGAAAUUUCCAUAUAUUCUUCUAUGGGCAGCAACUUCUUCCUCUUCCUUGUGGCCGUGUUUUCCUUAUAUGCAUGGUGGAGGUAACUUUAUAAAUAAUGCAGCUGUCACUUUCCUUUCUCUAAAAUUUCGGUGAUCUUCCUUCCAAAUAGAUGGUAAUUACUACUCAAAAAGUGCUAUUUUAUAGCUUGUAAUUAACUCUUUUAAACACUUUUGAGUAGUAGUUAUUACCUUUUAACUCAAUUGGCAUGUUAAGGACCCUUGCAAUCAAUUCUAAUCAAAUUGUGUUAAGUUUUUGUGUUUUGAUAGCUUUUUGAUCACCAAAGCAAUCCGAGAUUGAGGAGAGUUAUUUGGAAUCCAUGGCAAAGCAAUGGAAAGCUUAGAAACAUGAAGAACCGAAUCUUUGAAGUCCUUUGCCAUAAGCAAAUCCGGAAUGCAAGGAGGGGAAGCAAAGAGAAAUCUGCCAUGAAGCAUUCUUGAUGACAGUCAUGUCAGCCACUUUUGGAGCACUUCCUGGAGUCCAAUUUAUGCAUUCUAUAUGUCGUUUCGAAGCUCAGGAAGUUAACAAUCCAAUUCUUUAAAUGGUGUACGAUUCGGAGUUGAAAUGAAGGAGUUACAACCAUUGUAAGCCGAUCACUCCAAGCUAAAGGAAGAAUUUUUCACGACUGCGAAAUCACCCUUUUACUGCGAAAUGAUUUCGCAGCCAUUUUGCACAAUGCUGUGGAAUUUCUCCUGAAGUUUCCCGAUAUUUGCGACCGACACUUUUGGAUAUUUUGCUUCAGACUUUUGAUGUCUAAAUCCCCAUUUUCUCCUUGUAACCCACCAAUUAUAGGAUUCCUUAGUUAUUAAGUUUGGAAAAAGGGUGAAUAACCUGAGAUAUUUUUGUUUUGUAAUUUUCUAUAUAUAUAGAUCUCGGGAGCCUGUUCUCAGGGGUAGGAGGAUGAGGAAGACGCAUCCUUUGUACAGUUUUGAAAGGAAGAAAUAUAUUUUACAGAGCACUUGCUCUAUUUUUCCUAUAUAUUUUUGUUUUCUCGUUAUUUUUAUUUCUAGCCAAUCAAACUCUGAGGAUUUUUCCUCAGAGGAUGAGCGGCUAGGCUCUUUGUCUCUUGGAGUGAGGAAAGUCGGGUAAGUUUCCACAUGCAUAAAUUGGAAGUUUUGUUGUUUUAGUUUUUAAUGAAGAGAAAGUGUGACCCGUUAAUGGUUUUUAUCUUUUUAGUUAACUUAAAACGCCUUCAAUUCACCUGAGCCAACACUUGGUAAGACAAGUGAUCUCCGUCCUUGGAGAUGCACUAGUUUAUCUCUUGCGAGCUUCUGGGAGGUGACUUGAAGGUAGGAUUUUCUAGAAUAGCCAACACUUGGUAAGCUUUUGGACUCCAAGGAGACAUCCAUUAGUUAUCUCUUGCGAGUUUUUGACGGGUAAUCCAAGGUUAAAGAUCACCUUGAAUGGCAAGUGCUAGGUGAAAGGUAUGAGCCAUUGCAAGGUGCAUCAGUGAGAGGGAUUUAGUGUUUGAACCCAUUAAAGGGAAGCAUCUGUACAACACCGGUUGGAUAAGGAACUAUAUGUUAAUUCUCUAAUGCGAGGAAAAGAAACAAGUGACCGGAACUCCCUUUUUGUAUGAGGAAUCUGAGCCUAGUGAUCUGAAACUCCAAGAAACACUUUUCUUUGUAGUUAAAAUCAGUUACUAUUUUUGGUUAGCUUAAAACCAACCUUUUCAACCAAAAAUUAUGUUUUCUUUUAAAGCUAACCUUGAAAUGAAAAGGCACCAAUUCAGCUUUGAAUUAAUAUCAAUUGUGAAGUGAAAACCCAUCCCAGUGAACGAUCCUAAAGCCACUAUGCUAUAGUAGCUUUGUCUUUGCUACCCUAGUUCAUGGUGUAAUAGGUUAUAAAUUUUGUUGAUUACUCCCUCAAUCAAGGAGCACCAGCUGGACACGAAUCAGCUGAGACACCAAUUGGGCACGAAUCAAAUGGUGUUGUUGCCGGGGAGCUAGAAAUGAAGAAUAUGCAAGAAGUGCAAGCCAUCUCUCAAACACCAUUGCUACCUAUGCCUUGUUCCAUUUUUCGAUCAUAUGAGCACUUGGUGGAUGAGUGUCCUACCAUUCCAGCCGAGAGGGAAAUGUUUGGUGAUUGCAACACCUACAAUUCCAAUUGGAGGGACCAUCUAAAUUUCUCUUGGAAACCACAGCCGCCUCAGUACAAGCAACCCGCUCAAGCACCACAGCAAGCCUCAAACCUUGAACAAGCUAUGAUGAAUCUUAACAAGGUCAUGGAAGACUUUGUUGAAGCUAAAAAAUCCAUCAAUGCUCAGCUCAGUCAAAGAAUUGACAGUGUAGAGAGUUCAUUGAACAAAAAGAUGGAUAAAGUGCAAAAUGAUCUAUCUCAGAAGAUAGAUAAUCUCCAAGAUUCAAUAUCAAGGUUUGCCAACCUCGACACAGUGCAAGAGAAAGAAAACUUUCCUUCUCAACCUCAUCAAAAUUCCAAGGGUAUCCAUCAAGUGGAGGCUCGAAAGGGAGAAUCUUCAAUGGUGAAGGAAGUUAAAAUGGUUAUCACUUUGAGGAGUGGUAAAGAGGUUGAUCUGCCCACAUCCAAGCUAGAGCAUAAGGAAGAGAGUGAAACAGAGAAAGAAAAGAGGGAGGAAAUCAAAGGAAAGAAAAAGGAGAAAAACAUAGAGAAAGAUGACUAUAUAGAUGAAAAACCACAGAGGAUAGUCAUCAAGGAAGAAAUGAAGAAACACAUGCCUCCACCUUUCCUCCAAGCUUUGUAUGGGAAAAUCAUACAAACCAAGUCUCAAGUGGAGGAUGCAAACUUCAUAUGGGAUCCGGGCAAGCUAAAUCAGGAUCAAAUUUUUUGAUGGACUUAGUCUUUUUAAAGACUAACUAGUCCAUAUCUUUUUGUUUUGUUUUUUACUUAUUUUAAUUUUGAUUUCAAUGCUUUAAUUCUAAUUUGUUUUGAUGUAAUAUAGGUUUUUGGAUGAUCAAAAUCAGGAGGAAUUGCAAAGAAAUUGAAAUGAAGUCUUUCGGAGCAAAAACAGGGGUCUACGAGAUUUCGAAACCUCUGCGAAAUCAGCACUUUGCUGCGAAACCAGUUCACAGCCUCAAGCCCCUCUCUGCGAAAAUUUUCGCAAUUGCGAAACCAUUUUUGGCACACAAGUGUCAUUUCGCAGCAUAGUGACCCUCAUUUCGCAGCUGCGAAGUCCCAAAACGUGAAAAAUCCCAAUUUCGCAGCCAAAGCUCCAUUUCACAGGGUAUUUCGCAGCUGCGAAACCAACUUUUGGCACACAAGUUCCAUUUUGUAGCACAGUGACCCUCAUUUCGUAGUUGCGAAACGGCUGCGAAAGCCAAAAAAAAAAAAAUUUCCAAUUUUCGCAGCCCAAUCCCCAUUCCACAGGGUAUUUCACAGCUGCGAAACCAUUUUUUGGCACACGAGUGCCAUUUGGAAGCCCCGUACACUCAUUUCGUAGUUGCAAAAUGGCUGCGGAACCUCAACACCUUAAAAUCCUUCAGCGCGCACACCAUGAGCUGACAUGUCACAACCGCACCCCCAUUUCGGCAAUUGUUGGACACAUCUUGAUCACUUCCUGAAGUUCAUUUCCUACAUACAUUAUAUCGUUUAAAAUCUUGGGAAGUCAGGAGUCCAUAGCUUCAAACGGUAUGCCAUUUGGAGGUGAAAUGAAGAAGUUAUGGUCGUUUGAAAAAGAGCGCGCAAAGCUGAGCGGGAAUUUCGCAGCUGAGACGCCAUUUGGAAGGGUGUUUCGCAGCUGCGAAACAACUUUUUGGCACACGAGUGCCAUUUUGCAGCGCCGUACGCUCAUUUUGCAGCUGCGAAAUGGGCUGCUAAAAUAUUUCUCCGCUGCGAAAUCACCUUUAAGCUGCGAAGUCACCUUUAGGUUGCGAAAUGGUCUGCGAAAAUGCCACUUUGCUGCGAAAUGAUCUCCAAGCUUCGAAAUGGCUGCGAAAUGACCUCCAAGCUUAGAAAUGGCCUUCAAAUUUCGAAAUUGACUUGCGAAAUGGAGGAAGGUUUGCAAAAACACCUUGCAAAGCCAAGGGAAGUUGCUAAAAUGCCAUCAGAGCCCCGCGACCAUGCAUCUGAAGAGGAGAGCCCCGCGCACCUUGAGAUCACACACACAAAGUCUCUCACUCCAUUAUUGACCUCCUUAAACCAUCAAAUCCCAUAGCUCCAGCUGAGAGCUCCAGCUGAGGAGACUAUGCCACCUAAGGAGACUAUCAGAACAGAGGUCAAAAUCCUGAUCCAACCCACUCAAGAGGCCACCAUAGUUGCAUCAGCUCCACAGGACCCUACCAUUACUUGAUCAUCUCUUUACUUUUGUCUUUACAUAUUAUAUUAGUGUAAAUAAUUUCAUGUUUUGAUGUUUUAUAUUCUGGGAUUGGAUGUAUUACUGAUGAUACAUCAUAUAUAGACAUCAUUUUUGUUUAAACUUGGCAUUUUUUUAUUAUUUCCUCUACUCACUAACUCUUAUGUUUUCUUUGAAACAUGUGGUUUCUCCUAUACGACUCAGACUCCAUGUCACUCAAGAGGUACCACUUCCUUCCUAUUUUUCAAUCGAUUUUGUCACAUUGAGGACAAUGUUCAGCUUAGUUGGGGGGAGAGUUGAGGAAGUAAGUAUUGUUAAUAAUGCUAAGUUAUUUUGGUAAUUUAGUUGUUUUUUGCUUAAUUUUUAAAAAAAUUUUAAAGUUUUUAUUCUACUCUCCAUGGUUAUUAAGGAAAAAUUUUCAAAAUGAAAAGGGAGAAAUUGAAUUUUUGUCUUUUUACUUGACUUAGAGUUUGUAUUAUGGUUACUAAAGUUGAUGAAUUGUUGAAACUUCUAUUGAAUUCAACCUUAGUUCUUCCACUUUAAGCUAUUCACACACUGUGCACAAUAGGUUCCGAGUAUAAGGUGAAAAACUAUUUCCCUCUUGACUUAGGAAAAUUUUAGACUUGGUACCUUUGACCUUAUUUAAUAGUGUUGGGACACCUUAUAAAAGGCCAAUGAGUCUUUGAAGAAAAAAAAGAAAGAAAGAAAAAAUGUUUGCUUGCCUUGAAACCCGAGCAAGGUCUGAGGGGUAUAUGGUGAAAAUCUUUAAAACCUGGUGCCCUAAGCCUUAAUUGGUUGGGAGUCACCGACCUCAAUGCUCGUUACAAGGGUGGAUAGGUGGAUUUUAACAUACUGUAGGUGCUUGGGUAUUAAAAUUCAUUCUCAAAAGUUCGGGGUAAAAUCCGAGGAGUUAGUGGUUGAAAGAUCCUUAAAACUUGAUGCCCUAAACCUUAAUUGGUUGGGAGUCAUCGAUGGACCCCCGUUACAUGGACAAUUUAGAAAAGAAUACCUUUAAGCCUUGUACUCCUACAAUGAAAAAAAAUUUUGUGAGAAAAGAGGUGCGUUCUUAGCCUAUUGGAGGUUGAUUAGUUUGCUAAGUUUUGAAAAAAAAACUAGGUUGGGGGGAGAGAUUAGUUCAACAUACUAUAUUCGGAAACUAAUAAAUAACACUUAGAUUUUUGUGGAAGAGUAAGGUUUGACCCUUUGGGAGUGGAAACUCUUUUAAAGCUUAAAUUUGCAUAAUGCCUUCUCUUUAAGAAUUGUGAUUAGACAAGUUAUUUGAUAACUCUUGUUGAAGUUUGAGUUUUAUUUCUUUAAUGUUCCAUGUGAGAGUUAGAUCAUCAUGCCACUUUAGAAUUGUUUUUUUGAUUAGUAUGAUGUUGUAAAUUAUAGUAUUGUUUAUUUUUAUUUUUCUCUCCUUCAUUGCUAAGGGACUAGCAAUAUGUCGGUUGGGGGAAGUGAUUACUACUCAAAAAGUGCUAUUUUAUAGCUUGUAAUUAAUUCUUUUAAACACUUUUGAGUAGUAGUUAUUACCUUUUAACUCAAUUGGCAUGUUAAGGACCCUUGCAAUCAAUUCUAAUCAAAUUGUGUUAAGUUUUGGUGUUUUGAUAGCGUUUUGAUUACCAAAGCAAUCCGAGAUUGAGGAGAGUUAUUUGGAAUCCAUGGCAAAGCAAUGGAAAGCUCAGAAACAUGAAGAACCGAAUCUUUGAAGUCCUUUGCCAUAAGCAAAUCCGGAAUGCAAGGAGGGGAAGCAAAGAGAAAUCUGUCAUGAAGUAUUCUUGAUGACAGUCAUGUCAGCCACUUUUGGAGCACUUCCUAGAGUCCAAUUUAUUCAUUCUAUAUUUCGUUUCGAAGCUCAGGAAGUCAACAAUCCAAUGCUUCAAACCGUACACUAUUCGGAGUUGAAAUGAAGGAGUUACAUCCAUUGGAAGCCGAUCACUCCAAGCUGAAGGAAGAAUUUUGCACGGCUGCGAAAUCACCCUUUUGCUACGAAAUGAUUUCACAGCCAUUUUGCACAGUGCUGUGGAAUUUCUCCUGAAGUUUCCCGAUAUUUGCGACCGACACUUUUGGAUAUUUUGCUUCAGACUUUUGAUGUCUAAAUCCCCAUUUUCUCCUUGUAACCCACCAAUUAUAGGAUUCCUUAGUUAUUAAGUUUGGAAAAAGGGUGAAUAACCUGAGAUAUUUUUGUUUUGUAAUUUUCUAUAUAUAUAGAUCUCGGGAGCCUGUUCUCAGAGGGAGGAGGAGGAGGAAGACGCAUCCUUUGUACAGUUUUGAAAUGAAGAAAUAUAUUUUACAGAGCACUUGCUCUGUUUUUCCUAUAUAUUUUUGUUUUCUCGUUAUUUUUAUUUCUAGCCAAUCAAACUCUGAGGAUUUUUCCUCAGAGGAUGAGCGGUUAGGCUCUUUGUCUCUUGGAGUGAGGAAAGCCAGGUAAGUUUCCACAUGCAUAAAUUGGAAGUUUUGUUGUUUUAGUUUUUAAUAAAGAGAAAGUGUGACCCGUUAAUGGUUUUUAUCUUUUUAGUUAACUUAAAAUGCCUUCAAUUCACCUGAGCCAACACUUGGUAAGACAAGUGAUCUCCGUCCAUGGAGAUGCACUACUUUAUCUCUUGCGAGCUUCUGGGAGGUGACUUGAAGGUAGGAUUUUCUAGAAUAGCCAACACUUGGUAAGCUUUUGGACUCCAAGGAGACAUCCAUUAGUUAUCUCUUGCGAGCUUUUGACGGGUAAUCCAAGGUUAAAGAUCACCUUGAAUGGCAAGUGCUAGGUGAGAGGUAUGAGCCAUUGCAAGGUGCAUCAGUGAGAGGGGUUUAGUGUUUGAACCCAUUAAAGGGAAACAUCUGUACAACACCGGUUGGAAAAGGAACUAUAUGUUAAUUCUCUAAUGCGAGGAAAAGAAACAAGUGACCGAAACUCCCUUUUUGUAUGAGGAAUCUAAGCCUAGUGAUCUGAAACUCCAAGAAACACUUUUCUUUGUAGUUAAAAUCAGUUACUAUUUUUGGUUAGCUUAAAACCAACCUUUUCAACCAAAGAUUAUGUUUUCUUUUAAAGCUAACCUUGAAAUGAAAAGGCACCAAUUCAGCUUUGAAUUAAUAUCAAUUGUGAAGUGAAAACCCAUCCUAGUGAACGAUCCUAGAGCCACUAUGCUAUAGUAGCUUUGUCUUUGCUACCCUAGUUCAUGGUGUAAUAGGUUAUAAAUUUUGUUGAUUACUCCCUCAAUCAAGGAGCACCAGUUGGACACGAAUCAGCUGAGACACCAAUUGGGCACGAAUCAGAUGGCAGCCCGUUUUUUAGAAAAAAAAAAAAAAAGUCUUCUUUCUAUCCUUCAUUCAACCGUGAUCUGCUUUCCUUUCUUUAACACUUUAAAUCUCCUUUCCAUCCUCCAUUCAAUCGUGAUCUGCUUUCCUUUCUUUAAGGAUAUAAAUCUUUUUUCCAUGUUGCAUAGAAUAUCCCCACAUAUAUGAAGUCGUGUACAUCAAGAAUCUUCUCCAAUGUGUGCAUUCAAAUCUCAUGCCAAAAUAAAAUAAGAAUUAAAAUUAGUAAAGGUCAUGAAAUUGAAAAUUAAAACUAAUUUAAAAUUAUGCAAUUAAAAACAUUAUGUCUAUCAUAGGUACACCAAAAUAAUUAAGACAUCGGUUUACGGAAUUAAUCAUCAAUCGCAUGCAAUAUUCUAUAAAUAAAUAAAAUAAAAGCAAAUAACUAACCAAAUAAUAAUAAAUAAGUAAAUAAAUAAAUAAAUAAAAUAAAUAGAUGAAUAAAUAGAAAUAAGAAAUCAAGUACAUGCAAGCGUUAAAAAUGCAAAUCAUGGAAAUUAUGCAAUUCAUGUAGGAAUUACCUAAAAGGUAACAUAGGUGGGCCAGGAUGCCUAAGUAGACCUAGCGAACCAAAGUGGGUCUAGAUGUGCCUAAAUGAGCCUAGGUGAAUUUAAGUGGGUCAAGGUGGACCUAAAUGGGCUAGGUGUAUCUAAAUGGGCCUAGAGUGCCUAAGUGGGCCUAAGUCUAAGUGAGCCUAAGUCUAAAUCAAGACUGCCAAGAAUCAUAAUAAGGGGUUAGGCAAUCCCUCAACCAAAGUCUCCGAGGUGGCUCAGAAAAAGUAAGUAGUAUGAGUAGCUAUGAUUCACCAAGGAACUACUGUAGAGCAUUGGAAAUGAACUUAAAGGCAUGUGCUAAAUGGACAAAAUUGAGGGUCUACACUUUUCUUAUCACUGCACCUCUACAUUUUCAUCUCAUCUCGUUGGUUGUGUUACUCGUCUCUUCUUCCUUAUCCUAUCUACUACUUGUUUUGUUUCAUAUUCUCUCCACCCUAAGUGGUGAUCCUCCUUAGUUUAUCACAUGGAGGAUAGUCACAUCAUUUCCACCAUCUAUCUCGCAAACAUUGGUUUAGAGAUCCUUAGUUUGAGAAGGUCAUCUUGUCAGAGAGAGUUUUUGUUGCUUUAGCACUUGAGAUGGUGUCCAUCCAUUAUCGACAUCAUCCUUGGGGUUCAUUUGUUCAUGUUCAGGGUAUGUGUAUUUGUAUAUAUGUAAAAAAUAAAAAUAAAAAAAAAUAAAAAAAAUGAAUGAAAAGAAAAGAAAAAAUAAGCACAUGUGUGUAUGUGCAUAGUAUUCUCAAUCAUUGAGUGUGUAUGUUGAUAUUUGAGGGUCAUUUUUAUCGAGUAUGGUUGUUAUUGAGAGUCUGUAUGUGAGCUCUCUAGGAUCCUAUGGUAUUUGUAUUUGCUUUGUCAUGUCUCUUUGAGAAUGAGAUGAGUGACCUUCUCCUAAGGACUCCGAGUCAUUGUACUUUCCAUCAUUACAUUCAUUAUUGAUGUGACUUCACUUCAUGUUUGAUUUGAGUCGAUUACCACAUUUCUUCGUAUAUUCAUUGUUUCGCUGUCAUCUUUGUCAUUGCCUGUGAUUCAUCUCAUUCACUUCACCCCCCUUAUUCUUUUCUUACACUGACCUAUGCCAGAUUUGACGUUUCCCUUUCAUCGUUCCUGCAUAUCUCAUUAUCAGUUUGAUUUGCCUCAUUGUCUUAUUAUUGACAUCAUAUUCACGUUAGGCAUCCUUAAGUCCAUGGCUCACGGGAUUUACUAUACAUGUUGCAUUUCAUAUAUGAGGGCAUGGGUUUUUUAUCAUUAGGUAUUUGAGCCUAGUUUUCCUUCAUUUCUAUCACCCUAUCACCUUGACCUACGUUACGUCCCAUGUCUUAAGACCACCCUGAGGCCAUGGGAUCAUAUGUCGUAUUUGACAGCCUCUACUUGGACAGGUGUUUGAGAUCUGGUUAAUAUUUAGAUAUCGUCAUGCUUCUUCUUCCGGGAGUCGCCUCUUUGAUGUGUAGGUCUGAUUCAGUUGUGUUCGGAUUACUAGGAUCAUGCGUUUGACGAUGGAUGAUUUGGUGUCACCCGAUUUUUGACCUAUCUUACCUCUGGUGCCGCACUAGGGCAUAUCCCAUUUCAUUUAGAGGUUUAUGGAUCCUCAUGGACUUGCACGAUCAUCAUCACUUACUGGAUGCUCAUUGAGACAUGGACAUGAUCGUUACCUUAUCAUGAUUCCUCAGGGGAGCCUCCUGAGAGCCAUCCAACUAGGCCUACACUUCUCGGCAGUUAGAUGCCAUCAUGCUUCUCCAUCCGAGAGGUACAUCUUGGAUCUGUAGACAUGAUUUAGUUAUGGAUUCGAAUGACUAGGAUUACAUGUUUGAUGAGAGAUGGUUUCAUGUCACUUGUUCUUCUGACCUAUCACACGUCCGAUGCCAUAUUGGGGCAUAUUUCCGUUUCGGAUGAGAUUUACGGAUCUUCACAGAGGUCACAUGUUCGACGAUAGAUGAUUUCAUGCCACUUGUUCUUCUAACCUAUUGGGCACCUGAUGCCAUGCGGGGGCAUAUUUUCCAUUUCAGAUGAGAUUUAUGGAUCUUCACGAAUGUUGCGUGUUCGAUGAUAGAUGAUUUCAUGUCGCCUGAUCCCUGACCUGUCAUACGUUCGAUGCCAUACUGGGGCAUAUUACCGUUCAGGAUGAGAUUUACAAAUCUUAGUGGAGUUGCGUGCUUAUCCCCAUUUGCGAGACGUACAUCGAGACGAUGAUCUAUUCACUAUCUUUACGAUGAUUCCUCAGUGGAGCCUCUCGGGAGUUGCCCAGUUAGGCCUGCACUUCUCGACACUUAGAUAUCAUCAUGUUUUUCUUCCGGGAAACGCCCCUUUGAUCUAUGGGUCUGAUUCAAUUAUAGACAUGGAUGACUUGGAUCGCGCAUUCGAUGAUGGAUGAUUUGAGCUCAUCUGAUUUUCUGACUUGUCACAUUUUGAUGCCACACUGGGGCGUAUUCCCCAUUUCGGUCGAGAUUUGUAGAUCCCCCACUGAUUUGCAUGAUCACCCUCGGUUUUGAGAUACACAUCGGGUUGAUGAUUCGAUUUCAUUGUGUCCUAAUACUCCGUGGAGCCUCUCUUAAGUCUUUAAGCCAGAUUCACAUUUUUUGAUAUAGUCGUGAUUCUCGGACGAAGUUAUCUCAGGCGCAUGGAUUCUCACAUCAUCAUUUCAGUGGGGUACGUAUCAAAUCCUUCAUGCAUCCCUAUGGAGUUAUUCUCGGGUUAUCAGGAUAGAUCGGGUACAUAUGAUGCCAUACUGGGGCAUAUUUCCCUCAUUCAACCGUGGAGGCGAUCGUUCUCUCACAGAUCCUUUACAGUUUCCAUCCCUCAGCCGAGAUAUAUUGUAUUUGCCUUACUGAUUGUUAUUCCUGUGAUUUUCGUCGAGAUGAGCUUUCAGUGGAGCACGACGUUCAGGUUUUAUUCGCCCUACUAGCCAUGACUUUUCAGUGGAUUGUUACUUUGAGAUUGAGACGUCGUGAUUUAGUUGGGAGUGUUGUGAGACUAUGUUCACAGUCAAUUUGAUUAUCCGGACUCGCUAGUGGAGCAUCGUUCGAGGCCCAUGGAGUCUCUUUUAGACCCUUCCAGCGGAUUGAGAUUUGCAGUGGCAUGCCACACUGAGGCAUAUUUCUCCCAUUCAUCAUUCCCUCGCAGUUUGGUGUUCAGAGCCACCGGUCAUUCACUAUUUAUGACAUUCAAAGUCAUCAUGUCACACUUUCAGUUCGGCGUUCAGAGCCACUUCUCCAGUUUUGGCAUUUAGAGCCACCAUCACUUUUCAGUUUUGGCGUUCAGAGCCGCAUUCUCAGUUUCGGUGUUCAGAGCCAUCAUCACUUCCCAGAUUGACGCUCAGAGUCGUAUUUUCAGUUUUGGCGUUUAGAGCCAUCAUUGUCGCAUUCCUCGGUUUCGGCAUUCAGAGCCAUCAUCACUUCCUAGUUUGACGUUCAGAGUCGCAUUCCCAGUUUCGGCAUUCAGAACCAUCAUCACAUCUUCAUUCGACGUUCAGAGUCAUUGUUAUCACUUCUCAGUAUUAGUGUUCAGAGCCAUCUUCAUAGCAUUUUCAGUUUCGGCGUUCAGAGCCAUCAUUAUCGCUUCUUAGUUUCGGCGUUCAUAGCCAUUAUCACUCUUCAGUUUCACGUUCAGAGUCGCAUUCUCGGUUUCGGCGUUCAGAGCCAUGUCUCCGUUCGGCAUUCAGAGCCAUUACAUCAGUCAUUCUGGCGUUCAGAGCCAUUACAACAAUCAUUCCGGCAUUCAGAGCCACAUCUUCGUUCGGCUUUCAGAGCCACGUCGUUGUUCAGCAUUUAGGGCCAUUGCAUCAUCCAUUUCGGCGUUCAGAGCCAUCACUUAUCUUCAUUUAGGCGUUCAGAGCCAUUACUCAUCUUCUAUUUGGCAUUCAGAGCAGCAUGGUCAUCUUGGUAUUCAGAGCCAUUACUCAUUCUCAUUUCGAUGUUAGAGCCAUCACCUUCUUCAUUCGACAUUCAGAGUUGUUAUUCGUCUUCGUUUAGGCGUUCAGAGCCAUUACUCAUAUUCUAUUUGGCGUUCAGAGCUGCAUGGUCAUCUUGGUAUUCAGAGUCAUUACUCAUUCUCAUUUCGAUGUUAGAGCCAUCAUCUUCUUCAUUCGGCAUUCAGAGCUAUUAUUUGUCUUCCGUUUGGCAUUCAGAGUCGUUGUUCAUCUUCAUUUUGACAUUCAGGGCUGCAUUAUCAUCUUGGUGGUCAAAGCCACAUCUUCUUUCGAUUUGGCGUUUAGAGCCGCAUUGUUAUCUUGGUGUGCAACACCUUCGUUUCGGUGUCCAGAGCCAUUACUAAUCUUUUAUUUGGCGUUCAAAGCCAUGUUUUUCUUCGUUCGACGUUCGUAAUCACAUAUGUGUUUGGCGUUCCAAGCCACAUCUUCGGUCGGCACUCAUUUCCACAUCUUCAUUUGGCGUUCGGAGCCACAUCUUCAUUCGGUGUUCAAAGCCAUUAUUUGUUUUUGCUUAGAGUUCAGAGUCAUGGUUUUAGUUCGACACUUAGGGUCAUCAUGUCUAUCUUUCGUUCGAUUCAUCACCUUUUUCCUCCAUUCUGGCUUUUAGAGCCAUCGGGCACACUCUUUCGGGUCUUUUGAGUCAUUUCUCUUCUUUAGUUUUGGCUUUCAAAGCCGUUUUUCAUACCCAUUCAUGCAUCGUGAGUCACCAUCUUUCCAUGUUUUGACGUUCAGAGUCACUUCUCCUCAACUGUAUCGUUCAGGGUCACGGUCCUUCAUGGUUUUGCACUUAUCCUCAAUUUCCUCACCUUGUUACCCUAUGCUUAUCGCCUAUUCGUCAUAGCUCUUCCAGAUUUCUCUUUUCACUACUCACGACACAACCCUUUAAGUUCACGACACGUACUUCGGUCAUGUUGUUGGGCACCCUAUACUUGUUAUUUUCAUGUAGUUCGCAUAGGAUAGUCUCCUUUGGGCGUAGUCUUUCCUGUGCUCUAGAGUGGAUCGACCGGCACUCAUCCUUGACAUCGAUUCUUCGAGUCACUUUUGGAGACAUCUUAGAGGGAGUCUGGGUCCUUGGUGUAGCUUUAGGGGCACCUUGAGAGAUUUUUUUCUAUUAGGAUUAGAGCCCUUUUGCUUGGAGCCUUGAGCGAGCUUGUGUUUUACUUAUGUACCUUUCGGGGGUCUUUCUUUGCUCUUCAGUAGAGUUCACUUCAUUCCACUCACUUUUCACACUUUCCUUUCACUCUAAUGUUCAUGCUCCUUACACUUGUAAACUCUACCGAAGAAAGGCAUAUUUGUAGACCAUUUUUUAAGUAAGGGAGGGCCUGGGAGAAUUUUUUUUCCCCUUUUCAUUACAUUUGUGGAAGAAAGGGGGGGGGGGGGGGGACAACCCCCUGCCCCAAAACCCCAAAAACAACUGGCCAAGGGCAUGGCUGCCCCUGAAGGGGGUUGGAGGAAACCCUUUUGGCUGAAGGAGGAAAAUGAAAAUGGGUAUACCCGAAAAAGGGGGGUUUUUCCCAAAAAACGGUGGUGAAAGGAAAGAGGGGGAAGAACUUUAAAAAAAAAAACUUUGAAAAAAAACAUGGGUGGUUUUUGCUGGGUUUCCAAAAAAUUUUUAAAAGAAAAAAAAAAAAAAAAGAAAAGGUUUUUGCUGGUUUUUCUUUUUUAAAAGAACUCCGUAAUCCCCCAAACAGGACGGGUACUUUCCGGUAUCCCCCUUUAAAAUUUUUUUUCUUCCUUUCCCUAAAUUCCCCCCAAUUUCCAAUUUCCCUUGUUUUACCCCCCCCGAAUUNNNNNNNNNNNNNNNNNNNNNNNNNNNNNNNNNNNNNNNNNNNNNNNNNNNNNNNNNNNNNNNNNNNNNNNNNNNNNNNNNNNNNNNNNNNNNNNNNNNNGGGGGGACAACCCCAUGCACGAGAGCCGCAUAGACAACUGGCCAAGGGCAUGGCUGCCCAUGAAGGUGGUUGGAGGAAGCCAUGUUGGCUGAUGGAGGAAUAUGAGAGUGGGUAUACCUGAGAUAGGGGGGUUUUUCCAGAGGACGGGUGGUGAAUGGAAGGAGGGGGAGGAACUUGAAGAAAGAGAGCUGUGAGAUAAGACAUGGGUGGUUUUGGCUGGGUUUCAGAGAUAUUUUGAGAGGAAAGAGAUAGAAAAAGGAAAGGGUUUUGGCUGGUUUUUCUUUAUGAAAGGAGCUCGGUAGUCGCCAGAGCAGGACGGGUACUUUCAGGUAUCACCAUUUAUAGUUUUUUUUCUUCAUUUCCGUAUAUUCCCUCAUAUUUCAUAUUUCUCUUGUUUUACUCUCUCUGAGUUCAACUCUACUUGUUGAGCUACUGUGUUUUGAUGAUUAUCAGUUUAAUCUUCGAAGAGCUUGCUGUAUUUUAAUGUUUCACUCUAGCAAGCAUCUUCCAUUUCAACCCACUGAUUGUUAGAUUCAUGGAUGAGAUAGCAAAAUGGGUUUAGCAUAUUUGUUAAACGUUCCAUGCUCUGUUUCCCUUCUAUCUCUUUGCUUCUCCGUUUUCGCCAUGAAAGAAAUCGUCAGGCUUUAAGAUUGAAAAUCUAAAGAGAUCCUAGAUCUGACUGAUACUAUCCAAGGCAUUAAGAAAGCUUGAAGGAGCGACAGUCGCAAGCUUCGUCUCUGGCAAAGCCCACUGAAGAUGCAGAGAGAGAAUGCCAUGCAAAACAUGUACAAGUUCCUUUGAAAAUCACUCGUGCAUGGCGUCAACUCAUAGGAUAUUCUCAUGGAGACGCAACCCGCUUCCAUGCCUAGAUUGUUCUCGCACGCCACCUUGAUCAGAUAGGAAAUGGGCAUGCAUUCAUUCUCAACUGUUACUCCCUCGUGCUCACUCGUCACCUUUCUUUUCUUCACAAAACCACCACCCGCCAAUACCCAUUUCCCUCUCUAACCACUGCAUCCAUUUCAUGCCUGUAUGCACCUAAACCAUGCGUGCAUGGUCACCCCACCUCAUUCCUUCCUCAAUCCUUACAUAACCGUCACCAUACCCACCAUGCUCAUAUUCCCACUCAUUCCUCUCAUGCAUCCACUCGUCUCUCCUAAGUUUCUCCAUCCCAUUUUUACUACAUGCAGCUAGUAUCUUGGCCAUGCAUGCACCCUCCCCCCCCCUCCCACCUACCAUGCUCAUCUCUCCACCCUCCUUGACCACUCGGUCCACCACCCAAGCCUCCCAUUCCCAUCCCUCUCCCAUUGCUUUCUCUAUUUUUUCUAUCAAACAAUCCAAGCCCAUAUCCCUUAGAUUGAAAGAGAUAUGUUUGUUUCUUCAUCUUUGGUGUUGAUCUUUUUUCUUUUGUUGUAACUUUUUGUUUUUGAGGAAUGGAGAGAAUGAAGGAGUUUUAGUCGUCUCUUGCGUCCCUUCUGGGGGUACUGGCCUUCUGCCAGAGCAUCCUCCGCGCCGUGUUCCCGUCGAAGCUCCGAUUUGCAGUGUUGAAGCUUUUCAAACGCUUUUUCAACUGCUCCUCCUACUGCUACUUCGAUAUCACUGAAAUCGAUGGCGUCAACACCAACGAGCUCUAGUUUCUUUUCAUGUCAACAAGCUUGUGCAUAGUUCAAAGAAUUUAAAAUAGUACUUAGGCAGGCUUCCAGGGUUACGUGAUUUAUGGCCCUCACAACCAAUGUUGUAUACACCUUUCUUCCCAUGGUUACUCUUUUUGGUCAUCAUAAUCAUUAACAGAGAUCAAAUUCUUUGGAGCCAUGUGCAAAAAAACUAUUAAAUUGAGAUAUGGGAGACCUCAGCUCAUCUUACCCCUUGAAAUGUUAAAGAUUACCUAAACAUGUUUGAGAACUAAGAGAAGAACCAAAAACAUAAAUUUGCAAGAUGAAACUAAAAACUAAAAAAUAAGAUUAAUUGAAAAGACUGGAAAAUUCAUUAACUUGGAAAUUAAAGAAAGGUUACAAAGAAAAUAAAUGAUUACAACUAAGAACUAAAACUAAUGUUAAGUUACUCCCACUCCUAAGAGAAAGAAAGACUAUCUAACAUUUUUAUCUCUAUCAUCUACUUCUAUUUGUAUAUUCAUAGUCCUUCUUUUAAUCUCAAUCUCCCCACAUUCCAACUACUCCCAUGCCAACUUGUCUAUAUUUGCCCUUUGCCCUUUGCCCAUGUUGUGGAUUUAGUCUUAUGUUAGUGCAGUUAAUCAAUCAUCAUUCUUGAUGUGUUAGCUUGAAGUUGGUGGUUGCACCUCUUUUUCUAUGUAAUCAACAUGGGGUAUGUUUUGGUAGUACAACUGAAGAUUUUGAGGCAUGAAUGAUUGUGCUACUUUGGGAGGUGCAUUGCUUUGGCAUUUUGCUAGCUUAGGUGAAAGGUGCACAACUUCUUAGCUUAGCACAAUUAAGAAGUGUGCAAUUUGUGUUGCUUAAAGGGGAUGAGCAAUUUGGUCCAACACACAUGAAAGGUGGACAAAAGAGACUUUAAGCAUUAGUCUUCAGGAUGCAUACAAGAGGUGCGUUGUGUGGCUCUACACUGAAAAAGGAAUGCAAAAUUAAGUCUUACUCACCUUAAAGUACACAAUCUACGUUUGGUUUCUACAUGUGCACUUUUGUCCCUAAGAGUUCCCAAAAAAGCUCUACUACAUAAAAAAUAUCUUAAAGCUCAUUGAAUACUCACAAAAUGCAUGAAACACAAUUUUCUAAGGUACUAACAACAAGAUAAAAUAGAUUCUUUAAAGCAAUCAAAACAGUGAGUUUGAGUUCUCAUCAAUUACUUACAAAAAAUCAUGAUACACAUUGGUCAAUCAUCACUCUAGUCUCCUUAGGGGGAAUGACACAAGUGUCAGAUUCCUAGAAAAAAUCUGCCCAAGCCUUAGAUCUCUCCAAAUGAUGUAUACAUCUAUAAAUCCUAAGCACAGUAGAAACUAAUAUGUCUCUUAAAACUUAUUCUAAGGUGAGAAAUAACUAGAAAUCACACCUCAGAUUUAGAUGUUUCCAAAUCCAUUUCCAAUCUAUGAAAAAUAAUCUUGAAGGCCUAGAGCCACCUAAUAGCUCUUCCUUUGAUCAUGAUAAUGAAGAAGGAAGGACUUCUCUCUAAAAAGAUAAAGGAUAGGUUUUUUUCUCUCUUUAGAAGACAUCAAUGAAUUAGAGUCUUUAAACCCAAACUCUAAAAGGGUUUAUGUAGACCUUCUUAUAGGCUUACAUGACUUAAGUCAGAUUAACUCUAGCUCCAAGGAGCAUAUGUUAAAUUUCCACUAAAGAAAAUGUUACGGCCAUAAUCUUUUAAAUCACAUGUCUUUUGGAUCACGCAAAGGAACAUAUUACCUCAAUCCAUGAGAUAUCAUGGUGCCUCUAUUGAGAAUACUUAUUGUCAUCGGCCUUCAUCAAUAGUGACCCAAUCCACAACGAUAUGACUACUUUAAGGUCUCAUCCAUAGGUCAAAGUCUCCUGUUAACUUUGGCACAGGCUCAAUAUCCUCUCAAGGUUGAGAGUUCAUGCGUUAUAGUAGCUUAAUGAAUCAUAACAAUUGAUAGUCUUAGGUCAUGAUUCACGUAGGUCUUGUCUAGUCUGACAUAAUGGCCUAAACAAGUCAUGAUCCCUCCAAUUAGGAGGUAAUGCACUACAAUCUCAAAUGGAUUGCUCAAAUCCAUAAACAAACUAUGGACAACUCAUCAUUCUACAAGGAACUCAUGACUUGGGUCUUCUAUGUAAUUCGUAAUGCACCCAAGUCAUGUACAAUGCAGGUGAUGUGGGGCAUGUAUGCUCAAAGAGUCCAAUCAAUGCAUAAUGGGAUAAUAAAAUAAAAAACUAGAAACAUAAAUAAAUAAAUUUAUAAAUGAAUUUUUAUCUAUUACAUCACGUCAUGCUUUCUAGGGCACAAUACCAAUAGUUAUAACCACUCAAUAGCCUUACAUCAUGACUCAACAUAGGUUAUGUCAAAUGUGUAAUAGUACACACUAGUGCACUCACCAUGGGAGCCUCAUCCCGAUGAUCAAAAUAAUUUAUCCCUAAAAUUAGGAGGUAGUGCAUUAUCAUCUCUAUCAGAUUGACUAAACUCAUGAACCGACUAUGAACUAUUUUUCAUCUUGCAAGGAACCCAUGACUCAUAUCAUCCAUGCAACUCUUGAUGCAUCCAAGUCAUGUACAAGAUAAAUGAUAUGAGUAUGAAUGCUCAAAUCAAUAUCAAUGCAUACAAUAAAUAGAUAAAGUGGAAGCUCAAGUCUAACUUUGUUAUAUCAUGUCUUACUUUUAAAGACUUUAUCCCAACAUAUAUGACAAGUCAGGUCUAGUGUGGGUUAGAUAGAUCAAUUUUCCCACUAGUCUCUAUUAUCUCUAUUUGUUAAUUGGAAUUUGAUGAGAAUAGAUGGACAUAUCAUGAUUUAUCUCAAUGGAAAUAUCUAUAGGUUUGCAAUUGAAGUUACCAGUUUCAACCAAGAGAUCUAAUGUAUGCUUUUGUUAUGAAAAGAAAAGUCCUUACUUCGACUCAAUGCCUAAGAAGUAUUUUAGAGCGCUGAAGUCCUUCAUUUCAAAUUCCUUAGCCAACUAGCUCUGAAGCUUCACUAUUUUUCUCGAGUUACUACUUGUAACAACCAUGUCAUCAACAUAAACAAUAAGCAUAAUAAUGUCAUCACCAUUUCUCUUAUUAUUUAGAGUGUGAUCUACCAUAAGUUGUUCAAAACCAUACUCUUUUUCAUCGAGUAGCUCAACUUUCCAAACCAUGCCCUUAGCGAUUCCUUUAACUCGUAUAGAGUCUUUUUUAGUUUACAUACCUUGCCUCUUUUUGGUGUAAACCCUGGAGGGGGAUUCAUGUAUGCCUUCUCUAACAUAUCACCAUGGAGAAAGGCAUUUUUCACAUCAAACUAUUGUGAUGGCCAAUUCAAAUCGACCAUAUGAGAGAGUAUGACUCUAACAGUGUCCAUCUUAGUCAUAGGGGCAAAGUCUCUUGAUAAUUAAUUCCAUAAAUUUGAGUAUAUCCCUUUGCAACCAAUCAAGCAUUGUACUUGUCAAUUGUCUCAUCUAACUUGUACUUUACUGAAAACACUCAUUUACUUCCCACUAUCUUCUUUUCCUAAGGGAGCUCAACCAUCUCCCAAUUAGAAUUCUUUUAGAGAGCCUUCAUAUCUUCUACCAUAGCAAACUUCUAUUUAGGAUCUUCAAAGGUCCCCUAAAAAUGACUAGAAAUAGACACAAAAGACAACUGAAGAGCAAAAGCAAGGUGAGUCUUAGAUAGACGACAAUAAGCGAUGAAAUUAGAAAUAAGAUAGACAACAUUAAAUGAUGAUUUUAAAAAACCCAAACUUUCAGGUUCUUUACCAUCAUGAAGAGUGAUUCGUGCCCACUUGGUGUCUCAGCUAAUUCAUGUCCAGCUGGUGUCCCUUGAUUUUGGUCCUCAGGGAGUAAUCAACAAAAUUUAUAACCUAUUACACCAUGUACUAAGGUAGCAAAGACAAAGCUACUAUAGCAUAGUGGCUCUAGGAUCGUUCAUUGGGAUGGGUUUUCACUUCACAAUUGAUAUUAAUUCAAAGUUGAAUUGGUGUCUUUUCAUUUCAAGGUUAGCUUUAAAAGAAAACAUAAUCUGUGGUGGAAAAGGUUGGUUUUAAGCUAACCAAAAAUAAUAACUGAUUUUAAUUACAAAGAAAAGUGUUUCUUGGAGUUUCAGAUCACUAGACUCAGAUUCCUUGUACAAAAAGAGAGUUUCGGUCACUUGUUUAUUUUCCUCGCAUUGGGGAUUUAACAUAUAGUUAUUUCCCGAACCGGUGUUGUACAGAUGCUUCCCAUUAAUGGGUUUAAACACUAAAUCUCUCUCACUGAUGCACCUUGCAAUGGCUCAUACCUCUCACCUAGCACUUGCCAUUCAAGGUGAUCUUUAACCUUGGAUUACCCGUCAAAAGCUCGCAAGAGAUAACUAAUGGAUGUCUCCUUGGAGUCCAAAAGCUUACCAAGUAUUGUCUAUUCUAGAAAAUCCUACCUUCAAACCACCUCCCAAAGGCUCGCAAGAGAUAAACUAGUGCAUCUCAAUGGAUGGAGAUCACUUGCCUUAUCAAGUGUUAGCCCAGGUGAUUUAAAGGCAUUUUAAGUUAACUAAAAAGAUAAAAACCAUUAACGGGUCACACUUUCUCUUCAUUAAAAACUAAAACAACAAAACUUCCAAUUUAUGCAUUUGGAAACUUACCCAGCUUUCCUCACUCCAAGAAACGAAGAGCCUAGCCUCUCAUCCUCUAAGGAAAAAUCCUCAGAGUUUGAUUGGCUAGAAAGUAAAAUAACGAGAAAACAAAAAUAUAUGAAAAAGUAGAGCAAGUGCUCUGUAUUUUACUUCCUUCCCAAAACUGUAAAAAGGAUCGAUCGAUAUAUGAUCGAUAUAUGUUCGAUAUUACAAACUAUAUAUAAGAGGUUAUUCACCCUUUUUCCAAACUUAAUAACUAAGGAAUCCUAUAAUUGGUGGGUUACAAGGAGAGUUUGGGGAUUUAGACAACAAAUAUCUAAAGCAAAAUAUCUCCAAAUAUCCCAAAAUGUCGAUCGCAAAUAUCGGGAAGCUUCAGGAGAACACCGCAACACUGUGCAGAAAAAUAUCUCAAAAUGUCGAUCAGACAUAUCAGGAAGCUUCAGGAGAACACCGUGGCACUGUGCAAAAUGGCUGCGAAACUCUCCGGAUAAGCGCUAUCAGAGGAUCCGGAUACGUCUGACCGAGGAAGUUGAAACGCCCUCCUCUUCCAUCCGGCGUCAGGCGCCGGAUGUGAAAUAUCCGGAUGGAAUGUGCCGGAUGUGAAACAUCCAAGUGGAAUGGCGGCGGAGCAGAAUUCCGGAUGUGAGACAUCCGGGUGGAAUGUUGGCAGAGCAGAAUUCCGGAUGUAAGACAUCCGGGUGGAAUGUCGGCGGAGCAGAAUUCCGGAUGUAAGACAUCCGGGUAGAAUGUCGGUGGAGCAACUCCAUCCGGAUUCUCUAAGAGGAUAUGUGGCGCGCUCCCCUAUCUGGACUCCCUCUUGGAGAAGCACACGACACUCGCGAUCAUUACACCCGGACGAUAGCAUAUCCUAUCCGGACGAUAGCAUAUCCUAUCCGGAUAUGUUGUCCGGAUGAAAAAGACAACCUGCCACAGCCUAUGUUCCGCCGCCCUCCGAUGGUGUGUCCGAACGCCCUGUGCCUUGCCAUGGAUUCCAAAGAACUCUCCUCAAUCUUGGAUUGCUUUGGUGAUCAAAAAGCUAUCAAAACACCAAAACUUAACACAAUUUGAUUAGAAUUGAUUGCAAGGGUCCUUAAUAUUUUAAUUGGGUUAAAAGGUGACAACUACUACUCAAAAGUGUUUAAAAGAGUUAAUUACAAGCAACGAAAUAACACUUUUUGAGUAGUAAUCACUCCCCCUAACCGACAAAUUGCUAGUCCCUUAGCAAUGGAGGAGAGAAAAAUAAAAAUAAAUAGUACUAUAAUUUACAACAUCAUGCUGAUCAAAAAACAAUUUUCAAGUGGCAUGAUGAUCUAACUCUCACAUGGAACAUUAAAGAAAUAAAACUCAAAGUUUCAACAAGAGUUAUCAAAUAACUUAUCUAAUCACAAUUCUUAAAGAGAAGGUAUUAUGCAAAUUUAAGCUUUAAAAGAGUUUCCACUCCCAAAGGGUCAAACCUUACUCUUCCACAAAAAUCUAAGUGUUAUUUAUUAGCUUCCGAAUAUAGUAUGUUGAACUAAUCUCUCUCCCCAACCUAGUUCUUUUUCAACGCUUAGCAAACUGGUCAACCUCCAAUAGGCUAAGAACGCACCUCUUUUUUCAUAAUUUUUUUUCAUUGUAGGAGUACAAGGCUUAAAGGUAUUCUUUUCUAAAUUGUCCAUGUAACGGGGGUCCAUCGAUGACUCCCAACCAAUUAAGGUUUAGGGCAUCAAGUUUUAAGGAUCUUUCAACCACUAACUCCUCGGAUUUUACCCCGGACUUUUGAGAAUGAAUUUUAAUACCCAAGCACCUACAGUAUGUUAAACUCCACCUAUCCACCCUUGUAACGAGCAUUGAGGUCGGUGAUUCCCAACCAAUGAAGGCUUAGGGCACCAGGUUUUAAAGAUUUUCACCAUAUACCCCUCAGACCUUGCUCAGGUUUCAAGGCAAGCAAACAUUUUUUCUUUCUUUCUUUUUUUCAAAGGCUCAUUGGCCUUUUACAAGGUGUCCCAACACUAUUAAAUGAGGUCAAAGGUACCAAGUCUAAAUUUUCCUAAGUCAAGAGGGAAAUAGUUUUUCAUCUUAUAAUCGGAACCUAUUGUGCACAAUGUGUGGAUAGCUUAAAGUGGAAGAACUGAGGUUGAAUUCACUAGAAGUUUCAACAAUUCAUCAACUUUAGUAAGCAUAAUACAAACUCUAAGUCAAGUAAAAAGACAAAAAUUCAAUUUCUCCCUUUUCAUUUUGAAAAUUUUUCCUUAAUAACCAUGGAGAGUAGAAUAAAAAACUUUAAAAAAUUUAAAAAUUAAGCAAAAAACAACUAAAUUACCAAAAUAACUUAGCAUUAUUAACAAAACUUCCUUCCUCAACUCUCCCCCUAACCAAGCUAAACAUUGUCCUCAAUGUGACAAAAGCGAUUGAAAAAUAGGGAGGAAGUGGUACCUCCUAAAUGACAUGGAGUUUGAGUCAUAUAGGAGAAACCACAUGUUUCAAAAAAAAACAUAAGAGUUAGUGCGUAGAGGAAAUAGAUAAAUGCCAAGUUUAAACAAAAAAUGAUGUCUAUGUAUGAUGUAUCUUCAGUAAUACAUCCAAUCCCAGAAUAUAAGACAUCAAAACAUGGAAUUAUCUAUACUAAUAUAAUAAGUAAAUACAAAAAAGUAAAGAGAUUAUCAAGUAAUGGUAGAGUCCUGUGGAGCUGAUGCAUCUGUGGUGGCUUCUUAAGUGGGUUGGAUCAGGACUUUGGCCUCUGUUCUGGUAGUCUCCUUAGGUGGCAUAGUCUCCUCAGUUGGAGCUCUCAGCUGGAGCUAUGGGCUCUGAUGGUUUUAGGAGGUUAGGAAUGGAGUGAGAGGCUUGGUGUGUGUGAUCCCAGGGUGCGCGGGGCUCUCCUCUUCAGAUGCAUGGUUUGCAAUUCCUCUUGAUUUUGAUCAUCCAAAAACCUAUGUUACAUCAAAACAAAUUAAACUUAAAGCAUUGAAAUCAAAAUUAAAACAAGUAAUAAAAUAAAACAAUAAGAUAUGGACUAGCUAGUCUUUUAGAAAGACUAAGUCCAUCAAAAAAUUUGAUCCUGAUUUAGCUUGCCCAGAUCCCAUAUGAAGUUUGCAUCCCUCACUUGAGACUUUCUCUGUAUGAUUUUGUCAUACAAAGCAUGGGGGAAAAGUGGAUGCAUGUGUUUCUUCAUCAUUUCUUCCUUGAUGACUAUCCUCUAUGGUUCUUCAUCUAUAUAGUCAUCUUUUUCUAUCAUUUUCCCCUUUUUCUUUCCUUUGAUUUCCUCCCUCUUUUCUUUCUCUGUUUCACUCUCUACCUCAUGCUCUAGCUUGCAUGUGGGCAGAUCAACCUCUUUAUCUCUCUCCUUAGCCUCCAUUUCAUGGAUACCCUUUUGAUUUUGAUGAGGUUGAGAAGGGUAGUUUUCUUUCUCUUGCACUGUGUUGAGGUUGACAAACCUUGAGAUUGAAUAUUGGAGAUUAUCUAUCUUCUGAGAUAGAUCAUUUUGCACUUCAUCCAUCCUGUCGAUUCUUUGACUGAGUUGAGCAUUGAUGGCUUUUUGAGCUCCAACAAAGUCUCCCACGACCUUGCUAAGAUUCACCAUAACUUUUUCAAGGUUUGAGGCUUGCUGUGGUGCUUGAGCAGGUUGCUGGUACUAAGGUGGCUGUGGUUUCCAAGAGAAUUUUGGAUGGUCCCUCCAAUUGGAAUUGUAGGUGUUGCAAUCACCAAACAUUUCCCUCACGACUGGAAUGGUAGGACACUCUUCCACCAAGUGCUCAUAAGAUAGACAAAUGGCACAAGGCAUAGCUUGCAAUGGUGUUUGAGAGAUGGUUUGCACUUCUUGCAUUUCUAGCUCUUCCAAUCUCCUUUCCAUAGUUGCAAUCUUUACCUUCAUGUCUAUGCCGUCAUUCAAAAUAUUCAUCUCACCCUUAGCAUUAGGUUGAGACAUCAUUCUUCCCAUAUCUCUAGCAUUUGGUUCAUCCCAUCCUCUUGAAACUUCAGCCACAUAACUCAUGAAGUUCAUGGCUUCCUCUACUAUCUCGUAUUCAAUAUGGCAUGCACAACUAGCAAUUUGUGAAUUAAAAACAAAGAAAACAAAAGAAAAUAAAAUAAACAAAAAUUCUAGAAAGGAAAAAAAAAUAUUAUUAAGAUUAACUAAAAACUAAAUAAAAGCUAUACUAAAAUAUGAACAAAGAAAAAAAAACAAAAAAAAAGAGUUAGUAAAAGGAAAAGAAAAGUCACCAAACUUGUGAUGAAGAUCACAAGUACUCUGAAAAGGUGAUAUCACUGUAAAGUGGCACCAUCCCCGGCAACGGCGCCAUUUGAUUCGUGCCCACUUGGUGUCUCAACUGAUUCAUGUCCAGCUGGUGUCCCUUGAUUUUGGUCCUCAGGGAGUAAUCAACAAAAUUUAUAACCUAUUACACCAUGUACUAGGGUAGCAAAGUCAAAGCUACUAUAGCAUAGUGGCUCUAGGAUCGUUCACUGGGAUGGGUUUUCACUUCACAAUUGAUAUUAAUUCAAAGUUGAAUUGGUGCCUUUUCAUUUCAAGGUUAGCUUUAAAAGAAAACAUAAUCUGUGGUGGAAAAGGUUGGUUUUAAGCUAACCAAAAAUAAUAACUGAUUUUAAUUACAAAGAAAAGUGCUUCUUGGAGUUUCAGAUCACUAGGCUCAGAUUCCUUGUACAAAAAGGGAGUUCCGGUCACUUGUUUAUUUUCCUCGCAUUGGGGAUUUAACAUAUAGUUAUUUCCCGAACCGGUGUUGUAUAGAUGCUUCUCAUUAAUGGGUUCAAACACUAAAUCUCUCUCACUGAUGCACCUUGCAAUGGCUCAUACCUCUCACCUAGCACUUGCCAUUCAAGGUGAUCUUUAACCUUGGAUUACCCGUCAAAAGCUCGCAAGAGAUAACUAAUGGAUGUCUCCUUGGAGUCCAAAAGCUUACCAAGUGUUGGCUAUUCUAGAAAAUCCUACUUUCAAACCACCUCCCAAAGGCUCGUAAGAGAUAAACUAGUGCAUCUCAAUGGAUGGAGAUCACUUUCCUUAUCAAGUGUUGGCCCAGGUGAUUUAAAGGCGUUUUAAGUUAACUAAAAAGAUAAAAACCAUUAACGGGUCACACUUUCUCUUCAUUAAAAACUAAAACAACAAAACUUCCAAUUUAUGCAUUUGGAAACUUACCCAGCUUUCCUCAUUCCAAGAGACGAAGAGCCUAGCCUCUCAUCCUCUGAGAAAAAAUCCUCAGAGUUUGAUUGGCUAGAAAGUAAAAUAACGAGAAAACAAAAAUAUAUGAAAAGCAGAGCAAAUGCUCUGUAUUUUACUUCCUUCCCAAAACUGUACAAAGGAUCGAUCGAUAUAUGAUCGAUAUAUGUUCGAUAUUACAAACUAUAUAUAAGAGGUUAUUCACCCUUUUUCCAAACUUAAUAACUAAGGAAUCCUAUAAUUGGUGGGUUACAAGGAGAGUUUGGGGAUUUAGACAACAAAUAUCUAAAGCAAAAUAUCUCAAAAUAUCCCAAAAUGUCGGUCGCAAAUAUCGGGAAGCUUCAGGAGAACACCGCAGCACUGUGCAGAAAAAUAUCUCAAAAUGUCAGUCGGACAUAUCGGGAAGCUUCAGGAGAACACCGCGACACUGUGCAAAAUGGCUGCGAAACUCUCCGGAUAAGCGCUAUCAAAGGAUCUGGAUACGUCUGACCGGGGAAGUUGAAACGCCCUCCUCUCCCAUCCGGCGUCAGGCGUCGGAUGUGAAAUAUCCGGAUGGAAUGUGCCGGAUGUGAAACAUCCGAGUGGAAUGGCGGCGGAGCAGAAUUCCGGAUGUGAGACAUCCGGGUGGAAUGUCGGCGGAGCAGAAUUCCGGAUGUAAGACAUCCGGGUGGAAUGUCGGCGGAGCAGAAUUCCGGAUGUAAGACAUCCGGGUAGAAUGUCGGCGAAGCAACUCCAUCCGGAUUCUCUAAGAGGAUAUGUGGCACGCUCCCCUAUCCGGACUCUCUCUGGGAGAAGCACACGGCACUCGCGAUCAUUACACCCGGACGAUAGCAUAUCCUAUCCGGAUAUGUUGUUCGGAUGAAAAAGACAGCCUGCCACAGCCUACGUUCCGCCGUCCUCUGAUGGUGUGUCCGGACGCCCUGUGCCUUGCCAUGGAUUCCAAAGAACUCUCCUCAAUCUUGGAUUGCUUUGGUGAUCAAAAAGCUAUCAAAACACCAAAACUUAACACAAUUUGAUUAGAAUUGAUUGCAAGGGUCCUUAAUAUGUUAAUUGGGUUAAAAGGUGACAACUACUACUCAAAAGUGUUUAAAAGAGUUAAUUACAAGCUAUGAAAUAGCACUUUUUUAGUAAUCAAAGAGGAUAUCUCAUACCUUGAUCACCAAUUUGUGGAUUCAAGGUAGAAGUUUCAGAAGUUACAAGUGAAGGAACAUGUACCUUAGGAUUAGUCUCAAUGGAAAAGUCAUUUAAUGGUAUGGUAGUAUCAUUAAUAGGAGUAUUGAAACCUUGAAAAGGUAUGACAUUAGCAUUUUUGUUCUUUCUUAUAUAACCUUAUUAGAAUAAUUUGGUUGGUCUUUCACACUUCCUUUCCUCAUAUUCAAACUCAGUUGUCAGAGGGUUGGGAGCAUCUAAAGACUCCCCCUUAUGCAAAUCAGUUGAAUCCUUACUAUUAAUCUCCCCUUAAAGAGGAACUAGAAACACAUUCCCACAAAAAUAAUACUCCAGUUUGCAGAAGUUGACAUCCAUGGAGACAUAGUAUUUUCUUGUAGGAUGAUGAAAACAUUUAUAGCCCUUUUAAGAACUAGAGUAACCAAGAAAGACACAUUUAAGAGCACGAGGAUCAAGCUUAUCCCUUUGAUGAGAGUGUAUACAAGCAUAACAUACAUAUAAAAAACUUUAAGACAAAGAUUCAAAACAGAAAGAAUAGGGUGAAAUUUUGAUAACAUUCACAAAGGACUUUGAUAAUCAAUGACAUGAGCAAGCAUUUGAUUGAGGAGAAAUACAACACUCUUGAUAACCUUAGCCUAGAAACAUUUUGGGACACGCAUAGUAAAGCAUAAAGCUUGGGCCACCUCUAGAAUGCGUUGAUUUUUACGCUCUACUAUGUCAUUCUAUUAUGGUGUGUAUGUACACAUUGUCUAGUGGAGAUUCCAUUUUCUUUGAAUAAAUCAAUAAGGGAUUGAAUUAAAAACUCACAACCAUUGUCAAAGUGAAAGACCAUAACCUAAGUAUUAAAUUGUGUAGCAAACAUUUUGGAAAAUUGAGGAAUAACAUGUAGAACAUCAUUCUUAGACUUAAGCAAAUAUACCCAGCUCAAUCUAGUACAGUCAUCAAUAAAAGACACAAAGUAUAUAUGAAUAGAAACAGAAGAAGUAGAAAAUUACCUUACACAUUUGUAAAAACACAAGUAAAAGGAAUUGGACUUUUUUGAGACUUAUUUUGAAAUAUACACAAUGAUUUUUAGCAUAAAUGCAUUGUUCACACCUUAAAAUAGAAACUAAAAUAUUCCAAAACAACUAAGGAAAUAAACAUUCCAAAUAAGAAAAUGAUGGGUGGUCUAAUCAGCAAUGCCAUUAAAAAAAUCUUUUCUCUAUCAAACAUCUCUUUUGCUACUUGAAAAACACGAUUAGAUUCAAAUUGUAUCUUGCCCCCUAUAAGUUGUAAAGACCUCCCAUUUCCUUACCAAUUCCAAUCGUUAUCUUCAUAAGAUUGUCCUAAAACACACAAUGAGUAGAAUGAAAGCUUACAAAAUAAUUAAGAUGUUUGGAAAUCUUGCCAAUGGAAAGAAGACUAUUAAAAAGAUUAGAUGCAAGUAAGACAGAGGACAUGGAGAGUAUGGGAGAAAGUGAGACAUUCCUGGCUCCUGAAAUUAGCAUAAAAGUCUCAUUAGCAACUUGAACAAACUUAAUAGGUGAGAGCAUUAAAGAGUCAAGAAAUGAAGAAUUACUAGUCAUAUGAUCAAUGGCCCCUAAAUCAAUAUCCAAUUGUUAAAGGUAACAAAAAUAAAGGCCAAUCCAAAAUUACCUUCUUGAGAAGACAAUCAAGAAACCUCACAAGCAGAAGUUGGAGGAGGAGUGUCGAUAAGAGAAACCUAAGCAGAUUUCUUGUUCUUUCUUUAAGCUUGCUUAAGCUUGUAAUACUUUGGAUAAUUAUGCUUCUUCCAAAAACAUUUACCAUAUGUUUAGUGCUAUUUGCAAUUGUUAGAAAAAUUAGGCUAAUCCGACCUAUGAUAAUCACCCUAGAGGGGGAGUGAAUAGGGUGAUGAUCUCUUUUUGUAAAUUUAAAUUAUGUGAAUACAAGAGACAAUUAUAUGCAAGUAUAUAAUAAAACAAUAUAAAGACAAUUGCAUAUAAAUUAAAAGAGUAAGGAAGAGAGAAUGCAAACACAAGAUUUUAUAGUGGUUCGGCGCAAUCCGACCUACAUCCACUCUCCUCAAGCUUUAAUCUCAAGCUUGAAGUUCCACUAAUUCAAGGCUUUGAAACCAAGCCUUCAAUCAAUACAAUUGGAUUAUGGUUCCAAUCCACCUUCUUGGACUUUUGGCUCCAAGCACCCUUUAUAGUUCUCAAAAGAUACCCCAAUCUUGAAAAUCCCUAAGUAAUACCUCACACUUAGAUUCUUCCUCUCAAAGAUAUACAAAUAAUUUCACAAAAUCCUAGUACAAAACUUUAGGCUCAAAUGAUACAAGAAAACUAUGAUUGAAUGGUGCACUAAAGAUAUGCAAGUUUUAGAACAAUGGUGCACUCAAAAACACUCUUCUAAGGCUCAAAUAUAUUCAAGAAAUGUUUGGAAAGGUUAACCUCAUGAAACAAUGAAUAUUGGAGCCUUUUUAUAGAAGAAAACGACCAAACUAGCCGUUGGGGGUUGGACCGGUCGAGUUGGGGGUCAACUAGUUAACUGGCUAUUAGCAUUUAAUAUUUGGCAGGUGACUGUUAGACCUCAACCGCCCCUUGAGCAGACCUUAACCGGUUGAGGUGGGGGUCAACUACCUCCUCAUUCGGUUGAACAACCGUUCUAGAAAAGAGAUAAGGUUUUUUUGCACCACUCGACCAAUUGAGCUAGGGGUCGAUCGGUUACUAUUCAACCUUGCUCAGUUGAACUAGGGGUCGACCUGCUUCUAGAUCGGUUCAACCUGUUGAGCCGUUUUUGGGUCAACAGCCAACUUUUUUAACUUAAAACCUUUUAAACAAGUUUGAAAAACAUUUAACACAAGGUUUUAGUUGAAAACAUGAAAUCAUCCAAUUUUAAAUAUUUAAAACAAAAUAACUCUUAGAUGAUUUUGGUGCAUAAGUAAAGAAUGUAAUGCAUGAAAAUCCUAGUGCACUAACAACCUUACAAAGAGAUCUUAUGAAGCUUGGGUCUUGAAAAACACUUCUCUUUGAGGUGGUCUUCUUCUUCAUGAUUUCUCCUUGACUUAAUUUGUCUUUGUGAUUGCCACUUUGGAAAUCGUCUUGCCUAAUCUUACUUGAAAUAUAAUCAUUAAUUCUAAACCUUGUUUUGUUAUCAUCAAAACCGAGAUUAACCAAACCUUGGUUUCAUAGCAAUGAGUUUAGAAGCAAGAAGAAGAGUUGGUAGAAAGAGUUAAAUAUAUUGGUCAAGUGUUAUUCUUAUGGACAGCCAUUGUAGAAGCCUUAGAGUGAUCUUAUGUUCCCAUGGUGACCUACCUCCGCACUUCACGAUAGACUAGUGAAUAGGCUUUCUCUAGAUUUAGUAAAGAAGAGUUGACUAAAACAUAACUGCUAACUUGAUUCAAAUUGUGAUCAAGACCUAUAAGAAAUAUAUAAACCCAAUCCUCAGCAAUAUGCUUCAUUUGUUUCUCAAUAUCAGUUACACACAUCAUAUCAUUGGGUCUUCGAUAAUCAAGUUCUAUGAAUAUUGAGUUUAACUCAUUGUAGUAUUCUACAAAGGGGUGACCACCUUGGUGUGAUUGAAAAGAUAUUUUCAUCAGUUCAUAUACUCGAGAAGAAUUCAAAGACAUCAAGAUAACUUCUCUUGACUGCGUCUCAAACCUCCUUAGCCAUUCCACACUACACAAAGUGUGAUAUCAACUUGUUAGUCAUGGAAUUGAUGGGCCAAGACUUAACUAGAGCAUUUUUAGCCUCCCAUUCAUCAUAGUUUGGGUCAUCCUCUGCAAGUGUAAUCUUCCUUCCUAUGAUAUAACCCUUCUUCUUUCUACUAGUAAUAUGUAUCUCUAAAAUUUGAAACCAAACAAGAUAAUUAGAACCAUCCAACUUAAUAGAAAUUGUUGGAGAGGUAGUCUCAUAAAUGGUCACCAUGGAUGACCUUUUGUUGUCAAAAACACUCAAAUUUGCUUUUGUAAACAUGCAUGAUAUGGUAACGAAGAGGGUGAAAAAAAUUAUGGAAGAAGAGUCGACUAGGCAAUAGCAUAAAUUCCCUACUCCAGCUUUGAUACCAACUUGAUAAAUUGUUGAAUACUCUUUCGAUAUAACUCAAGGGUAUUUAUACAAGAUGCACAAGAUUAUUUUAGUAUUGUCAACUAUUUAGAAUAAUAAACAACUAUACAAAAAAGAUACAAUUGUAUAAUAUACAUUAACUCAAUUGUAUAAUAUACGCUAACUCACAGCUAUAUAUGCUAACUCAAUCUCACCACUUUUUUUUCUAAUAUUUGUAAGUUAAUAAUAAGAAAAAAGAUUAUUCAAAAGGUAAAAUCAUCAUCUCAUAAGUUGAGUCCUCCCUUGACAUUUUGGAUAUUUUCCCUUUCUUUUUCAUUUCUUUCUUUCAAAAACUACUACUUUUCCUAAUCCAUGACCUCUCCAAGCCAUUGUCCCCAUUAACAUUGUCUCACCAAUCGCCACAGAAAAUCAUUAUUUUUACCUCACAUUCUCUCUGAUCUCUGCAUAACCCUCUUAUCUUCUACACAUAAACCCGUCAAAACCCCAUUUGUUCUUCUCUAAUAUCCUAAGAUGCACCUACACAACUCCUAGGUAUAAUUAUAAUCUAAAAUUUAAAACAAAUCUUGAAAGGAUUGGCCAACGAAAGAAGUAAAAAUUGUAUUUUGAAGAUGGAAAGGGAAGUCACUCUCACUAUUUGCCUUUUCUAGUUUCCUUCUCUUUGCCUUCCAUUAAAGCUAAAAAGAAGGAAGUUGGACCAACCACACCCUCCUUUACAUAUCAAUUCAUCCAUUUUACCAUUCUAUUAAUUGGAUAAUAAGUUAGUAGUUCUAGCAUAGUGUCACAUUGUCCUUAAAUGACCCCUUACGUGAGUACAUAUAGUUCAAUAGAACUUUCUAGUCAUAAAGGUAAAUUGCUUAUAUCCUCAAUAAACUCAGCAACCUUCAAUGGUUUAGUGAGGCUCCUCUAAAGGUAGGUGAAAGUGUUAUGAACCCUCAUUUGGCCAGGCGCUAAGCACUAGGACCAAUGAAUCCUUGUAAAGUGGUCUUAUAUGACAAAAACUCAACUUAUUACUUCUUAUUCAUCUCUAACUUUUGCAACUUUACAUGUCUUAAGUUAUUCAAGUACUGUAUAGGUUGAUUCAGAAACAUUUAAUGUCAACUCUCAUCAAAAUGGUACACACAACAAGUUAAGUCAUAAGAUGAAAAAUAUCAAUUUUUACAAAUAUACCAAUAGAAUGAUUUUACAAAUAUAUUGGAAAAUAUCAACAAAAAUUUUGACAAAAAAUAUCGAUAUAACCAAAUUUGAUCAAAACUCAUAAAAACAUUUAGGAAAACUUCAAAAUGAUAAAGAAACAAUAAUACAUAUAUUGAAAUCGCUUUGUUGAAUAAAUUAAUACAUUUAUAAUAUAAGUUGUGAUAUUCAACAACAAUAUCAUGUGUAUUGAUAAGAAAUAUGAAUUUUAUAAAUAUACACUUAAUAUUAAUUUACAUUAAGUAUUUAAUUUAAUUAAAUGUCAUGUCAAUUAUUUAUAAAUAUUACACUAUAGUGGUUUUUUUUAGUACUAAAAGGAAUAUCAAUGUAAUUCCAUAACACUAUUGAAUGAAGGAAUCUUAUCUCGAUGGAGACAAUAAUAUAUAUAUUAAAAUUGUUUUAUUAAAGAAAUUAAUAUAUAAAUGAUAUAAUUAGUGGCAUUCGUCAAUAAUACCUAAAAUUUGAAAAUACAUUUAAUACUAAAAUGAUAAUAUAUCUACUUUACAAAUAUAUGUGAUUAUUUUUCUAUUUCAAAAUAUUUAUAAUAUUGUUUACAUAUUUAUAUAUUUGUGCAUUUAACUCAUGAUUUUUGGAUUUUUAAUUGUAAAUUAAAUGGAAUUUGAAAAUAAGAUAAUUAAAUUAAUUAAUUUAUUAAAAAUUUAUUUUUCAUCAAUGCGUACAAAAUUUACGUGUCAAUAUACCAUAGUAUAUAAUAUGUAGGGUAGGAAAUUUAACAUGGGCAUGGUUGCCCAAGUGGAUGGAAGCUGGCUUUUCACCGGGAAGAACAAGGUUGAAUCAGAAAAAAAAAUCCGAUAAAUCAGGAAAAAAAAAUCCAAAAAUGACAGGAAAUUUCAACCAUUCGAUACAUCCCAUAAUAUUUUAUACAGGGGUCUACCAAAACCCGAAAUAUCGAUAAUAUUUCGCCAUGUUUUGAUGGCAUUUUUUCAUUGGUCACAGACGAAAAUUUUCUAUAUAUCUACCUGUAAACCCCCUGUUUUGAACCAAGUGUAUUGGUUCAAGUGAUAUGAUUUUUAUUAUUAUUGCCUUCUUUUAUUAUAGAUAUAAGUUGAAGCAAGGUGGCAUUUCAAGGAGGAUCCCAGAGUGGGAUUUAGUGAGGAGGGGGGACCUCCCUUUCGGCAUGAAAGCAGCUACGAGAGAUGGGAUGUGCAGCAAGUCAAGAUGGCAGGGGCCAUGCUGGUGAUUGGAGGGCCAUGCUGCUGAUGCGAGGAACAGUAGGGCAAGUAGAGACUUGCCAAAGAAGAUAGGAACAGGGUAAGGAGGAAGGGGGGAGGAGACCAGUUGAAAGAGGAAGCUUGGGGGGAAAAAAGCAGGGUAGCGGACGGAUUUUCUGGAGAGAAGCUUGGAGUCCUGCUGGUCUUGCUGGAAAAGACUUCCUCAGGUAUGAAUGCAACUGGUUAUGGUUUGAUUCGGAUUCUUGCUAUCCCAUGAAUGCAACAGGCUAUGGUUUAUUUCGGAUUCUUGCUAUCCCUCUGCAUUUUCUUAUUGAUAUUUUGGAUAUUUGUUGUUUUGUUUGGAGUGGAUAAUGAAGGCCACUUGUUGCUUAUUGAGAUAUAACCGUGCAUUCAUGUUUGGCAUUGUUAGUCUGAGCAUGUCUAUCUCUGUUGCGAAAUGCCCCAAAAAUCAUGCCAAUAUUUGCAUUUGAUAUUAUUCUUCACCUAGUCAGAGGGCUCACGGAUGACCCACGAAUGAAGUCUCAUUUGAGGAUAUUUUCAUCUCUUAUUUUUCAUGCUCUGUUUCCAUGAUUUCUUCUUUGUUGUGGCUAUUCCUUGUUCUUGGACCAUGUUCAGUGCAUGAACUGUGAGAGAGGAAAUCUGGGUUUGACUGCGAACUUUUGCAAGGGUAUAUGUUCACAAGGUUUAGAUGACAUGGAAGAACAGAACUGAAUAGAAAAGACUUCAAAUGAUUCAACACUCCAGCUUCGUUAGCGUUAUUCUUUUUUUUGGCAGCCAAUAUGGUGAGAAUAGAUCAUGGUUUGAAGAAACGUUCAAUGGGUUUCCUCACUAAACGGCAUCAUUACAGAGCACUGAUUUUCCCAUUGGCAUGAAUAGCAGCACCUAGACACCAACUGGACAUCUUGUAUUUUCAUCCCUCUUAGUCGCCCUGAAUCCUACCGACCCAUUAUAACCUCUUCAUGAACCCGAGGCAAUAACAGUGAAAAUACAUUGAGGUGUCAUGAAAUAUCUAGAGAGCUAUUAUGGAGAAUAAGGACCUUUGUGGCAGACAUUUGUAUCAUCUUUAUGAGUGUAUGAACCGCUAUCAGUUGGAGGUGCAGAUGACCCUCAUGAGGGAAGAUAUGACUUUGAUGGUGCAGAAGAAAAAAAAAGGCCUUGAAUCCUUUAUAAUCCAAUUAUUUGCGUUGCUGUUGACCAUUGUGGGUGGCAGAAGAUUGGCAAAGGCUGCUGCAAAUAGAUUUAGUGAGUCACACGAGUUCAUUCACUUGCAUUUAAGCCCCACGUGGAUUGGGUUGAUGGGAAAAUGGGUUUCUAUGGGUUUGUGGCCUUUUUUAUUAUUAUUAUUAUUAUUAUUAUUAUUUGUUUGUUUGCUUUUCUUAAGUGCAAGCCUGUUUGCCACGCUAAGGCCACUCCUAUUUUUAUCAUUUUCUUAGUUUUUCCAACUUUUGAUGCCAAAGAUUCAUUUUCAAAAUUUUAUUUUUAAUUUAAUUAUUAUAAAAAAAAAUUCCUAUUAAAAAAAAUAUAUAUAUACAUAUAUAUAUAUAUAUAUAUAUAGUUUUCACAACUUUGACCUCCCAAACUUAAAUUAUUUUAUUUAUUUAUUUAUUUAUUUUUAAAAUUUCAUCCUUAAUAAUUUUUCGGGUUUCUAAUUUUUGGAAAUUUAAUUUUUCGGCAUUCCGUCCUUAAAAUAAUUUUUCGGGUAUCCAAUUUUUGAAAUUUAAUUUUUCGACAUUCCAUCUCUAAAUAAUUCUUCAAUUUUCCAAUUCCCAAGUUCACUUCCCAAUUUUCACAACUAUUUUCCUAAUCAUCAUUACUAUUAUUCCAUUCGUUUAUCUAUUCACUUAUUCUUUCAUUUAAAAUCUCAUUUUUAAAUAACUCUUCAAACUUUCAAUUUCAAAGAUUCCACUAUUCACGUUCAUUCGUUUAAAUAUAAUUCUCAUUAUUAUUAUUAUUAUUCCAUUCAUUUUAUUUUACAAAUUCCAAUAAUUAAAGUUCAAAUUUUCAAAAUUCCGUUUUCUAAAUUUAAUUUUCAAUAUCAGAAAUUCCACUAUUCACAUUCAGUUGUUUAAUGAUUAAUUUCAUCAUUAUUAUUAUUUCAUUUAUUUAUUUAUUCACUCAUUCGUUUAUUAAAAUUUCGUCUUUAAAUAAUUCUUCAAAAUCCCGAUUCCUAGAUUUAGUUUUCCGAAAUUUUAAUUCCUUUCAAAUUUAAUUUCUAAAAUUCUCAUUCUUGUAUUUAGUUCCUAAAAUUCCAAUUUUCAAAUAAUCUCUAAGACUCCAAUUUUCAAAUAAAUUUCAAAAAUCCAGUUUUCCCUUAAACUGUUUUUAAUAUCUAUUUGGUGACGCAUGUGAUAUGUUUUGUGCUCUUUAUUAUACACUGACUCCAUUUUUAUGAUAGUGCAUUGCUCGUUCGUGGCCCAGGUACGCAUCCCUUCCCAUUUCGAUCAUUCUCUAUGCAUAUUUUGAUUCCCACGUGUGCAUGGUCGAUUUGAGUAUCCAUUAAUUUUCCCAUCAAUUGCCACGUCAGCUUCAUUUUAUUAGUAGAGACCCGAUUUUAGGGACUUAGAGGGGUGCUAUGGUUUUUUUUACCGUACCUUCCCGAUAAGUAACCUGACCCCCGAACCCGAUCCGGUUUUUCGUAGACUAACCUUUUCCAAAACAAGGAGUCACACUUAGGGUUUUUCUUUCUUAUUUUGUUUACCCUUUUAAAAAUAAAACAAAAAUAAGUGGCGACUCCAAGUCAUUUUCUUAAUUAAUAAAUCAUUUUUCAAAAUAAAAAAUGAGCUCGCCAUCAAGUGGGAAACGCAUCGAGCCGAAAUGUGGGGUCCACACUACCAUUUCAAUCUAUCUUUCUUUUAUUUUUUAUUUUAUCUCUAUUACUUUUUUUUAAAUGAAUUAAAUAUCAUAAACAUACUCCUUAUAUUUAUUUUUAUUUUUAUUUUGAUUUCUCAAUUACUUAUGUGAAAUUCAUAUUUAUUAUAACUUUCUCUAAUAGAUGUUGAUUUUUUUAAUAUUUGUACUAAUCCAAUUUUUUAAAUAGUGCGUUUUCUUUUUGUUUUAAUUUCUUUUCCUUUUUAUAAUUUUACAACGGAGAUGGUGGCACUUUUUUUUAUUGGUAAGGACAAAGGAGUUUUUUAUUUGACUAAGGCUAAAAGUAAAAACUAAAAAAUAAAAAUAAAAUUUAAGAGUUCGAUUGUCUAUAUUUUCUAAAAUUUAUUUUUAAAAACUAUUUUUAAGUUAAAAAAUAAAAAAUUAUUUUCAAAAACAAGUUUUACAUAAUAUAAUCAAACUGACCUAUGUUUUCUUUUAUUCUAAAAAAUUGAUGAAAAAACUCUUAUUUGAUUUUUUAAAAAUUAUUUUCUAUUUCACUUUGUUUUUAAAAAUUAUUUUCUGGAACGAUGAUGUGUUAAGAAUUUUUAAAAACCAUUUUUUGUUUUUAAAAAUAUAUCAAACGGCCAAACAGGCUGUGCGCAUGCGCUUGAGUAUGGGGGACAACUUUUAUUGCCACAGUAAGUCAAACUCUACCAAAACUCUUGAACAAACUUCUAGAUCUUUAAUUUCUUACUAAAAUUAUUAAUUUUUAUCUAGAAAAUAGAAUAUUUGAGGUACACAAAUUUUGCAUACUCUUGUCAAUUUUUCUUUAUAUAGAAUUUUUCUCUAUUUUUUUUAUUUAAAUUGUUGAAUUUAUUACAUCUCAAAUUUUGUAACUGUUCUUACUAAGAUUUUAACCAUAUUAUUUCCAUGUUUUUGUUGUAUAAUAUCUCUAUAACUAAAAUUUGUGGGGAUUAAUUGAUUGAAACUAAGGCCUCAUUUGGGAUGGUUUCAUACAUUUAAAAGGUAAUAUUGGUCUUAUAAAACCAUGGUUUCAUACAUGGUUUCAUACAUGUAAAGGCCUCAUUAUUCUUACAAAACAAUUUAAUAAGGAAGAUAAAUAAAUUAAUUUAUAUGCUCGGUAUAAUUUAUUUAAUUUUGAUAAGUAUUAAAUAUAAUGUAUUUAACUAUUUUUUAUCUUAAUUUAUUGUCUUGUUUAUCAAAUUAUAAAAUUAUGUAAAAAUUAUUAUAAAAAUAAUAAUAGAUUAAUUAAAAUUUGUAAAAAAAAAUUACUUUUAAAAUGUAUAUAACCAAACUCAUUCAAAAUUUCUUUGUUUUAUUUUAUUAACUUUCUAAUUGAUUAUUUAUUUAUUUUUAUUUUAUCUUUUGAUUAUUAAGUAACAAUAAAUUAUUGAUGCAAAGUUUGACCAUUUUUAUAAUUACUCUAAAAAAUUUUGUAUUUAAAAUAUUAAAAUCGAUUUAUACUUUAAAUUUUUAAAUAAUUUUUAAGUCUUUAAGAAUUAUUGUAUAUUAUGUGUGACUUAUUUUUGAAAAUAGAAAACAAGAAGUGGAUUUAAACAAUAUCUUAAUUUUAUUUUUCUCAACUUCUUAAUGGAUUAUUAAAUAACACAAAAUUAUAAUUUUGUAUUCUUUCUUUAUUUUCCAUUUUUCUCUCCAUUUUUGCUUCUUCGAAUUUUCCAAUAAUCAAACACAAACUUGAGCAUCUUGUUCUCCUACAUGGUUUAAGACGGUUUUGUGAGAAUUUGUUUUCAUUUUAUUUUUGUAAAUGUCAUUCUUUAGGUUAUAAAGUAAGGUAUUUUAUUAUUUAAUAUUUUAUGUUGGGUGAGGAAGUAGUCAAAAGUUGACGAGAAAGUAGAAAAAGUACCCAAUCUCCAACCAUUUUUGUAAGGUAGCAUCCACUUUCCUUUCUUCCUUGUUGUGUUGAGAAUAGCCUAUUUUAUUUGAAAUGAUAAUUAGUAAUGACUUAUUUGAUUCACAUUACUACAACAAAAUAUUUCCAAUGAAGCCUGUUUUAAAUCCACCCGCAAGAGGUGGUGAAGCCAACAAUUUAGCUCGGGGGUGGGAGAGGGGCAACCUUUGAAAUAAAUAUGGGUCUUACCCCAAUGGUUCAGACUUGUCAUUAUUAUGGGAACAAUAACAAUGAGUCCUCUUAUUGUAAGAAGUAUAUAUAUAUAUUUAACAUUUUUAGGGGGUAGGGUGUGUCGCGAGUGUGAAUGCUUCUCUUUUAUCGUUUGUAGAUAGUUCUUGCUUUUUCUAUUUAUCUUCUUUCUUUACAACUCAACACCAAAAUAAUGAACAUUCUUCUUUCACUUUCAGUUUUUUUUAGAAUGUAAACAUUGAUGGAAAAUAACCCUUAUAUCUACAUUAUACAUUUAUUUUUUUUCAAUCUCUUAGCUUUUACAUAUUCUAAGAUCUAUCUAGUUUCACCAUUGAACUUUUUCUUUUGAAAAAUGUUUCUUUCACCAUCUUACUUUAUCAUAGUUUUAUCACCUUCUAUGUAGAUAUAAAAUAAAGAUUAAAAUUUACCUUUUAUUUCUAUCUAUAUAUAUCCACUUUUUUUCCCCUUUAACCAUCACUUUAUCAUAUUUUUGGUUUAUAAAAAAACACAAUGAGUUGUAGCUUAACUAAUAUGCCUUCAAAGUUCAAUUUGUUAGUGUGAUUAUAACUUAAAAUUAAAUAAAAAUUAAAAAUAGAUUUAAAGUAAAUAAAUUAUUUUAUAUACUUUUUCAAACUCAUUUAACUUAUUUUCCUCAAUUAUAUAAAUAUAUAUAUUAAAAAAAAUUUAAAUGCAUAAAUUUUUAACUAAUUUAAUUAUAUUUCAUUUUUUUCAUAUUUUUUUAUAGUCAAACCAUUUUCCUUAGGCUAUAUUUGGUUCCCAAAAAGCAUAAAGGAAAGGAAAAAAAAUUACUGAAGAAAAUGUUUUUUUUCAUGUUUGGUUUCACCAUAAAAUUGUCUAAAGAAAAUUAGUUAGAAAUUUAUACAUUUUAAAAUUAUUUAAUUUUUAUAUAAUUAAGAAAACUAAGUGAAAUGAGUUUGAAGAAACAUAUAAAAAUAAUUUAUUGAUUUUGAAUAUAUUUUUUAUUUUCCUUCAUUUUUCUUUCUUCUAUUUUUUCUCUUUAUUUCAUUUUUCUUACAUAUUCCCUCGAAAUUUCCAAGUACCAAACAUAGCAUUAAUAUUUGUUUUCUUUACUUGCUACUUUCUGAAUACCAAAUAAGUCUAAGGAAGAAAUUUAGUGUAUCAUGAUGGAGAAGAGGAAAAGAAGUAGCAUUUGCAAUAAAGAUAGAAUUUUAGAGUUCAAUGUAAAAUCAAUAAUUAGAAUGAUAAAAUCAAUAAUAGUGGUGGCCAUAAUUCCCAUGAUGAAAAAAAAUUGAAAACUAGAUAUAGCUUAUAGCCUAACAAUUUUUUAAACCUAUCUUCAUAUCAUUCAUUCAAAAUGCCUAUUUUAAAUAUUAUUUCCUGUUUUAGAAGCUGCAAACAUGUAAUAACUGAAACAAAUCAAAUGAACAUAUUCGUGUUUUCAUAUAAAAAUUAAUAAAAUUUUCUUAAAUAAAAUUCACAAUAUUUAUUUUUGCAAGGCCUUAAUAGAUCUUAUUUUUAUUAAUUUCUAGAACCCUAUCCUUAAACUUGUCACUGAUAAACCCAUUUCAUCCUUUUACAAACAACUCUGAACAAAUUAAUGUAAUUGUGCCCAAUCCAAUAUUCAAACAUAUAUACGUAAUAGUUUGUUUCAUGAUCCAAACCUGAUAACAGGCAAUGAGCUUAUUACAAAGAAACUAUGGAGUAGUACAAGGAAAAAUAUCUGUUUAUAAUUAAUCAGCUUUGGACCACUUGCCAGAGUUUGGAUAUCAUAGUACACAUGCAUCAUAAUUUGACAUGGAUUCAUCAGAAAACCAGUGGAAUGAUAAAAAAUUUAUUUGUCUCAUCUCUUGGGAGCAUGAUAGUUGAUUUCUUCCAGCAUGAGAUGCACUCCUUUGGACGGAGGGAGUCAGGCUUGCACUGCAUCAAUUAUCAAAACCAAAAGAAAACAAACCAUGCAUUUAGGGAUCACAUCCCGUGGAAGUUAUGGAAGCAAGAACAUUAAUAAUUAAUUGUUUUAAAAAAAAAAAUCAUAAAAGUAAACAAAAUAUCGUAUGCUGUGUGUACUACUUAAGAUCGAAGCAAUUCAAUUACCUCUCUGGAGUGCAUGCAGCUAGAGCUAGCGAUGCUAUCAGAACGGCCGAUAAAACUGAACUUGUGAAAUAUGAGAUAAUUUGGACAAAUCGAUCCCUCCUCGCACAGUAGGACAGUCGAUGAUAUGCAGUUUCUGUAGUGCAGUAAUCUGGAGCAGGCGCUCGGGCAGGCUUUCCAGCUUAGGGCAUUCACAUGUGAUCAAGGAGUGGAGACAUGGCAUUACUGACCUCCAUUCUUCUUCUUCAUCUUCUUCUUUUACUUCCCACUUUUCCCACUCUUUCAUACCAUAAAAAAUGAGUUGCUUCAGCUUUGGGAAUGCAGUUGUUGAAGAAGAUCCCAAAAACUCACCACCCACGUAUUUCACUCUCUUCAUAUUCUUUAUUAUCAGGAUUUCAAGGAGAGGUAGUUCCCCCAAUGGAGGCAAACAUGUAACCUGUGCGCAAUACACAAUUUCAAGCUUUUUCAAUUGGGCCAGCGAUGAGGCCGCUAUCCAACUGGGGAACUCGGUGGCAGCAUCGUAAUUACUUAUUUUUAAAGACUUCAAGUUUUGAUGAGGCUGUAGAGCUUCAGCCACACCUUUUGAAGCAGCUGAGGCAAGCCGCCCAAAAUCCUCUAGUUCCAAAUGAUGGAGGUGUUUCUUAUUCUUCAAUUCUGCUUCGCCAGCCUCCUCUGCAUCUUUCACAUUAGCUAUCCCACUUAUCACAAGACCUCCCCUGAGGCUGUUUAAGUUUUUCAGUUCUCCUAUUUUGCAUACAUCACGUCUAAAAUGAUCACCAAUUAUAGGAAACCCAGUUAAUGUCCGAAGUGAGGUCAAUCUCCCGAUUCCUUUUGGCAACAUCAAUACUCUACUGCCUUCCCAUUCAAGAUGUCUCAGGUUAAUUAGUUUUCUCAUCCCCUGAGGUAGUGUUAUGAGCAAAUCUGAAAGAAUUAAAGUUUGCAAAUUAUAUAGAUCACAAAUUGUUUCUGGCAAUUCCCCUCCAAUCAAAUUAUUUGAUAGAUUAAGGAGCCUCAGAUGUAUCAAUUUCCCCAAGUUCCUCGGCAGUUCCUUAAUUAACCGAUGCCCACUCAAGUCUAAUGCCCUAAGGCAUACCAAAUGUUUGAAUAAAUUAGGUGGGAGUUUAGCAGUGUUCAAAUGGGCCAUACCUGUAGCAGACAAUGUGUGCAGAUAUUUCAAAUUAUGGAUAGUGCUAGGAAAUCCAGCCCCUGGUGUGCUAAUUAAGGUUGCAUGACGAGCCUUUUGGAAGGAGGAAGCCAUCCUCACUUCCUUUUCAUCAUCAAUCUCCAGAAUGAAGCAUUCAUUCUUGGUCAAAUAUUGGGCAAGAUCAUGCACUAUAUCAUGCAUCUUGCACGAUAUUAUGUUGCCCUCAUCAUCUCUAUCAAAAUCUUGGAAAAGUGACCGUGACACCAAGUCUUCAAAGUAGUCUCCCCCUGUUUUCUCCAUCUCUAUACUUUCUCUAGAAUUGAGAUAGCUAUUUGCCAUCCACAACUUGAUCAAUCUAUCUUUCCUAAUGAUUUGAUCUUUUGGGAAGACAGCACAAUAUGAGAAGCAGCGUUUAACAGCAGGGGAUAAAUCAUAAUAACUCAACAAUAAAGGAGUGGAAAGAUGUUUCUCAAUCACAUCAAGUUGCCAUAUUUCAUUAUUCAAAAUACUCUCCCAAUCUUCUUUAUUAUCUUUUAAGCGCAUGAGACUCCCUAAAACUUUUGCAGCAAGAGGCAAGCCCCUACACUUGUCUGCUAUUUUCCUGCCAAUGUUUUCUAGUUCUUCAACUUUUUCCCUACUCCUUCCGUAAAAGGCUAUGUUACUGAACAAUGACCAACAUUGCUCCUUGGACAAUUCUCCCAAGGGGUGCUUGUACGUGGUUCCCAUCAUUGUAGAAACGUUUUCGUUUCGUGUGGUCACCAAAAUUCUACUUCCCGGUGCCCCACCCUUGAGAGAACUCUCUACUUGUUCCCACAAUUCAUAGUUUUCAGUCCAAACAUCAUCUAGCACGAGUAGGAACUUCUCAUCGGCAAUAAGUGUGCAAAUUUUUUGUUGUACAGCUUCCAGAUCAUGGAAACCAGAAGACUUUUUCUGGAGGGCUUCAAGAAUAGCCCUAGAAAUCCUCAUUGGGUCAAAAGGAUCAGACACACAGACCCACAUCCUUUCAUGGAAAUAGGACUUCACCUUUUCGUGGUUGUAUGCUAAUUGAGCAAGAGUUGUUUUGCCGAUCCCUCCCAUCCCAACUAUGGAGACGAUGUAGAGGGAGGAGCUUUCUUGGCAACUCCCACCCAACAGCUUGCCUAUUAUAAUGUUUAUAUCUGCAUCCCGACCGCAGAACUGGCUAACAUCAAUUACAGAACUGGUUAUACGUCUAUGUGGUUGCUGGAUGAUACUACUUGACACAAAAUUGAACUGAUUUCUCUCAUUUGCAAUGGCAUUUAGUUGUUUUUUUAUGUCCUUAAUCUGAAGAGCAAUAUCAUGGCGCAAAGAAACUUGUUUGAAGCAAACACAAGGGGAGGGAAGGCAGGAACUUAUCUUGGGCUUAGGGAUGCCAGGGUUUUCAGCUGCAAUCUGUAAUUUGAGAAGAGCAGUGCUCCACCCAUCCACCACGUCAUCCAUCUGGUAGGAGAUGUCCUUGAGCCUUUCUAACCAAACUUUUACAAGUUCUUCUGUGAACUGUCUCUUCUCUGCAUCUCCAAGAACAGCUCUGAUGCUCUGGAGUGUGCUUUUUAGGUUGUCCACCUCGCUUUCGACACCCACCACCAGUGUAACUUGUUGACGAAUCUGUUGUUCCAAGACUGAAGCCAAUCGCUCCAGCACGAUAGAAACAAGAGCAUCCGCCAUAAGGGUUGAUGAAUUAGGUGGGGUUGAUGAAUCAAAG